UUUUUUCUUUUUUUUGAGGUGUAGGAGGGGAGAACAGCUUUGGGAGGAAGAGCGGGCAAGGUUCGUUUUGGGUCGCGUCCAUGGCCGAAGCUCGAGGCGACGAUUCUCGCUCUUGUUCUGAUGUCCGGCCCACUAAGAAGCCCGCAAGUUACCUACGUGUUCUGAUGUGCGGCCCACUAAAAAACCCGCAAGUUCGGCCUAUAUGGGAGCUCCUAUGUGACGCUCGCUGCGUCAAAGAGCCGUCGUUUCGCACAGGCCGUGGCUCACUUGGGCCGGCGCAUAUUGCGGUGCCACUUCACGAGAUAGAAAAUCGUUAGAAAAUCAAGCACUAAAAAAUCAAGCCCGACCGGCGAGCCAUCGGCGCCCCGCCUUCGCGCGCUUCAGUUGGCGCCGCCGCCGCCGGGAGGGGAGAACAACUUUGGGAGGAAGAGCGGGCAAGGUUCGUUCUGCGUCGCGUCCAUGGCCGAAGCUUGAGGCGACGAUUCUCGCUCUUGUUCUGAUGUCCGGCCCACUAAGAAGCCCGCAAGUUACCUACGUGUUCUGAUGUGCGGCCCACUAAGAAGCCCACAAGUUCGGCCUAUACAUGUCGCAUCGGGGCAUUUCUUUGGGAUUUUUUUUUCUACACGUGUUUUUGGUUUUUAUUUGUUUUUUUAGGAAUUUUGGUUUUCGAUGGUUUUUCUUAGGAUUUGAUAAAAAAAUUGAGUUUUAUUCGGAGUUUUUCCGGGAAGCGGCGCUUUUUUCCGUGAGAACCAUAACAUGUGCUUUUGCGAGAAGCACGGUUGCGCUUCGUAGAAUAACAAAAAAAAAUGCACAACCGCGAUAGCAUAGCCUUGCUCCGGUGAGAAGCACAUCUUUACUUCCACACCAAGCAUGGCCUGCGCUUCCAAAAAGGAAAAAAGCACAACAUGUGCUUCUGCGUGAAGCAUAGUUGUGCUUCUAAGAAAAGCACACAUGCUUCUCUAAAAAGGGAAAAGCACAGCUUCUGCUUUCCAAAAAAGUGAAAAACGCAAUUGUAUUUUUGGGCUCCGACUUUUUCUUUUAUUUUUCUUUUUGGUUUGCUAGCUUUUUUGGUUUACCUUUUUUCUGUUUUUUUUUCUGUUUUCUGGUUUUCCUCUACUACUUAAAAAGAACGUAAGGUUCCCAUUUCACCUUUGUUCCCACCAUCCCUUCAUCCAACCUUUCAUGUAUAUAUUUAUAUCUCAUUAGCAAGAGGCUGUGAGCAGUGGUGACCACACUCUGUGGGCGACGUCGUGAGACCUACCCAAAAGUGUUGUUCUCUCCUACCCAAGAGCAUACAUCACCCAGAGACAAAGCCCCUUCCCAAAGAGGUGUGCGGUGAAGGAGAGCCACUUUGAAAUCACUAGUUAAGGGCACCCCUUGCAAGGUCACUCCGCACCUUCUUAGGUGCUCACCUUUGUCGCAAGUUGAGAGUUUUCCCUUUUUUUGUCAAUUCUUUUUCUCAAAAUGCUUUAUCUCUUAAACCGCCCGUCUAAAUCCCGAACCGUUUUCAUCAUUAAAUUUUUCGAGUUCGAAACUAUGUCCCAUGUUAAUAGGUUACAAAGUUUUUUUUUUCAAGAAACUGGAACAAUGCCCGUGCAUUGAAUGAGAUAUAAAUAUUCUUGUACGUUAGCUUGUGAUUUACAUGUCAAUAUAAUGCAAUUGUGUAAAUAAAUGGUCAUCAAAUUCUGAUCGUGAAUUAACUUAUAUUUUGAUUAUAAGUUUGGUAAGUAAAUUAAAGUGGAAUUGGUUCAGAAGAUAAGUAAAUUAAGAUGAUUGCUUAUCAUAUACAUGAAAGGUUGGAUGAAGGGAUGGUGGGAACAAAGGUGAAAUGGGAACCUUACGUUCUUUUUAAGUAGUAGAGGAAAACCAGAAAACAGAAAAAAAACAGAAAAAAGGUAAACCAAAAAAGCUAGCAAACCAAAAAGAAAAAUAAAAGAAAAAGUCGGAGCCCAAAAAUACAAUUGCGUUUUUCACUUUUUUGGAAAGCAGAAGCUGUGCUUUUCCCUUUUUAGAGAAGCAUGUGUGCUUUUCUUAGAAGCACAACUAUGCUUCACGCAGAAGCACAUGUUGUGCUUUUUUCCUUUUUGGAAGCGCAGGCCAUGCUUGGUGUGGAAGUAAAGAUGUGCUUCUCACCGGAGCAAGGCUAUGCUAUCGCGGUUGUGCAUUUUUUUUUUGUUAUUUUGCGAAGCGCAACCGUGCUUCUCGCAAAAGCACAUGUUAUGGUUCUCACGGAAAAAAGCGCCGCUUCCCGGAAAAACUCCGAAUAAAACUCAAUUUUUUUAUCAAAUCCUAAGAAAAACCAUCGAAAACCAAAAUUCCUAAAAAAACAAAUAAAAACCAAAAACACGUGUAGAAAAAAAAUUCCCAAAGAAAUGCCCCGAUGCGACAUGUGGCAGCGGCCAGUCGCACCACUUGCCACGCUUCAGGCAAAAGAAAAAAAAAAGAAAAAAAAGAAAGAAGAAGAAGACCUUUGCGGGAGCCCUGGGUACCCGAAACACACGUAGGUAACUUGCAGGCUUCUUAGUGGGCCGGACAUCAGAACAACAGCAAGACGUCGCCUCGAGCUUCGUCCAUGGACGCCACCCAAAACGAACCUUGCCCGCUCUUCCUCACAACGCUGUUCUCCCCUCCCGGCGGCGGCGGCGGCGGCGGCGCCUAGGUGGAACUGAAGCGCGCGAAGGCGGGGCGCCGAUGGGUCGCCGGUCGGGCACGUGGGUGCGCCAGCAGAUUCCGGCCCCUUCCCCGACAUCAUGCGAUGGGUACGCCGCGUUCAGAAAUUCCUCGAUCCCAUCUAUCUAUUUGAGCUAGAUGACAUUUCGAUGUUGGAGGUUUGUAGCGAACCGCGACGCGUGCUGCCCGGCCGAGUUCGGCCGCUGGAUCUCUCACCCAUGCUGUCUCGAAAUUGCGGGUCUUAGGCGUACCCACACUUUGUUGGUUCGCAUUACAUCUCUUUUCAAGAUGUGCUUCUGCAACUGCUUCUAGAUUUAUGCAUCUCUUAGUUGGCACCGGUAGGGAAAUACGCGCCUGUACUUGCAUGACUGCAUACACAUUUGGUUACUGAUAAUUAUUUGUUGACUCUUAGGUGUGUACUUCAGUUCACUUCGACUGAAGCUACGGAUUCAGGAAGUCUUCUGGUCUUGAUAAUUCCCUGGACAAGUCCACAGUCUUGAUUGCGGCAAGCGCCAUCUCGUGGCUGGCUUGGCUUCGCGGGGAACAGACAGAGUUGCCGGAUAAGUUGAAAGGCUCGACAGCAAGUGCAGACCUUAGUUGAACUGAACUACUGAAGUCCAAUCAGGUAAGGAAGCAUAUGCCUGAUACUUGUAUGAAAAUCCGAGGUGAAAAGCACUUGGAUAUUUAUUAGCUAUUCCCAUAAAGUAGGAAGCAUGUAAUGUCAUCGGUAUGCUUACAAAAGAAAACAUAAAUGGUGCUCAUUCAAUUCACCCAGAAACACUAGGGCCGUGCCGCACUAUAUCUGGCGGUGCUGGACAGAGCAGGCUAAUUAUUUUUGACACAUAAAUAAACAAGGGAAACUGUUGAGGUGUUACAGACUGGGCGAUGAGAGGUCCUAAUAAUGGGAGGAGAAUGGUACACGCAGGGGAAAGCCAGCAGCUUGAAUCAAUACCAUUGACUCUUGACCUUCUUUUUUUCGCGAAUACGCAAAGAUUACGUAUCAUUGCAUUGAUAGGAGGGGGUGAAAGUACAGAGAGAUAUGCCGACAUUGGCCACGCGUACACAAGCCGGCGCGGGCACAAGUGGCCAGAGCAGCUAGGAGAGGGGCUGCUCAUCCCUCAUUACUCAAAGCUAAGCCUAUAUCUCAAGUAUCAAGUUCGCCAAGCCGUUGGCGCCGGCACUAGCCCACAGGUGAGCGUCUUCUCGAAUGGAUUGUAGUAGAGUUGCGACCGAGGGUUGUCGCUGAUCGAACACGCAUCCAUUCCGGUGCUUCCAGAUGGCCCAUGCGGUGAGAGUGAUGAUGGAGCUGAGUCCCUUCUGCAGAGCUGUGGGUGAUGAAGUGCAAGUAUCUAUCCACCAAUCCGCGAAGGGUGUGUCGGGGUUUGGGAUCGUGGCAGUCGAUCGGCACCAAGAAAGGACAUCAUGCCAGAUUUGGCGGGACAAGGGGUAGGAGGUGAACAAGUGGUGCAUGUCCUCAGUGGUCUGGUCGCACAGCACACAACUGUCAUUGUGGGGCAGUCCUCGCCGGGCAAGGCGGUCGGCCGUCCAGCAUCGGUCCUGCAAGGCAAGCCAGAUGAAAACCCUGAUGCGUAAGGGGGCCCAAGUCUUCCAGGUGAGCUUCCAAGACGCAUCGGUCGUAGAUCCAUGAAAGAGCGCAAGGUAGCAGGAUUUGGCAGAGUAGACGCCGGACUCCGUCCACUUCCAGCGCAGCACAUCAGGCCCAGCCGAGAGGGUAGCAUUUUGCAGCAUACGCCAAAGGUCGACAUAUUGAAGCAGGGCGGCUGGGCCGAGCGCGCCGGCAAUGUCGCGCACCCAGGCACGCUCAGGUAGGCCCUCGGCCACCGUUCGAUCACGGCGAUGCCGUCUGGAGACCAGGGAGAACACGAGAGGGGCAAGCUCGGGGAUGGCCUUGCCAUCAAUCCAAGGGUCAGUCCAGAACUUGCAGGUGCGACCAUCACGCACCUCCCAGGUGGUGGAGGCCCUGGAAAUCUGCGAGGCCGCAGGAUCAUGGGGGAGGUGCAGUUGACUCCAGGGGCGCGAAGUAUCGGUACGCUGGAGCCAGAGCCAUCGGGUGUGCAGGGCGACGCCAGCGCGCUGCAGGUCGCGGAUCCCCAUGCCGCUGAGGAAGGUGGGGCGACACACCCGAUCCCAGUUCACUCGGCAUUGCCCUCCACGUCCGUCCUUGCGGCCAACCCAAAGGAAGCCUCGAAUGAUCCGGUUGACUCGAGCAAGGAUGGACUUGUUGACGGCAAUGGCGACGAGGAUGUGGAUGGGCAUGGCGCAGAGGACAUGCCGACAGAGUGCGAGGCGAUCCCCUAAGGAGAGCAUGGAUCCAAGCCAAGUAGAGAGCUUCCUCUCGAGCUUGUCGACGAGCGGCAUGAGGUCAAUUGUCGAGGGCUUGCGGAGGGAGAGCGGGAGGCCAAGGUACUUCACCGGGAAGUAAGCAAUCGGGCAGGCCAUCUCAGCCGUGAUCGUGGCAAUGUGCCCCUCGUCGCAACGUAUGGGGGAGGCCGAGCACUUGGCGAGGUUUGUGCAGAGCCCGGACGCCUUGCCGAAGACGUCCAACAUGCGGCGAAUGGCGCGAAUGUCGUGGGUGUCGGGGUGGCUGAAGAUGACGACGUCGUCAGCGUAGAGGGAGACGCUCGAUGGCAGGUGCCGAGCGGUCAGCUGCUGGAGGAGGCCGCGCUCGACGGCUCGCUGAAGGAGCGAGUUGAGCACGUCGAUAACGAUGACGAAGAGCAUUGGGGAAAUGGGGUCCCCUUGCCGCAGCCCGCACGCGUGAAGAAUUGGUGGCCCGGGGAUGCCAUUGACAAGCACACGCGUCGAUGCGGUAGAUAGCAGGAUGGAGAUCCAUUCGCACCAUCGGUUCCCAAAGCCUCAGCGUGUCCAGCAGAAAGGGCCAUGCCACCGAGUCGAAAGCCCUCGCGAUGUCGAGCUUGAGGAGCAUCCGCGGCAUCUUGAGGUUAUGAAGAAGUCUAGCCGUCUGUUGAACAAGGAGGAAGUUGUCGUGGAUGCUUCGGCCGGCGAUGAAUGCGCUUUGAUUGGUAGAGACCAGCUUGCCCAGGUGAGGUGCCAGCCGAAGAGAGAGCGCCUUCGCGAACAGCUUUGCAAUGAGAUGGAUAAGACUAAUGGGGCGAUAGUCGAAGAGAGAUGCCGCAUCUUGCUUCUUCGGAAGGAGGGUGAGGAGCGCCUCAUUGAGCCUCUGGAAACCGCGCCCGUUGAGUGCGUAAAGCUUAUCAAAGACGGCGCAAAUGUCAUGCUUGAUCACGUCCCACGCACUCCGGAGGAAUUCGGCGGUGAAACCAUCGGGGCCAGGCGCCUUCCCAAGCGGCAAGCUUUUAAUCGCAGCCCAAAUCUCGCCCUCGGAGAAAGGUGCGUCGAGGCUGGAGAGGUCGAAUGGCCCAACGUGGAGCGCGGAGAGGUCUAAGGAGAAAGGCCGCGGCUUCGCCGAUCCAAGGAUGCCGGAGAAGUGACGGUAAGCAGCUUCAGCAAGAGCGGCCGGGUCGGAGAUGGAUGUGUCUCCGACCUGCAACUCGAAGAUCCGGUUCUUUUGCUUGCGGUGCGCUGCAUGCACCCUGAAGAACUUCUGACCCGCGUCGCCGUCCCACAACCAGGAGAGUCUGACACGCUGGCGUGAGAUCGAGCGCUCGAGCGACGCCAGCCCCAGAUACGCCCCUUUGAGGCGCCUACGCAGCCAGGCCUCGGCCGGGGAGAGGGGCUGAAAGUCCUGCGCCGCAUCAAGGCGCGCAAUCAGCUCACGAGCGACAAGGAGCUGUCGAGACACGUCCCCAAUCUUCUUCGCGCUCCAGCUUUGGAGACGCCGCGCUGUGUUCUUGAGGCAUGCCACCAACCUGCGGAAGGGGUCCGGCUCAUCAGCCGCAAUAGCCCAGGCCUCGAGCACGACCUGCGUGUAGCCGUCAGUGCGCGGCCAGAAUCUUUCGAAGUGGAAUCUCCGCGUGCCAGGCGAGCGCGCGGUGCAGUCGAGAAGGAGAGGCGCAUGAUCGGACGCUGCGUGGGAGAGGCAGCGUAGCAUGCAAUGCGGGUGGAGCGCCUCCCAUGCAGAAUUACAGAUCACCCGGUCAAUGCGCGUGAGGGUUGGGGUGCCACGUUCGCUUGACCAAGUAUAUCGCCGCCCGUGCAGGUAAAUAUCGCGCAGUUCCUCAUCAGCGAGGAAGCGGCGGAACCACGACAUGACCCGGUGAUUGAGCGCCCCUGAGAUCAUGUUAAAGUCGCCCCCGAGGAUCCAAGGGCCAGCACGCAACGAUCGGACCUCACUAAGGUCACCGAGGAAAGCAAUCUUGUCAUCAUCUCCUUGCGGGCCAUAAACGCCAGUGAGCCACCAGUGAUGGGUGUUAGGAAAAUAUGCAACUUGUAUUCCCAUGAGGCCAUAGGCCGAUAUAUAUACAUGUACAGGUGUGGUACAUAUGCAGGAAACCCCUUAUACAACGGGAUAAAUACAAAGGGGUAUACAUGACUUAUAUUAUAACUCUAACACCCCCCCUCAAACUCAUGGUGGAGGAACAACACUGAGUUUGGAGAGACAAAAGCCAUGUUGAGCUCUAGUCUGGGCCUUCGUCAGGAAAUCCGCCAACUGUAACUCGGAAGGCACAUACAGAAGAGCAAUGACCUGAUCCUGCACAGCAGCGCGCACAUAGAAAGCAUCAACACCAAUAUGCUUGGUGAGCUCAUGCUUCACAGGAUCGCGCGCAAUGCUAAUAGCACCUGUACUGUCAGAUAAGAGCAUAGUCGGGGUAGUGACAGAAACACCAAAAUCCUGAAGUAACCACCGUAACCAAGUCACCUCUGCCGUCAAAAGAGCCAUAGCUCGCAACUCAGCCUCAGCACUCGAACGGGAAACUGCAAUCUGUUUCUUCGUCUUCCAGGCAAUGAGAGAACCGCCAAGAAAAACACAGUAAGCAGAAAGCGAACGGCGAUCAGAAGGAUCACUAGCCCACGUAGCAUCCGCAUAGGCCUGAAGCUGUAAAGAACUGGAGCUAGGAAAGAAGAGACGGUGAGAGAUCGUGCCCCGAAGAUAUCGGAGAACACGAAGGAGAUGACUAUAAUGAACCGAUGUGGGAGCAGAGACAAACUGACUCAGAAUAUGAACCGGAUAAGAGAUGUCCGGACGAGUGACAGCUAGAUAGACUAGACUGCCAACGAGAUGACGAUAACGCGUCGGGUCAGGGAGAGGAUCACCAUCAGUAGCACGGAGGUGAACAUUGAGCUCCAUAGGAGUCUCAACAGUGCGCUCGUCGGAGAGAGCAGCACGAGCAAGAAGAUCCUGGAUAUACUUUUCCUGGGAUAUAAAAAAGCCAUCAGAGGUAGAAGAGACUUCAAUCCCAAGAAAGUAGCGAAGAGGUCCAAGAUCAGACAUAAGAAACUGCUCACUAAGACGAGCCUUUACAAAGGCAAUAUACUCGGGGUCAUCCCCAGUGAUGACCAUAUCAUCAACAUAGAGAAGAAGAAGAGUCCGGCCACGAGGAGAAAGGUGAAUAAACAAUGCGGGAUCAUGAGCACUUGCUGAAAAACCAGCAGUAGUGACCACAGAAGCAAAACGCUCAAACCAGGCGCGAGGGGCUUGCUUAAGGCCAUAGAGAGAGCGACGAAGACGACACACCAUGCCAUCAGGAACAGAAUACCCAGGUGGUGGCUGCAUGUACACCUCCUCACGCAGCUCACCAUUAAGAAAGGCAUUCUUAACAUCAAGCUGAGAUAUAGACCAGUGGUGUGCAGAGGCAACGGCAAGAAGUGUACGAAUAGUGGUCAUAUGGGCCACAGGAGCAAAAGUCUCGUCAUAAUCACGACCAUGCUCCUGCUGAAAACCACGAGCCACGAGACGAGCUUUGUGACGCUCAAGAGAACCAUCGGAGCGAGUCUUAACCUUGUAGACCCACUUACAAGUGAUGGGACGGACUCCAGGAGGAAGAGAAACAAGAUCCCAGGUACCAGUGCGUUCAAGAGCAGCAAUCUCCUCUGCCAUCGCAAACUGCCAUUCAGGAUGAACAACAGCCUGAUGGUAAGAAGUCGGCUCAAGAACAGCAGCACCAGCGGUGGGAAAUCCAAAGCGAUCAAUAGGCGGACGAGGACGAGAACGCAAGCCAUAAGUAGGCUGAGAGGAAGAGGACGACUCAUCCAAGGAAGCAUCCACAUGUCGUGAACGACGAGUGUAAUGCUUAGGAAGAGAUGGAACAAGAGAAGGAGGAAUCACCAAGGUAGAAUCAGGGGGUGGCGACGAAGAAGUCACCGGAGAUGAAGGUGUAGAAUCCGGUGGCAUGCUAGGUGAGGAGACCGGGGAAGAUGGUGGCGGCGAAUCGACGAGGGGUGGAGAAGCAGAGGGAGUGGAACGAAUAGGCACAGGCGCGACGGGAGUGAUAGGGGAGUCAGGAAAAGUGAGGAAAGAGAUAUCCUCCACUGAAAAAAACGAGGAAGAUGGGCGUGGGUAAAAAGGACGAGACUCAUCAAAAGUCACGUCGAGAGAUACGCAUCCGACGAGAUCCCAACAACGAUAGCCCUUAUGCUCAUCACUGUAGCCUAAGAAGACACACUCAACAGACUGAGCGGUCAGUUUGGUGCGUUCGCGAGGGGCAAGAAGAACAUAGCAAACACAACCAAACAAGCGAAGCAUCGAAUAAUCGGGAGAACGAUCAAACAGACGCUCAAAAGGAACACCACCCUGCAAAGCAGCAGAUGGCUGAAGGUUGAUGAGAUAGACGGAAGUGGAGAUAGCCUCGGCCCAAAAAUGAGGCGGAAGAGAGGCGGCGAUCAUCAUGGCACGAGCCGUCUCAAGAAGGUGACGAUGCUUGCGCUCAGACACGCCAUUCUGAGCAUGAGCACCAGGACAAGAGAACUGGGCAAGAGUACCCUGCUCAGCAAGGACACCACGCAACAUCUUAGAGAUAUACUCACCAGCGGAGUCAGCACGAAAAACACGAAUGGGUGAAGAGAACUGAGUAUGAACCAUGGCAGCAAAACGCUUAUAAAUAGACAACACCUCACUACGUGAAGUCAUGAAAUAAAGCCAUGUGUAACGAGAAAAAUCAUCGAUGAAAAUAAUAUAGUAUUUAUGACCACCUUUCGAAGCGAAAGGAGCCGGACCCCAUACAUCAGAAUGGACUAAAUCGAAAGGACGCUUAGACACUGACUCACUAUGGGAAUAUGGUAACUGAAUCUGCUUGCCAAGACGACAACCCUGACACUCUAAAGAGACAUCUCCUGAGACAGACCCCAGAAGACCUCGACGAACUAAAGACGAUAAUCGAGAACCACCCAGAUGACCAAGUCGAUGAUGCCACUGCUUGAAGGAACCAGUACAGAGGCGACAGCAGCGGAGGGACUGGCGAUGGUGGUGGCAGCGGAAGGAACAUGAAGCUAGUCCAACUCCCAAAGACCCUGAGAAUCACGGCGGCGAGGGCCAGCCCCAACCAGAGUGUGCGUGCGACGAUCCUGGACAGAACAAGAAUCAACAUCAAGGAUGACACGAUAACCAGAAUCAGUAAGUUGACCGGCAGAAAACAGAUUCAUGGUAAGUCGAGGAACAUGAGCAACAUCAGGAACAGAAUAAGGAGUGGAAAGAUGGCCUCUACUAGCAACAGAAAGUGGAGUACCAUCAGCAGUGAAGACAUGAACAGGAGAAUCCAGCGAGCGAAGAGAGGACAAAGCGGAAGAAUGAGAAGACAUAUGAAAAGAAACUCCAGAGUCCAGAACCCAUGGGAAUGUACCUGACUGUGUAGAGGGCGGGUGCUCAGUGCGGGAAGCAUCAGUCACAGAACCAGCAGUACCCGUCGAGGAAGAACCUGAAGCCACGAGCAGACGCUUAAGUCUCAGAAUAUCCUGUUCAGUCAAAGCAAUGGCUGAAGCUAGCGAGGGAGAUGACGAAGUCCCUGAGGAGGAUGAUCGCGCCUUGCGCAGGUGUUUCCGCUUUGUGUAGCACUGGGACUCAAUAUGACCAUCAUUGUUGCAGUAGUCACAAUGUGAACGGGGGCGACCUGAGCCUCCAGAAGGAGUGGGCAAGAGCGGCGGAGCACUCGAGCGAGAAUGGGGCGGUGCAGCCGGCGGAGUGGAAGAAACCCGAGUAGCGAGCACAGAGGGAACCUCCAGCAAACCAGCACCACGUAGGCGAGUCUCCUCAGCACGAAUCUCUGAAAGCGCCUCCAUGAGAGAAAUACGGCCACGAGCAAGCAACUGAGCACGCCGGGGCUCAAACUCCUUACGGAGCCGAGACAGGAACUCGUAGACGCGAUGAAACUCCAAAUCGGCCUGGACAGCCUGGCAGCAGGGGCAAGUACGACAACCAGCACUGCGGAGAGAAUCAAGCUGGCGCCAGAUAGCAGAACUCUGUGCAUAAAAGUCAUCAACAGUAGAGUCACCCUGCUGAAGAGCAUGCUCCUGACGAACCAUAGAAAGGUAUAAGGCAUCACCAGAGGGCUCAUAGCGCUGACGAAGACAGGUCCACAUCUGGAAGACAGUAGGAAGACCCAGAAACUCAGAAGCAAACUGAGGCAGAACACUAGCAGUGAGAACAGCUGCAGCAAGAGCAUCAUCAUCAAGCCACUGGGUGUAAACAGACAAAGCACCAUGAUACGUCUGAAGAGCCUCCUCAUAAGCCAAAGCCCUCUCAUCAUAGGCACGAUCAGCAGCCUCAUCAGCAAUCUUAGCCGCAUCCUUGGCGGCCUGAGUAGCGUCCGGAGGAAGAACCAGUGGAGUCGGCGGAGUAGGGGCCACCGGAGGGACCGGACGUGGCGGACAGCAGACCUCGCCAGAAAGAACACCCCAGAGACGAAUGCCACGCAUGUGAAUGCGCAUGAAGCCAGCGAACUCGGUGUAGUUGGUACCAUCGAAGAUCACCGGACAGCGAGGGACAGCAACAUAGCCUGAUGCAGCAGACAUUUUUUUUGGGGCAAAGAUCCGAAAAUAGCAGAGGCCGGACGAGGACGGCGGCUGGGAGCGAGAUCCGGCGCAGCAGACCUCAGACGACAGCAGUAGACGAUCGGGAGGAGAGGGACCUGGCGAUCCACACAGCAGGAGGACAAGCCACACGGCCCAGUCGAUCGGCCAGAGGAGCCUGGCAGCGACCAAGCGGGAGGAGCGGCACACGGCCCAGACGAGCUUGAGGAGAGGAGCUGGCGAUCACACGGCGGCCGCAGCACGCGAUCGGGAAGAGGCGGCCCAGUCGAUCUUGAGGGGAGGAGCUGGCGAUCCGGAAGAGCCGGCCGCAGCACUCGAUCGAGAAGAGGCAGCCCAGUCGAUCGGGGAGGAGAGACAGCGGCGACGGGGAAACAGAGCGGCGGCCACAGGGACAAUGGCGUCGCGGGGCGGAUCAAUUAGCACGAGUUGCAGCGUGCAAAAAAUUGACCUAGCUCUAAUACCAUGUUAGGAAAAUAUGCAACUUGUAUUCCCAUGAGGCCAUAGGCCGAUAUAUAUACAUGUACAGGUGUGGUACAUAUGCAGGAAACCCCUUAUACAACGGGAUAAAUACAAAGGGGUAUACAUGACUUAUAUUAUAAGUCUAACAAUGGGCACCAUCGAGAGAGGAGGCCAGCGCAGUGAUGUGGUGCUCGCCGCGGCAUGGAUCGGAAAGCGCGAUCAUGUCCGGGCGCCAAGCAAGCAGGAUACCCCCACAGGUCCCAUCCGCGGGAAGGAAGAAAAACUCAGAGAAGGACGAGCCGAGCGUCUCAGUGACAAGCGAGGACGAGAGAGAAACCAUCUUAGUCUCUUGGAUGCAAACAAUACAAGGCGAGGCAGCGGUGAUCACGCUGCGAACGGCGGUGCGCUUGGCCGGGGCAUUAAGGUCACGCACGUUCCAGAAUACAAUGCGAAGGUUGUGAUCCAUGGAGAAAGGUGGAGUCCCGCGGUGGCCUAGGCAGCCACUAGGCCUCGACAGCGCGAGGCAGGGGGAAGGCGAGUUGACAGGCGGAUCGAGAAGCUCGGGUAUGCGCCAGCCGAAGAGGUCGGCGAAUGCUUGCAGCACGUCAUGCGCCAGCGGCCUCUGGAAGAGGCGCUCGUACUUCGCCAGAGUUGCAGCGGAGAUGGGGGCGUCGUCCGAGACAAGUCCGAGGCGACGAAGGAGCAGCUUCUUGGCCUUGAGCUCAGAGUUGAGGCCGCAAUCUGCCUUGGCAAUCCUGCCACUCCGACGGGGCGUGAAGUUCGGCGGUAACUCCUUCCUACGGGAGCGGGAGGGGGGCGCAGGAAGAAUCUGCGCGAUCGGCCUUUGGAUGGAGCCUAAAAACGCGUCCACAGGUUCCACGUCGGCAUGCCCGCAACGUGGUGAGUCCGGAGCGGCUGCAUGAGAAAGAUCAGUCACCGAGGGUGCGGGAUCACUCGGGAUCAGAGCGUGCGAAUCCUGCGCGGCGGGAUCCGAGGCGGGGAUGGCGAGCGGCCCAAUGGCGGGGCAGCGCGAGGGGCCUGGUGGGUCCGCCCCUGGCUGGACAAAACCAACUGCCCAGCAGGGGGAGGGGUGGAUGGCCCGUUGUCGCCUUCCUUGGGAUUGGCUGGCAGGAUGGUCGCGGAUCCUGGUGGGGCCGCGCAAAGCAACAGCAGGCCUGGGGCGACCACGGGGGCGGGAUCAACCUGGGGGCGUGCACCGAUCUUCAGAAGGUGCUCGGGCGAGCCAGGCGAUGUCGCGUUGGCAAGCAGCGGGGUGGUGAGCGCGGGAGCGGUGACCCGGUCAACAGAAUCCGAAUUUGAACUGGCCGCGCCAACGGGCAAAUUUGAUAAAUUUAACCUAUAAUCGAAAUCAAAUCACAGAAUGAACUGUCCGUGAAACUAUUUCACGCGGCUGACCCUUGGCGCCUAACUCUCAGGCGCUGUACUAGUGCAACGCCCAGGAGCUAGGCGCUGCACUGUGUAGUGUGGCGCCUAGCUCUCAGGCGCUGCACGCUGACUUGGGCACAUAUGGGUGCGACGCUGGCCGUGUAGCGCAUAUCUGGGAGGUGUUGCACAGUAGGGUGUGGCGCCGGCGUGGCGGGCGCUAAAGUGAAAUAGUUUCGCAACCAGUUCAUUCUGUGCUUUGAUUUCGAUUAUAGGUCAAAAUUGUCAAAUUUGCCGCGCCAACGGGCUCAGACGGGGUGGGAUGACCAGCUGUCACCGCGGCUUUCUGGAAAGCCGCCUUGUCCCCCAGGCGCAGCUUUGCCGGGCCCCGCGUGACGCCAGCCACGACCGGCGGGUACGGCCCGAGAACCCCAUGCCAGAUGCGCGAAACGGCGAGCGGGCGGUUGCGGCGCGACCUCCACGGCGGCGAUUGGAGCGCCCGGACUGGCGCGAGGGGCCGGCAGCAUCACGUCGUGGCGGCGCAGGAGGGUGAUCAUAGCGGCGCGGCCAGGGCUCAGGGCAGGGUGGAGAGCCCUGGCCUGGGCCAGCGCCAUCAUCAUUGGCCACCAGGGCCCGAUCCUCCGCACGCUGGAAGCGGAUGAGGAAAUCCUCCGGCAAGUGGCGGUGAACCGAGAAGCGCGCCUCUGGGAUGCCAAAACGCGAGCAGAUCACGUCGGAGACCUUCUGACACGAGACCCCGGUCCUGCACCCCGCGACCGUGGCAAGCAACGCGCGCCGGAGCUCCUCCUCGGCGUCGUCGAUCUCCGCGGAAAGAGGUAGGAAACACGCGGGCGCAGCGGCCGGACGCAGCGAGGGGUGGCCGGUGAGGGGGACGGAGGGGGAGGUGGACGUACCGCGCAGCGUGGGAGGCGCGGGGGGAGGGGACGGCGAGCCCGGAGGACGCAGGCUGCCAGGACCCCUGGACGGACGGGGACGAAGCCGAAGGCGAAGGCCGCGGCGGGGAAGGCCCUCGGAGACGCUUGGGCGACGGGCUGGAGCGCGAGGGGGACGACGGCGAGCGCGGGUUGGUGCACAUGCGCGCCACAUGGCCGUAGAAACCGCAGCGCGCGUAGCGGAUGUCGCGGCGGCACUCGGAUCUGGGGUGGCCGUGGUAGCGGCAGCGCGAGCAGAACUCCUCCGAGGCCCGGCGCCGGCCAGGCCCAGCAAGCGGGGCGACGGGGGGUGCGGGCGAGCGCGCGGCGGGAGCACGCCGCCGCGGGCGACGCCGCUGCGGGGGCCGCCUUCGCUUACGACCAGCCACGAGCCACUCGCGCUCCUCGACAGGCUCCUCCUCGGAGAGCCGGUGGAUCUCGGAGCGGAUGACACGCGGAGGCGGCGGGGGCGAGGCCGGUGAAGUGGCGGCGGUCGACGACCCACAGAGCGCCUGACGGUAGGAGGGCCUCGCGGAGUCGCCGGAGGACGGGCUGGACUCGAGCCAGCGCCGGUCACGCCCGCGACCAGGGGCAGCCGGGGAGUCCAUGGGAGCGGGGGAGAGGGGAGGGGACAGGAGGGUGGCCGCCGAACGCCGGAUCGGCGAGCGACGGGAGGCUGUGGUCGCCGGGGCCGGAGCGGCCGUCGGCGAGGUGCGAGGUGCGGGAUACUGGCAUGUCGACUCUUGACCUUCAGAAUGGGUUGGUUUGUCUUCCCAGCAAACUGGGCUCGCAAGCCAUCCAUAAAAUCUUUCGUGGCACCGCUGAGUACGACUUCCUUGAGGCUUGGCAGAGAUGGUAGCCCAGAAAACAUCGAAGCUUCGUUCUCAGCGUACCAGCCAAAUUCCAUAUGCAGCAGCUCAAUCUUACUGGUCGCUGCCGCGUCUUCAAACUUGACCAAUUGGAUGUCCUUGGGGACAUCCAGCGACAACACCUUGAGGCUUGGAAAUGCAUUCUCUUUGAAGCUGAAACACAGCUCUUGACCCUCGAACGACCCGCUCAGCAGACGUAAGAUUGCUAGGUUUGGUAGCUUGCCAAGGACUUGUAGCGUGGUACCAACCUCCUCCUCAGAUAAGCAGCUGCUCCGUAGCUCCAUCUUCACGAGAUUUGUGAGCUUUUCGACCCAUGCCGGCAGUUUGACCAAGUUGCCGUACAACUUGAGGCUUUGAAGGUUCGGACAGGUCAUCCAAGCAGCCAGAUAGACCAGGCUUCCUCUCUGACCGCACAAACAAGGAUUCCAGGAAUUUGAGAUUUGCAAUGGCCGAACAGAAGCUUUUGCGAUUUUUCUUGUUCAGACCAGUCACUCUUAACUUAUGCAACCCGGUAAGAUCUUGGAGCUCUUUAAGAAUGGCAUUUUCCCCAUCGAUAUUGACAAUACCCACUGUGUGCAGGGACUUGAGCUUCCUGGUUCCUCUCGGGAAUUUGACACCAGAUGGAUCUAUCCCCAUAAAGUAAGCAGGCACCCCGGCACAACCAUCUCUUGUUAGCACGCGUAAGAAACGCACAGGUAGAAACAACAAGUACCAGAGGUAAAAUAGUAAGGCAAGUACUAAUAUGCAGAGGAAACGUAGUAAAUACGCCAGCCAGAAGCAGCACUUGCACGGGAUGCAUUUUCUCAGCGAAAAGAAGAUUUUACACUUGCGGAUAAUCCGUAUUAUGGGCUUUUCCCCACUUGUCAUCAUUCAAUGGUACAACGCCCACAUGGAGAUAACGUAACUUGUCAAGCUUGAUAAUUGUUGUUGGCAGAUUUAUUAUGCAUACAUCUCUUACAUCCAGUGUCUGUAGGUGCCUCAGAUUGCCCAUUGAAUCUGGCAGGCGCAAGUGUCCGUCACAUCCUCGCAGAGAAAGGUAGGUUAGGUGAACAAGCUUCCCAAUCUGAUGGAGGUGUUGAUCUGUCAGACCCUUUGUGUCUUCCAAGUCCAGUACUCGGAGUAAUCUCAUCUUAUCAGAAAUGAAAAAUGCCUCCAACCUUCCAAAGACUGUUAAUGAUCUUAAGUGAGACAAGUCCAGUGCACGCUCAAAUGCAUCUUUAUCUCUUUUCCACCUGCUGCUUACAGCAAGGUGACGGAUUUUGCCUUGGGUGUUUAAGUCACAUCCUUCAUCCAGUGUAAAAACAAGACUUUCCUCUGUUGCCUUUGAGAUUGCAAUGUCACGGAUGAGAUCAUGGACGUCCAAGAAACCUUUCCUCCCACUUGCAAUCCCAUCUCCUUGUAAUGGUCGGACCAUACUCCUAUUGAUAAGCUCGGUGAUGUAGCUAUUCCCGGUUUCAACUGCAGUCUUGUCGCGUAUUCGCCUCGAAUACCCCUCUGCAAUCCAGCGCCUCACCAAACGAGACCAUCUGAUGCGGUGGUCUUCAGGAAAAAUGGAUAAAUACAAGAAGCAAGCCUUGAGAUAAUAAGGUAAACCUUCGUAACUUGAAGCAAGGACUGUCUGUAUCAUCUCAAGCUCUUUAUUCAUCUCUAGCUCUGCAUUGAUGUGUUUGUUCAAAUUCCUCCACUCUAUAGCAGUUUUAGGUUUGGUUGCCAGGAAGCUACCUAUGGUGGAUAUUGCAAGAGGGAGGCCGUCACACUUCUUCAAUAUAAGAUUUGCUUGCUCAGCCAGGCCCGGAAUAUGAGCAUAACUUUCCCUCUCUUCGAUAUCCUUGAAUACCUGUUAUUCAUAUGAUUUAGCAAACCAGGUUAGGCGAUAUAACAUUUCAUAUUCCAUUUCUUCUUACUUUGGAAUGCUUAUAUACAGUUCAUUAUGUAAUUGUCAUCCAUCGCCAUGUUAAGUUGUAAACACUAAAGAAGUACUCACUACAUUCGAAUACAAUUCCUUUUUAAGAGAAGAAAUGCUAUUUCUUUACAACAUUUGUUGCCAUUUAUAGUUUCAAGUAUACAAUUUUCACGUGUAGUGUUCUUCACUAUCCAACACGGGAAGAUGGUUAUGUGGCCUAGUUGUCGGAGGAAUGUUCGUUUCUACACAGCAGGUUUGGACUUAGGGUUGACACUCUGUGUGAUACUUAAUAUCUGUGUGAGUCCAAUGGGUAAGUAUGUGUCUGUUGAGAACUUGAGAUUCUCAUGUGGUGCAUUCCUUUUUUGAGAAAGUCCAUUUUAAACUGCAAAUUAUGAUGUCAAGUCUGAUUUGAAUCCUGAACUAUGAAACCACACAUAUUAAAACAGAAAUUUAUAAAAUCAUUUAACUUUAACCCUAGCCCAAUUUUAGACAGUGCUUUGUAUUUCAAAGUUUCCAAAAAAUGUGAAAAUUUAUAGAUAGAAGGAAUGGUACAUUUUAGUUCAAAUUAAAACUGAACUUUAUAAAACAAAUAACUGUCACAUUUUAGUUCAAAUUUGCGCGGUUCCNNNNNNNNNNNNNNNNNNNNNNNNNNNNNNNNNNNNNNNNNNNNNNNNNNNNNNNNNNNNNNNNNNNNNNNNNNNNNNNNNNNNNNNNNNNNNNNNNNNNNNNNNNNNNNNNNNNNNNNNNNNNNNNNNNNNNNNNNNNNNNNNNNNNNNNNNNNNNNNNNNNNNNNNNNNNNNNNNNNNNNNNNNNNNNNNNNNNNNNNNNNNNNNNNNNNNNNNNNNNNNNNNNNNNNNNNNNNNNNNNNCCCCUCAAAGAUGCAAUAAACUGGCUUAAUGUUUGGAUGGUUUAUAACUUCUCGCGGAGGACUAGAUCCAGUACUGCACACCAUAUUUACCUAUUGUUAUUCUUUUCCUAAUCGCAAGUCUUAUGUAUAGGACCUAAAGGUAUACGGCAUGGACUUACAAUUUGUAGGCUCACAAGGGCCCAUUUAUGGGACAAGGCCAUAAGGGUCUUUAUGAAAUCUUAACAACGUCAUGGCAUGCACAAUUAUCUCUUGACCUGCCUAGCUAGGCUCUAUAACCAUUGCGGUUUCUUAUUCCGAGGCUCUAAAAAAUAUAUGUAAAAAAUAGUGGAGAAUACCAGAAAUUAAGAACCAGGAAAAAGAUCAUCACCCAAUUUCUCCAUACAAAGACACACAAAAAAAUGAAUUCCUCUGUCGUUUUUGCACAUGACGUGAAUAAUCACAAUUUUAGGUAUGUUAUCAUUCCUUCACCAAUCCUUAUAUUUUUUUCCCCGGGGGAAAUCCUUAUAUGUUUUGAAAGGCCCAAAAUGCAAAACUACUUUUCCAAACCCGGUAUAGGGUUCACUUUGAAUUGUUUGCGGAAGUCCAGAGUUUGAUUUAGGCGAUCUCAUAUCUUAAGGUUUAAGUCGGGCCAAGCAUAAUAGUUUUGGGUUUAAAAUGUGAUUUCCUUCUUUAUCGGGUUACUCUAGUGUGCUUCAUAACUCAUACAUCUCCUAUUUUUUAUUUAUAACAAUUGGUGCUAUUUAUGACAGUCGAAUACUUUCAAGUGCAAAUAAGUUAAGAGGCAACACUUUUGCUAGAUCUAUACAAUAAUAUUACUUUUACAAAGCCAAAAAAGCGUGACUGCUAUUAUACUAACAGCAAAAAUUUGGAAACAUCCAAGUACAGUAAUGGUCAGAGUUUGAAAAUGUCCACUAUAUGGACCCCACAAAGACCAACACUGAAUGGGGAGUACAUAAUAUUGUGUCCACGGGACAAUAUAAAACUAUAAAGCUACAUAUACAUUUGCAUGAAAAUUUUGGCAUAGCCACAAAGAAAAAUAUAAUCUCGUUGUUCUAACUGUAGGGUGUGUUUUGAUUCGCUAAGAGAAGAGAAGCUUUUGAACAACAAAUAUUGCGUUAAUAUGUGUUUUAUGUGAUAUAAAAUAAAUCAUAGAUAAGUAUCUUGGAAUACGGAUCUCACAACAUAAGGUUUCUGUUGCAUAGUAGUUGUUGGUCAAAGUGUACUCUGAAUGAAUUCUAUUUCUUACAUUUUGAACGAGCGAGGUACAUUCUAGUUUGCAUUCAUGAAACAUGGAUUGAUUCUGAAUAAAGGGACAUAAUCAAGUGAGUAAGACCAACACUCAUCAGUAUAUGUAGCCUCAGUGAAGCACAAACUGAAAUUAUUUUGUGUUUACUAAUUAUACCAAAAACAUGUAUAGUUUCAUGUAAUUUACUCUGUAAUGCCAUAUAUGGUAGCAUAAAUGAAUAUGUACAGAACUGCAUUUCUCAGUAAAAUAUGUUUAGAAGGUGUCUAUAUUGCAGCCAUCUUGCAAAAAACAAAAAAUUAUAAUAAAUUAAUUAAAAGAUGUUCUCGCAGAAAAAAACUGCUUUUACGAAAUAAGGAUGGGUUGCCCGCCCAUCAGUACAAUAUUUGUACAAAUGUUUGUAUGACAAGAAAAUAUGUACCAUCUUAAAAACAAAAUAGCUUAAUAUAAUGCUUCUACUAUUUCACAUGUAAAAUAGAGUACCUUCUUUUCAAAUAGGCGGAGAGCAUCCUGUUUAGUUAGAAGCUCGAGAUUGUAUAUUUUGCGUUCUUUCUCCGAACAACACAUUGCAACAUUCAGUUCCCGCGCAGUGACAAUGAUCCGGUUAGCGGUAUUGUCCUUCGAUGAUGGCAAGAGCUUCCUUAUCAAUUGCCAUUCCAUGGUCGAUGAUAGAUCAUCAAAAACAAUGAGGCAUUUGUUUUCCAAUAAAAUCUUUGCCAAAAUGUCAACUGGUUUUUGCUCUUUCUUUGGUUGUGUCUCCUUUCCAUUGUUACUUUAUUGUGUUUCAGUGGCGUGCUUUUCUUUGUCUCCAUGAAAAUCCACACAUAAUUGCUGUAACAAAUCAUUGUAAAAUUCUUGAUGGUUUAGACGCGGCACCGUUAACCAAGCGCGCCUCUGAAACCUUCCACUGAGUUCUUGUUGGUAGAGACUUGUGACAAGAGUGGUUUUCCCAAGACCACCCAUUCCACAAAUGCUGAUCACCUCGCCAUCUUGAUCGAUGAAAUCAAUAACUUUAGCUUUUGCUGCCACCCGGUCGAUAAGCUGAUCUUCAUCCAAAGCGGCUGCCACUACACUGGCACCAGUGGGCUUCUGAUCUGCAUGCUGCUGUUUCUCACAAGUGGCUUCUUCAGCGCUAGUGAUCUCACCAUUUGAGCUGGACUCGGCCUUGCCAUCCUCUUUGAUUCGAGCCGCCUCCGCCUGAACAUAAGUUAAGCCACGUUAGUUAAUUUAGGCGAACUACUCUACCUGCUAGAUACCUACAUCAAAACAACGAUGCACUGAUUCAUAUAUAAUUCAUAUAUGGGGCGUCAAAGAUUACAUUCGAUUAUCUAAAUCAAGACGAAGAGGAGAUAUGCAUACUUAUGGUUACCUUGUGGUAAAAGACAUAUAAGUCCUUAUCGAAUGACCAUAUUUGUUUUAUCUCUGAUAUUGUGCAAGGCUGCUCAGUGCACAGCCUUGCAACUUCAAAUUGCUGCGUGGACACAAUAAUCCGGCCCCCAUUCAAUCUCGGGAAGUAUGUUUUGAUCCAGUCCCACUCUUCUAUGGUAGACACAUCAGCAAUAACAACCAAGUACCUCUUCUCAGUCACAUAUCGAUUAAACUCAUCGACCAAACUAUGAUCUGGUGCUGCCAUCUUCUUCAGAACUGUCAGCCCAGUGGCUGUUCCUCCUCCUUGCAUGCUUGCUUUACCAGAUUCUUCACAUGAAUCUUGGUAGAACUGCCUCACCAAGCUGACAAAGAGGUCAUUUGGAUUGAAGGGAUGCAUCAGCCUUACCCAGGCUCGGCACUGAAACUUAUCUUUCACUUGUUUACUGUCAUAGGCAGCUCUGAUGAUAGAUGUGACCCCAACAUCGGUGCUUGCUCCCCACACCGCGAUUACCGACCCAAGGUCAUCUCCAUCCUCGGUGAUAAUCUCGGCAAGAUCCACCUUUUCCUCUUCCUGAUGAAGUGCAGCGCGUAUCUUUGCUUCGGCGACGUGAAGUAUCACCUCACUGCUGAUGGUGGUAGACGAUGGCUGCCCAGAUGUUUCCUUGAUAAGGUGGUACCGGACAUUCCUCUGGCUGAUGUCCUCCACCUUGGAUCUAAGCUCCUUCAUUUCCUUGGCCACGAAACGCCGGUCAAGCAGCCUUCGAGGGAUACGCCACCACGACUGUUGGUGAUCUAACCUGACGGCAAAGUCCAUGAGGCAGUCCUCGACGCCAUAUGCCACGUCGCGGACUUGCUUCACCCAGAUCUUGACCACCAUGCUGCUGCCAUCUCGCCCCUCCUCGUGUGCACACAUCAGGAAGCCCUGCAUCAUCUCGAGCUCACCCGUGAUGAAGGCCUGAUCACGCCGUACUCCCAGCUGCAGGGCCACCUCCUCGGCUAAGGCGGAUUGGGAGUAGCUAAGCGCUCCACUCAGCACGGACUUGCCGACGAUCAGCACCGUCGCCUACAUUUUCGCUUAGCUGGUGUUUGAUGUCUGGUGGGGGUUUGCUUGUGUCGAUCGGUAGUGAUGGCGUGCACACUGUAGUUAAGGCUGUGGCUGCAUGUACAAGCACAACAAGCCAACAAAUGAGAGAUUGAAAAAGAGGAGCUCGGCUGGAAGUGCGAGCUGAGCACGUUCGCAAGUUGGCUUUGCUCUGCUAUAAGCAUCUACAGAGAUGGGGAGAGAACUAGUUUAUCCAGCGGAUUUCAUAAAUUUUCAUCGGUAGCGCAGUGCUGCAGAAAAAAACUAGUUGGGUCCGGUCUCCAAUGGGGCUAAGCACAAGACAGCAAAGGAGAGAUUAAGAAAGAGGAGCUCGAAGCGCGAGCUCAGCACGUUCGCGAGUGGAUCUUNNNNNNNNNNNNNNNNNNNNNNNNNNNNNNNNNNNNNNNNNNNNNNNNNNNNNNNNNNNNNNNNNNNNNNNNNNNNNNNNNNNNNNNNNNNNNNNNNNNNNNNNNNNNNNNNNNNNNNNNNNNNNNNNNNNNNNNNNNNNNNNNNNNNNNNNNNNNNNNNNNNNNNNNNNNNNNNNNNNNNNNNNNNNNNGGGUUAAGGUUUAGGGUUUAGUUGGAUCCGUUCUUCAACGGUGCUAAGCACAAGACAGCAAAGGAGAGAUUAAGAAAGAGGAGCUCGAAGUGCAAGCUCAGCACGUUUGCGAGUGGAUCUUUUGAGAGAGAGAGAAAUAGGGGUUUAGGGUUUAGGGUUUAAUUGGAUCCGUUCUCCAACGGCGCUAAGCACAAGACAACAAAGGAGAGAUUAAGAAAGAGGAGCUUAUUUUUUUUGCGACUGAAGAAAGAGGAGCUUAAAGUGCGAGCUCAGCAUGUUCGCAAGUGGACCUUUUGAGAGAUUGAGAGAGAGGGGGAGGGAGGGAAAGAGAGAGUUUAUCCAGUGGAUUUCAUAAAUUUUCACUGACAGCAGUGCUACUUAAUUUAUGGUAGAUGUUAGUUUGAAUCAAGUAUUUGUAGAUCGCAAAGUGAGCGGUACAACCACAUAUUUUGUGACGCUUUGCACUAGAUUUUGCGUCAUUGCUCAAUUUUACGAAUUACAUGCUUCCAGUGUCAAAUUCCAGCUGGUAUUGAUCCAUGCCUGGUCAGAGAGAUAAAAAAAUGGUGCUUAUGACGUCAGUUUGAAAAAUAUCUGGUGGUGAUAGAGAAGCUAUUUAAACAAGACUGGUAGAGAAACUCAUUAAUAAUGGGGGAGGUUAGCUACAGUUCAAAAAAAGAAAGAAUGGGGGAGGUUAGCUAACAACAGAGUAAUUCUGGUGAAUCCUUUUUCAGUCUUGCUAAUUCUCAGUCGGCUAAGAUUUCGCUAAGUCUCAGUCGACUGAGAUUUCGUUAAGUCUCCGUCGAUGCUAUACCCGUGAGAUCUUAUAUUGAUAUCCGUGCAAAAGAAAAACAGUUUUUUUUCCUUUUUCUCUCUUGCAUGUUAUGUUACUUGAUUGAGACUUGGUUAAAUCCCACUCGCUUGAGGCCUAGCCACACCCAUCUUUUUUAUCAAGACGGUCUUCCUAAUAAUUCAAAGUUUUAUCAGGAGGAUAUGUCGUUAGCCUAUUAUAGAUGUGGAAACACCAGCAAUGCCAUAACGGCGCUGGCAAUAUUUUUGUUUGCAAUGGACUAGAGACAGUUUAAUUACAUGUUCUCACAUGCUCGUUGCUGCGUCAAGCUCAGCCAUGGCAUUGCUUGCUCGAACUAAUCACCUCGUAGAUUACAAACGGUGGCCUGCUAGCUCGGACAAUGAUGUUAUAACACUGCCUACAAAAAAUGAUGAUAUAACACAAAGUUUUUGUUUUCCAUACAACUUCCCCAAAGCUUGUGAAGUCGGGUUCCAUUAUCAAAGGAAAUAGGUCCAGCUAGGGAAUCUGAAGUUUGAGCCAAGCAUGAAGAGAUGACUAAACGGUCAUGUAGGAGUACAAUACAAUUGUUCAGUUACUUGGAACAAACAGUAAUGUUUCACAGUGAGCUUCUAAGUUAACUGUUUGGAGGAAACUUUUCAAUCCAACAAGGUGUAUAUGGAAAACAAGAAAUGAUUUCGCGAUGUGCACUAGAUAUAUAGGCAAAAUCAUCAUAACAAGCUGGGUACAUGCAUAUUGCCUAUGAUUUCAACCUUGUUGCAUUGAAAUGAUACGCUAGACCUAUCUCCUGGGAUACACUCAAGAACAAAUUGUCUUUCUAUGGAUCCUAGUACGUCAACAGGACCACAGUAAGACUCCUCAGCCUCGUAUCCUGCGUCAAUAGCAUCAUCUUCAUCAGAUGCCCAUUCAAAGUUCUGUCCAGCUCUCUUUUUGAAUUUUGGAAGACUGGACCGGAAGAAUUCACAAUUGAUGUCUUUCAAGACCCAGGGUCCAUGAACGUGUUGAUCAAAUCGAAUACGUGAUAGCACAUGCUUAAACUCAAUGUCCUGCUUCAUCGUCCAGCCCAUCUUACCACAUGAUUCACCGAGGAUCUAAAUCCGAAUCCUGUAGUCAUCUGAAAGGAAAUACACUCUUUUUUCUGAUUUAUCGAGAUGAGGGUUAUUUAUCCAGCUCCUUUCCAUGUAUGGGUUUCCAUAGUGGUCGGGUGUGCUAUCCAUCGGCGGUUUAAUUACAUGGUAGUCAUCGAUCAUCAGACAAGGAUAUUCUGGAAGUACAAAUUAUGUACCAAAUAAGAUGUUUAAAAUUUAGAGAACCAUCCGUAGAGUAAUCGGAACAAAUUUAAAUUCUAAUAAUGAAAUAUAGCGACUGAGGCUUUUUUUUAAAAAGAGCUCCAUAGUGCUCGUGCUCUCUUUUGCAUUUUUUAAAUACAGCAUGCUCCUACCUCAUGACAAAGUCGGCUUGGUCACGCGGAUAAAGUGCAUGCACAUAAAGUGCUCCUCGCCAAUAGACAGCGCGGAGUGUAGACCAAUUCAUUGCUUGUAUCUCGCCGACAGCUAGUUCCCGCAGCAUCCCCUUGUCAAACAAGAAACCUUUUCUCCCAACAUCCUGUCCUUGACGAGAAGACAUGCAAGCAAGUAGCAAUGGUGGCCACUCAGAUGCCUCCAUUGCAGGGUCCAAACAGCAUUCAGAAUCUCCGUUGUGACACAAACUGGGGGCUGCGAGCACCUCGUAGUGAGGCGACACCAUGGGAUCAUAGAGAAGAAAUUCAAUGUCGUCGUAUGGCUCCAACCCUGCCAUGUGCUGCAUGGUGCGCAAAGCAUAACGCUGUUCUGUGGCGCAUUGACCUAUUUUUUGGGAGACGCAUUGACCUGCCGUGUUCGGCCCGGGCUGCUGCCUCUUUGGCCCAUUGAUGACCUGGUGGGCCGGCACAAGCCCACUUGUUCGGCCCCGCUCAUCCGUGUCCUCCCGUGUAUUUUCAGGGCUUCCUCUCAUCCGGCGCGCUGCCGUCUCCACGCCGCCGCGCAUCGCCAUGACGCUGCACGGGUCACCUAAACGCUGCCGCCUUCUUAGGCCUCCUGCACCGGCGGAAUGCGCUGUCCCUAUGCCAGUGAGGUCCGUGUGCCGUUUCCUGUGCGUGUCCAAGGAGUGGUACGUCCUCAUCUCUGAUCCAGCCUUCGUCGCCGCGCAUAAAUCUCGCCAUGCCGAGCCGCUCAUGGUGGCCAGCUGCGCUGAGGACGAAGCCAAGAGCUGGUGCCGCGACCUGCGGUUGAUGGACAUGGAGGAUGGUAAUGUCGUCAAGGUGCUGAAGGGCAUAGACGGCUCUCCCGUGAUCUCCACGAGCUCAGACGACCUCAUAUGCAUGGCAGAUUACUCUUAUUCUUAUGCUAGCGCCCAGGUGAUCGACCCGGCCUCGGGGAAGGUGCUCGUGGACUGUCCGAAGCAACAAAACAGGAUGGUGUGCACCUUCUUCGGCUCCGGCCGUGUCUCGCACUUACAAGGUGGUCAAGGUCGAUGAUGGUUCGGCAUGCAAGGUUUUCACUUUAGGGGAGGACACCGGCUGGAGGGUGUCGGAGCCGCCCCAAACCAAAAUCUCCUACAUGGAAAACUCCCCGGUCACUGUGAAUGGUGUCAUGUAUUUCUUAGAGACGCAACAUCGACGCGGUUACACAUUACAUUGCUUUGACAUCGAGAGCGAAGCGUGGAGGAAGACGAUCAGUGGCUCGCACAAACCCAUGGGCCCUGAUGUGUGCCUGGCUGUGCUCAUGGCCGAGCUCAACGGCGCUUUGUGCAUGGUCCAAACAGAGAGAGAGUACCACACACCCAUGACAAAUAACCGACGUGCCAACAUAUGGAUCUUAGCCGAUCUGGAUAUGGGUACAUGGAUUAAGGCGUAUUCCAUUCCAAUGGACGCGUCCACCGAUUAUUGUAGGCCUCUGAGGGUAACACGUGAUGGUGGUAAGUUGAUUUUCUGCAAUGCCUUUUAUGGACACUUUUGUCUGGACACUUUUGAUGGUAAAUUCUUUGUCUGGACACUUUUGCAGAACAGACUCUGGACUGCUGACAGGUUGCUUGCGAGGCGGUGGGAUCAUAACGAUGCUUGUUCAGGCUGUGAUCAAACCCUGGAAACUGCCAAACACCUGAUCCUUGAAUGCCCAUUCGCUAAAGAGGUGUGGUUCAGAGCCAGUGCUUCUUUUCCCCUAGCCGCCCAGGCUGCAUCGAGUGCAUCUUCUAUUAAUUCUAUCGUGGUGGCGCAAGGUUAGAGCCCUGAAGAAGAAAGGAAAAGAGACGGAUAACUGUACUGCGGCUGUAUACAUUGCUUGGCAUCUGUGGCUUGAGAGAAACAACAGGAUUUUCCUGGCAAAGUGUAGCACAAGCUCCACGGUCCUCAUGCUUGUUAGAGACGAGAUCAGCCUCCUAAUGGAGGCCUGGGAGUAGUCGUUAUUGUUUCGGCAGCGUGGCUGCCUGUUUUUCUUUCUUCUUCCUAAUCUACUCUCUCUGGCUGUACUCACGUUACAGUCUUGUACAGUUGUUCCCCCUCCUAUAAUGAAAAGCAGAGCUUCUGCAGUUCCGGUCAAAAAAAAAUGCCUUUUAUGCAGAAAGACAGGAAAUUCGAGCCUACAAUCUUCACACCGAGGCAUGCACGUUACUAUGCAAACUAGAUAGAACCAUGGGCAGAAUUGCUCUUUGCAGCUUGCAGUUGGACCACCUCUUGUCUCAGCCAAGAUUUAGUGUCCGCAGUAGCUGAGUACACUGUGUUUUCUGGAUCUCUUGAAUGCAUGCAUCCAACAAGACACAUAUAUUUUGCUUCGGAUAUUUUUGGACUAGUUCUUCCAAGUCUUUAUGAUCAUUUUUUACAAGUUGUUGCUAGAUUGUGUGUGCUCAUUUUUGGAGAUAAGCAAUAGGCCAAUUAUCAAUUAUGUAAUCUAGAGCUAUGAACUGAUCGUUGGUUUUGUUAACCGCUUGCUUAUGGUUCAAUUAUCUUUUUCUAUGGUGCAUUCAUUUAUUAUUACAAUGUAUAUAGUCGACUAUAUACACCGUACAUUGUAUGGGUGUAAAUCUGAAGAUAAUUCCAACAUGAUGCAGUAGCAAUGACAUCCUUACUGGCAAUGUCGUCUCCAUUUUACUAGAUGCCUCUUUACCGAAGUCUUUGGAGUAUUUCUUCCAGCAGAGAUUGACGCCGUGAAGAAGGUGUUUUUUAAAGAUUUCAUUGUAAUUCUUAGUUAUAGGAGUUACUUUGUAUUUUCUUAGAUCUUAAGUCCAAACCAGUGUAUCUGUAAUUGUUAUGAGUAUCAAUAAAGUUACAGGUGCUUUUAAAAAAAGCUCGCUCGAUGGGUUGCUUCACUCGGUCGUCCCUUGACCUUGACCACUAAUCCUUUGACCCACUGACCGUUGACUUUUCAAUAAAUGAAAAAAUAUUACAAAUUUGAAAGAAGUUUGUGAAUACAAUAUAAGUGGUACGCGCCAUUUGCAAAAAUGCCUAUAAGUGGUGCCUGAAGCACCAAAUAGGAAUUGGCCAAUGAUUAGUAAUCCCUCCGUAAAGAAAUAUAAGAGCGUUUACGUCACUACUUUAGUGAGCUAAACGCUCUUAUAUUUCUUUACAGAGGAAGUACUUUGCACAUUAAACCUAUGGCCUUCUUAUGUUGCAGCUUGGGCCAAGAAAUUCAAUUGUGCCAAUUUCAAUCAUUAUAAGAGGAGUUCAAAUAUGACCUAUGAGUUCAAAUAUGACGUUUAAGUCACUACUUUAGUGAGCUAAACGCUUGUUAGACUAGCUAUGACCUAUGAGUCCAAUUUUUCGCACAGACGGCCAUCACGUCUGUUUUGUAAAUCCGCCAUUAAGCGUUGGCAUUCCACAACUGUUUGAUUCUGUUUAAUAAAUGGUGGAAGUUCUAUAAAAAACUUUAAACUUGGUGUUUUUUUCCUACAGGAUUUUAAGCAUUAGGACUCUUUUUUUUCUAUGCAUGCCAUUUAUUUGUUCUAUAAGUUCCUAGAUUUGUUUAGUAUUGUAUUCAAGCUGUCCACAUUGGCCUAAUUCCUAAGGAUUCUUAGCAUCAUGUGAUCUCGUGAAAAAAUUCUAAGGAUUGAAGUGAACAGGGCAUUCAGAUACUUUACUUUUCCUAUUAUACUUCCGAAUGAGCGCUAAGCAUCCCCGGGAGCUAAUUCACUACCCGACAAGAAAAGUUUGUAGUUCCACUGAGCCGUGCAAGUACGAUGCAGUUCAAAUGCACAUGUAUCAACAUCAUUUUGACCCACGGCAAGUAUUAAGGAAACGAAACUAGCAAAUCAAAUGCAAAUAGCAGUUUCAGACAGCCAAGAAAAAAGCAAUGUUCAGAACAACCAGCAGUAUAAAUCUGCGCUGAACUCCAACCAAAAAACUUCUCGUUCAAGCAGGAAUGACACCAUUUGGGUUCUGAUCCCAUCUUCAUACAUAAACAGACUGCAAGAAGCUUCAGGUCCGGGGAUCCGUGUUUUGCACCACAAAUAUUCAAGGGACUGCUGCAGCUCAUAAGCUCGUACGAGUAAACAAUGUUACAAUUUACGGAUAGAUGGAGUACAAACAUCAGCGCCCUGUAAACAAACUUCUAAGCUCGAGUAAGACACUAGUGAUAGUGAUGUACCUGCAGUCUAGAUCAGAGACCAAGAAGUAACUCGUGAAGCCUGAUCAAAGUAGCCAGACAAAAGCACUACAGACCAAAAGGAUCUCACUUUGUCGAGAGCAUUUCAAUAAUCCUGAAGUAAUAGAACAAAGUACAAUCACCAGUUUAGGUCACACUGAGUUGCGCGGCUGUUUGUCCUCCUUAACUCCAUCGCUAGCUUCGAGCCUUUUUGGACUCCUGCCUUUAUCAGGACCACCAAUAACUCCCCAUGUCUUAAACUGCCGGUGCCGAGCCCUUGCCCUUUCCUUCUCCUCCUCAGAUCUCCUGGAGAAGCAGUAUGGGCAUGAUACACCAUACUCCCAUUUAGGAGAUUCCAUGUCUUCGUCACUAACUGGUUGUUUACAUCCAUAGCAAAGUUUGUGGGUUCCUUGAGCUAACCCGUGCUCCACUGAAACACGCUUGUCAAACACGAAGCAUUCACCUUCCCACAAGCUUUCAGCUUCCGGGAUUUCCUCUAGGUACUUUAAUAUCCCACCCUCCAGAUGGUAAACCUGGCAUGCACAGGUAUGAAACCUCCCAUUAGGGUCGCAACUAUAAGAUAUGUUGCUGUACUAUAUAGAAGUUGAUAGCAUAAAAAUCUUUCAUGCACUAAUUGGUUUUAUAACAGAACUUAUCCACUAGGUUCACUACAUAACCUAGUGCUAUUGAUGGUACAGCACAUGACUAGGUUAACUGUACACAAGAUGCAAUAUUCAACCUAAGGACAAAUUCAUUUCAGUGGUAUAAAAAGUAAUAUGUAGUCAAUUUGUAUACAAUUUAUUUUUAAUCAAGAGGAAAUGCUUCAUGAGGAAAGUCAACAGAAGAAUAAGAAGAGAAAGCCCUCCUGGCAUACCUCUUUAAAUCCCUUGUCAAGGAGAAAGCUCGAUGCCUUCUCACAUCUAAUACCACCAGUGCAAUACAUAGCAACUCGUGGUAGCUCUUUGGGUCCACUGGAAUUCAGAUCUUCUGCUCCCUCAGUUACAGUGUUAUCAUUUACUGAUGACUGGUGACUAUCAGAUUCAGCCAACUGGAAUUGAUUAUCAACCCAAGAUGGGAAUUCUCUAAAUGAUUCCGUGCAUGGAUCAACAGCCCUCUUGAAUUUUCCUAUGCGUAUCUCAUACAUGUUACGCACAUCAAUGACAACCUGCAACAUGGAUAGUGUGAAUGCAUCACGCAGAUGGCAGGGAACUAGACAAAAAUAAAUUCUGAGAUGAAUAAAAGACUCACGGUGUCUGGAUCGCUUAUCAACGAAUUCCAAUCUUUUGGCUUUAUAUACUUGCCAACCCUUUUAGUUGGCAUCACACCAGGGUCUCCAAAACUCACUAUCUGAGAAAUAGUCAAUAAAACAUAAUAAUCUGCAUCACUAAAUACUCAGGUAUUCAAUCAAACAACCAGUAAUAUUUACUAUUAUGCAAGCAAACUAACCAACCUCCUUUUUCAAUUUCACACGGACAUGAUCCCAUCGGAAUGGUGCAUCUUCUCCAGGACCAACAGGAGAAUGGCUGGUAUGUCCAUGAUGGAUAGCCUCGUCCUCUGGAGUAACAGGUGUCUGGAUCACCCUCAAUCCUUUUAACCGAUUGUCUGUUUGAAUAAAGUUCAAAACUUUCUCCACAGCUUCUGGUGUUCCACAUAAACUACCAUUGAUUCCCUCUGGUGCAAGAAUAAUGCCACCUGAAACACGCUGAACAGAAUCAGCCAACCAACCAUGUGAGUGCCCGGUUUCACAGAAACAUUAAUAAAUAAAUACUACUCCCUCCGAUCCAAAAAAUUGUCGUGGCUUUAGUUCAAAUUUGAACUAAAGCUGAACUAAAGCCAUUACACUUUUUUUUGGAUUGGAGGGAGUAGCAGAUAUGGGCAAUUUAUACACAAUAUGAACACCAAGUUACGUUACUGUCAUUAGCCACUUAAUAUUUCGAAGUUGUAAAAGAGUAUAACACAGGAUACAACCAUUAGACCACACAUACUUUUUAACUUUACAUAAGAAAAUAACCAAAUUUAUCAGGUCGACCAUAAAUUGGGUAAUAAUUAUCCCAUAUCAUAUCACUACUGUUCUAGUUAGCAAGAUUCAUCUUAUACAUUAAAUAAAUCAAGUAACAGAACUGAACAUCUUAAUGUAACAAAACAGUAACAAGUACCAGAGAAUUUAAAAACCUAAAUAAAACAAUAGAUGCUCACAAAUUGAACAUCUUGGUGUAACACGCAUCAAGAACUAGAAAUGAGCUGAAGUCGUAAGAAUUAUAAAAUGUACUUAAAUGACAACUCCACGGGAGACAAACCUCUCAAUAAUAUAAUGUGGUUUCUGUGUUACGAGUUUGUGUAGCUUUUCACAUUGGUAAUCCUCGCAUUUGGUAUGCCAUAUCUACGCGCAAUUUGCAAUGGGUUUACAAACAUAAUACAGUAUCUAGCUCAAAAUGGUCAUACAUAUGCACUAUACAAUCCUUUGCGUAUCUAAAAAACUUGGUUAUUUUCCAAUUCAAGGAAAGAACUUUCUAAGCUCCAUGAUCAAUUGAUCUUAAUAUACAAAGUUCAUGACAUGAAUGCAUCAAACAUUUAGUAGAGCACACGCAACAAAAGAGGAAUGUAACAUAGCACAAAAGCUGGUACAAUACAUCACUCGCCAGAUGAUGACACCUCACUAUAACAAAUGCAACCUAUAAAGGAAACAUGUGCAGUAUAGGCAGAUCCGCGGAAUGUUGCUACCACAAUAUCCAUAAAAUGCUUAUUUCGCCCCUGACCUAUCCGUGUCAUUUUUCUAGUCUUCCCUGGCAGGUUAGCUCGAGGUUUUGCAACAUUGCCCACCACUUCAAUUCUUAUAUCUCAUUAGGUCACAAGCGAUGGCCAUCGAUGCAAAGUGAUAAAAAAAAAAAAGCACCAGGAUGGUAUCUGGGUGCGCUCACCAGCUCCUCGCAGAGCUCCUUGAGCGGCCGCCGCAGGUCGGCGUGGUCGGGGAAGUCGGCGAACCUGUAGAACGAGACCACCACCAGCGCCGGAGCCUCGCCUUCUGCGCCUCCAUCCCCCGCGGCCACCGCGAAGCUCCUCCCGUGCGGCGGCGGGGAGACGAGCGGGGCGCUGUUCCGCAGCGGCAUUAGGCGGACGCGACGGCGGGAGACGGCAGGGCUGGGGGCGGGCGGGUCGAGGAUGAGCGAGGUGAUGGAGGGGAGGAGGUGGCGGGCGGCGGCCGUGGCGGCGCGGCGGGCGACAGAAAGUGGUGGGGAGGGCAGCAUCCGGCCUGUCGGGUUUGGGUUGGGUUGGGGCAGAAUUACCGCAGAUUUGGUCUCGUGUUUAUCUUUUGGGAUGGGCUUUUGGGCCACGCUGUUAUUUCCUCAGCGCACCUUACGGCUCUGGCCUUCAGAAAGAUGUGAACUAUUUAAUCCCCAAGAUUCUUAAAAGAGGAUUUUAAAAAAACACCACUGUUUUUCUACAUAACUAACAUUUUUAAAAACAGAAAAUAUUAGAGGUUUUCUAACAUUUUUGGAAAAAUACGAACAAUUUUUUAAAAUGCUAAUACUUUCAUCAAAUUUCUGUACUUUUAAAAAAAAUGUAAAUUGAAAAAGGAAAAACCCGAAGAAAACCAGUAAAAAGGAAGAAAAUACAAAACUGGACCCGAACCAGACCAGAAUCUUCCGGAAAUUCUCAAAAUCAGGAAAAAUCAUACCUAAGCGGGCCAGCCCAGUUAAACGUGUGCGCUAUGUUCCCAUGUACGAAUCAGUGAUUAUUCGCCGGAAUGCAGCAAAUACCAAUUGCCGAUUUCCUAUUAGCCGCAUUCUGCGGCGAAGUGUCGAGUCUAUGCACAGAGAUAUAGCAAGACCUUCUACCCGAGGUUUACUGGUUUGGGGAGCAUUCUCCUAUUUGUUUUCUUUACAAGAUUUUAUUUUUUUAGAGUUUUUCAUUUCCUUUUUAUUUUUUAUUUCAUUUAUUUUUCAAAAAAAAUACAAAGCCAUAAAAAAGAUUAUUUUACAAAAAUAUUGUUUAUUUUUUCAUUAUUUUAAAAUUCUGCGUUUUUUAAAAAAUUGUUUGGAUUUUCAAAAAUUAUUCGCUAAACCAAAAAAGUAUUCAAAAAUUGUUCACCAUUUUAAAAGUCAUUCGCAAUUUGAUAAAAAAUGUUCAGAUAUUUCAAGAUUGAUUUAAUUUCAUAAAGUUUUCACGUUUUAGAAAAAUAUGUGAAUUCAAAAUUAAAAAAAAUCAAAUUUUCAAAAAAUGGCCGUGUCUUCAAAUUUUUUUAAAUGUUUGCAUUUAUGUAAAAUUGCUCGGAGUUUCAAAAAAUGUUUCCAUUUCCAAACAGUCACAAUUUCAAAAGAAGAACUAAAUUUUGUAAAAUGUUCGCUACAUGCCCGGGCGCUACAUUGCAUCAACUGCUACAGUAGCUGGUCCACGACAAUGUCGUUGUUUUAGAGAAGUGUCGGUUGCUACAUUGGAUCGUUUUUACUAAAGUCUAUUGCCAAAAAAAACUAAUGGUUACAGCUAAUGGGAGUGGGCCGGCCUAUCAGCAUGCGCGCUGUCGUUUCCCCUCCGAUUUAAUUCAACUAGUGUUAAAUAGGAGGUCCCACGUGCACAUAGGUAUUGACAUGUGGCGAAGUGCAUGUGCAUCAUUUGUCGCAAUUAGAGAGUUUUCAUGUAAUUUCUUCUUACGCGCAGAAGAGAUCGGUGGGUUUAUUUGUACUUUUUCAUAGAUUUUUUUUCUAAACGAUUUAUCUCUCAAACAUGCAUCCAAAUAACGAACCAUUUUCUCCUUUGCGUUUCUCGCCUCAAGGUCUUAAAAAUUACUCCCUCUGUCUCAUAAUGUAGUGUCAAGAAACGUUUUACAUUAUAGGACGGAGGGAGUAGAUCAUAUGAACUUUUUUGAGGCACCAAAAAUGUACUAACUCGUGUUUCAAAAUUAUACUAACCCGUGCUUGAAAAACUAUACUAACUUUGGUUUACUUUUGAGGAAGCACAACUAUGCUUUUUCACAUCAGAAGCACAUUUGGGUUUUCGCACUAGAAGCAUAAUUAUGCUUCUCUACUUCACUUUUUGGGGAAGGAGAAACCACAACCGUGCUUUCAUGCAAGAAGCACAGUUGCGCUUUCACGCUCCACGUUCAUGAUAGAAAAAACAAAACAAAAACACAAAGAAAAAAGGAAAAGUUAAAAAAGAAAAAUAAACACAGAAAAAACUAAAACCAUGAAGUUAUGUUGAGUGGUUACGUUGAGUGGUUACUUUGGGUCCGUGCAAUUGAGAAAUGAUAAAUUGAACAUUUUAAUCAUAGAAUUGUUUGUCUUUUGGAUGAUUGCAUAGUCACACUGAGCAACACUACUAGAAAUCCACAUUUUACCUAGGGCCAUAUACCCUAGAUGAAAUGUAAAAAACCAUAGGGAAAGACUUUACCUAGAGCUUGCCCUAGGUAAAGAACCCUAGGUGUAGUAUAGUCGGGAAAUAGCUCUUUUCCCUAGAGUGCAUGAGGGAAGCCCUAGGGAAACCAUCUUUACCUAGGGGCACAAACCCUAGGGAAAGAUUGUAGGGUCCAUCUAAAUUGUGCCACCCCACAACUUUUCCUAGAGUUCUUUCCCUACCAAAUGUUUGAAUAAUACCCUAGGGAUACAUCAUAUUCAUAUCUUUCCUGUACAAAUAUGCAAUUUGAAUAUAAAUUCAUAUCAACCAUAAUUCAAAUAAUUAAAUCAGAGCAAAAUUUCAAAUUUGUAAAUCACAUCCAAAAUUCAUCACACACCACAUCCGAUUCAUAAUCAAUGAACACAUACAUCAGAUAUGUAGUCUACUAAAGGCCAAAUUCAAAAAAUAAGCUAUGACAAGCUAGUCGUUGCAAGUAGAACACCGUGACCAACAUGUACAAGCAUUGUUGGUCACGCGGAGUAUCAAAUAAACUUGUUACAACAUGCUAUCUAUACAUGCACCCGACAUCAUUAACUAUCAAGAGGUUGGCUUCCGAGGAGUGACAAGCUGAGGUAGUUCCAGAUGCAUUAUCAAUAAAAAUCCAAACAUCCCUACAACACCAGCGUCAGGCUCCAGAAUCAAAUCUUGUGGAGAAGCAUCCAGAGUGACAUUAUGGUCCUGAAAUUAUGAUGACAAGCAGUUUAGCACAUAGUUAUAAGGGAAACACUUCACAUCAGUAGUCUGAUAGUUUUCAUUCCCUCGGACGUCUUCUGUGCCGUCCAUCUUGUAUCACAUCCAAUGGCUCGUGUAGUUAGCUUCUAAUGUCCUGAAAUUGCUCAUAACUGCCAUCAAAUUACGUGGUUUUCAUUAAUGGUUGAAACCAGCGUCCGUCUUCCCACGACCGACAAAUCGGGCGACUAUCCUCUCUGUCAUUCUCACCCACGGCCGUGAAGCCUUCCUCCACCUGCCGCUCCGCCUGUCCUUGUGGUGCUCUUCCCCACCCGCGGCGACGACAUCCCCUACACGAUCGCGGCACGCCCCGUAGAUGAACCCAAACCCUCGAUCUUCUCCGUGAUGCAUCCUAAUUCUCCACCAUAAUGCCAGAUGUGAUCUACAAAUUAGGACGGGAGAGGACGGUGAAUGUCUGUUGUUCUAGUCACCAUCAUGGGAGCAAAUUGGCAACGCACGCUUAACUGCCGGCCAGUCGACGGUGCCGACCGCGCUGCUCCUUGCUACUCGCCGGUGUUGACACUCACAGCUUUUGGGAAGAAGAGGAGGUCGUCAAGAUGGCGGCCGGAGCGGAGCGUCGAGGGAUGGGUUUGACGCCCACAAAUCAGGCAUGAAGCAUGCAUGCUUCCUUACAUGGGAUUCCCUGCUUCUUUCAUGUCUGACCAUUGCUUCCGACCCCAGCCUCGCAUGUGCAAGAGGACGUUAGGCAUGUCAAGUCUUCCCUGGCCCUGUCUAACCACCACACUCUCGCUACGUUGGUCCGAUCUGAUCGUUGCUGCUCCGAUCUCGUCGAAGCUAAAGACAUCACACUUCGUAUGGUGCUCAUCUUCCAGGAUGGGCAUCAUCCGGUUGGGCUUCCAUGUUCAUGUGUUGUUAUAUCUUGUAUGGAAGCAAUCUCCAAUAUAUACUGAAAGAAAUUUUUGUUUUCUUUGGUAGCAAAUUAUGAUCUCAUUUGAAAGAAAUUUUGAUGGAAACAUACACCCAUCAGAAAAUUGGUCAUUGGAAAAUGUACAUGCAACAUUCUGGAAAUAAAGCUCAACCUCUCUGGAAGCACAUGCUCAUUUUGUUGGAAGCAGACGCAAUUGUUACAUAGCACAUGUAUGCCGCAUCAUCUUCUUAAUUUUUUAUCCAAGAUAUCUACUUCGCUUCUUUCCCACAAAAAUGAAGCUUCGGUUACACAAUGACCAAACGUCGUAUGUUUCACGAAACAUGUAUGCUUGCUAUAUAGUUGAACAAAGUUUGAGUUAGACACAAAUUAUGCUUCUAACAAUAGUGCACUAUGCUUCCUAUGCAUCCAAAUAAAUCAAGCGUCUCUUACACAGUAAUCAGGUUUGCUUCCACCAUUACUGCUUGAUGCACGUCCAGAUUACAUGUUGACUACAACGAAUCAUUUCAGUUUAGACAUCCUAGUUUCAUCCGAGAAUAUAUACAUUUGGAACGAUUUUUUGGAGUAUCUUUAUUUUGGAACCAUUUUUUUAAUAAUAUGUUUCCGUGGCAUGGUUUUCAAUGAUAAAAAGGUAAAUUUGCCAUACCAUGUUUGCGCUGCAAAAAAAAAAAGAACAUAUCCAGAAAAUAAUUGAUUUUUUAUCAGCUUAUUGGAAGCAAGUCCGCAAUUAGAAGGAAGCAUUAUUUUUUGUAUUUGUUUGUUGGAAGCAAUCACGGCUUACCAAAAUAAUUAACGUAAUUUCUGGACGCAGUUAUUUAUUAGAAGCAUAGAUUUAGGAAGGGUGGAAAGGUCAGCGGGAGGACUUGCUAAAUAUUUGUGAGAGUACUUAUCAGAAGCAUUUAAUUAGGAAAGAAAUAACUCGGAGCCUAACAAAUAGUAUCAGAUCGGAUGAAUAGCAUGAAGUUAAUCCUAGUGGUCUGAUGGGAAGCAAGGGAUCAGUAGUCUGAUCCCUAGCAGUUCCCUAGUUAUAAGGCUCGAGUAUUCUGGUAGAAUUUUGGAAGCAUAAUUAUAAUGUGCACAAUAUGGAGAGGACAAGAGAAUGUAAUCCCUCCCCACAGCACACAUAGCCCUGGUAAUAAUAUGAUCAUGCUUCGCACCAAAGCAGCAGAACCAUACAUACCACCACACAUAAAGCUUUGCUCAUCGCAAAAGCAGGCAUUUGAACAUCAGAAUUGCAGGAACAUCCAAAGUUUGUAUAAUCCGAAGUUAAUUUCAGAAAACUUACAUGAUCUGCAUGUUGCUAAGCACACAAAUUUAGUGGUUCUUGGCUCUUUUCAAGGGUCUGCAAGACAAGGUCCCGGUUGUGAAAAGAUACAUGUGCAUGCUCAUGUAAAUCAACUUGUUAGCCGUGUCUCAAAUAGAUUAUAUUACGUACAUGGCCAGUUAAGCGAUGUGUUGUGUACACACUACUCAGAUCAUGCUUACUCUGUUCUACAGGAAAAACGAAGCAAAGGAAAGGAUAGCUCUAUGGAUUAGUGUUCCCCUAGUUCUGUAAAGCUUCAUUCACUGCUGGGGGCCCGUCAGUUUGACAAGCUCACAGAUUAGUGCAGUGUUUCGUGAAGAGACUGAUAGCAUAGUUGCUCGCCACCCAUCUAUGUGGGACAUCGAUCCAACACUGGUUACAGUUUGUUGUCUCUACAGAUUGCUAAUGCAACACAUUUCUCAGAGUAAUACUAUAUUUGCUUGGACUUCAGCUCAUGCUCCCAACUAUUGGAUGUACGAUGGCAUCAUUCAAGGGAGUCGAGCAAGGGAGAUUACUAAUGCAUUGCAUAAAGAAAUAAGUUUUUCUGAGUGUGAUGCCGAUGAUCUCAAGAUGGUGUGUGGCAAUUUAAUGAAAGAUUCAAAGAUUCCUUUUUGUGGUGGUUACAGAUGACAAUAUGCCUUUCAGAAAAGGGUCUCCCCGUUGGGUUUCUAUCACCUUGAAGCACAAGAAACUACAUGAGGAUACAAAAACUCUGCUGACAAGGGCAUCAUCAAUCUUCGUACAAUUUCAAGGAACUAAUAGCUCAUCUGGAUUACCAAAUGUCUUGUUUCAAGGGUGCAGCAACCUUGCUGUGCUUACUCUGUCUUGUUGUGCCUUCAGUUUUGCAUGGCCUCCUUUCCACCACUGCAAUAAAUUAAAAUUCCUUGGAUUAGACCACUGCACAGAUCUUGACAAGGCCAAACUUGAAGAACAGAGCUGCAGCACCAAGUGGGCAUGUCUGCAUAGCCUGUAUGUGCUUGAUCUGCGUUACACAUGUUGGGAUGAGAUUUUAUCGGGGGAGAAUGUGGAUGUUAUGGCCAACGUCAUGGAGCUAAACAUAGAGGGAGUCAAGGGUUGGCAGUACACAAAUCUAUUACAAAAAAGGCUGCCUUACCUCGAGUACGUUGCAUUUGGAUGGCCCGUUGCAUUUGGAUGAAAGGCUCCAGCUAUGGUUACGACUUGACAAAUCUGCAACAUCUGCACCUUCAUUCAUGCCCAAGCCUCGAGUACGCGCUUCCAGUAUGCACAGUCGACAACUCUUUCCCCAGCUUGAAGACCCUCUACAUCAUCCGCUGCGGCGACCUCAUGCACGUAUUUAUGCAAAGCAACCAGGAGGAUCCUCCAAGCAGCGUCAAGUUCCCAAAGCUGACCACGAUCCACCUGUACGACCUGCCGUCGCUGCAGCAGAUAUGCGAGGACGCCGAGACACUGGCGCCCGCACUGGAGAACACCAGGAUCAGGGGAUGCUGGAGCUUGCGUCGGCUGCCAGCCUUGAAGGGCCGCGAGCCGGACACGAGGAGGCCCACAGUGGAGAUAGAGAAGGACGUGUGGGACGCUCUGGAGUGGGGCGGGGUGGAAUCGGGGCACCACCCUUCCCUCUACGAGGCGCCCGUGCAGUCGCGGUACUACAAGAGGUCCAUGCCCAGGGGCACAGUUCUCAGGUAUACUUUCUAAGUAGACACGCUAAAGGACUAGGCUGUAGCCUAGUGGCAAGGGACGCGGUGGCAAAUUUGUGGUGACUCACCCGGUUGGGCCUAUAAAAAUAUGUCCAUGGUUGCUAGUGCCCAUGGAUCUUUUUUUUUUAUUAGGCACGCUAUCAUUACUACAGUGUAUAUCAUCAUGUAGGCAUAGUCACUGCAUGUAAUGUUGUAUUAUAAACAUUGUAGCUAGCUAAUUGGUUUGCUUCGCAAUCUGCCCAGGUGAAAAUCGUUCUAAACUAUGCAUCUGCUGCUGCCGUUGGUUAUGUCAUCAGAUUCGGUGGCGUGUUCCCCUCCAAAAUGAAAACAAGAUUCAGUGUGUUGGUGUGACGCGAUGGAUGCUUGCCGACAAUGCUAGCAGGUGUUGGUUGAUCAGUUGGUGUGUGUAGCAAGCGAAGGAAUGGAGCUGCUUCAGGCUUGGUUGCUGCCGUGACGGCCGGCCGACUUGGCCUGCAUCCGUUUGCUGUGUGUUUUACCUUUGAAAUAAGAAAGGCAACCGGCCGACUUGGCUUGGUUGCUUCCUGCGUGCAAACCUGCCCGUGGUCGAGGUGCGACCACCGACAGUGUAUCUGUGUGUGUUUGGUUUCUGUGGCUUCAGUUCCACAGGUGUUUGUCCGUUGGUCUGUCUCCCGGCCCGUUUGAGAGCAUGGUUAAUAGUAUAGCCAAUUGCUGGCUAUAAGCCAUUGCCAUGUCAUCUAUAGCCCAUUUUAUAGCUAAUAUGUAUAAUAGUUGAUCAAAAGAGUGUACUAUUUUUUAUUAUAUGACCCACAUUUCACUCCACAAAAUGUAUAGAAGCACGUGCUAGAGCUGGCUCUUCACCAAGAGCCUGCUUAUCUUCUCUCUCCUUUUUUCUUUCCUCCAACUAAGCAAGAAUAUAUAUACUAGUUUAUUUUUUAUAACCAGCUGACUCAGCUCUAUUGUACUUGCUCUGAGACGGAGCAGAGUAGCAACUGAAACUGUAAUAAUCAGCGUGGCUGCUCGUGUUGUGUGCGAUUUGAUUGCUGCUCGCUCGUGGGAGCGGGAGUGCUACCUAUUUAUCUGUACUAUCUGUUAUAGACCAAAACUGAGGCCGAUUCCUCAUUGCUAAUGCUUAAUUAUCCAUGAGUUUGGUGUGCCAAUCACAAUCAUGUUUUGCUUUUCACUUUUUUUUUCGAAAAGGAGGAUAGCACACUCGGCUUCGGCUUGCAUAGAUUAAUAUACACAACCAAUAUAUUAUUUGAUUAUGUGGGUUCCAGUUUCUACCUCCUAAUUUACAUUUGUCUUACACUGAUUACCUCAUUUAGCAAUAUUUCAUUCGUUUUACAGCAUUUAGUAAAAAUGUUGUCAGAUUUUACACCGUUUUAAAUCUUGUGAGGGGUCCGACUGGUGGGUCAUCAACCAACAGGUAGACAACUCUAAUUUUUUAAGAAAAAACAACAGCCCUUUUUGUCUUUUUUAGAAGAACAGUCUUUUUUGACUGGCCGGCUAUGGAAGGCCAACAGACAAUCCAUUUGCCUGCUGCCUCUUGGACCCACUGAGACAUGUAUGCGUACCAGCGCAAGCCCACUUUUUUGGGCUCAACUCAUUACACAGCAAACUUUGUAUGGUGUUUCUCUUCCUCAAGGGAGGCAUUUGCGGUUGGACACUCCUCAUGACCCAGCCAUUAUUCAUGUAAACACUGUGAUACAUCAAUUAAGAGCCUACCUUUGUUGGCUUAAAAAAAUCAAACUCAGAACGACAAAGUCAACAUACUACCGCAUUAACUGCUAGACCAAACUUGACUUGUCGUCUAAUAGUAGUAAAUAACACUAUUUGACCCUUGUACUACUGCAUAUAACAUAUAUUAUAUACCAGAGGCGGAGCCAGGAUUUGUCGAAGCCUAGGGCUAAAUCGAAACAGCUAUAAAUAAGCCAAAUACCAUCACCCCAAAAAUACCUAAAAAUACUAAAUUAUCACACAUACUAAUGCAUGUUAUAAGUAUAACACAAAUUCAAAUUCAUUAUUAGCAUGAGAGCAAAUUUAAUAAACAUUUGCGUCAUCGCAAACGUUCGUACUAAAUUAGUGAAGAUUGGCUUCAUUUGAGGCCAUUAUUUCUUCAUCAAGAAUAGUAGAAGGGCCACGAGUUGUGAACAUAAAAUUGAGUAUUUACUCAAAAACUAGACGUAUACCAAGUCAAUUGCUCAUAUGAAAUUGUGUAGAAAAUAACAUAUUAUACCAUUAUCACAAAGUGCACGAGGUAGAAGCCCCAUGCGUUUCCUUAUUUUUCUGUUAGCACUGUAUAAUCUUAAUUGUCCGGGUCCUCUUCAUCUUUGAUCUAUUUAAUAUCCCCAAUUCAUUGAUUUCCGCUGAUAAAGGAAACAAGGAAGAAGUAUUACUAGAUGAUACAACAAACUUAAAAUUACCUCUCCAGCCGGUUGUGGGAAUCGUGAGAUUGGUUGAUGGAGCACACGACGCAUCGAUGGGGCUUCUCCAACGAUACGAUGCGAAAGAUCUGAGUUCGAAGUGCCGGCCGCCGGGGCGCGCGUCUGGUGGAGACGGAGUCGGGCAGUACAGGAGAGUCGGCGGGGCAGUUUUUCUAUGGAUCGAUCUGGCAAGACGAGGAUCGUGCGUCGUGGGGUGAGGGGGCUAGCGAUUGCUUGGACAGGUUGUGUCAACUGGGCUUCUCGGGAUGGAGAACUCUGUUGAAAUUGGAUGCAGGAUUGUUUAUGGCUGAGACCUGGGGCUGCUGGGUUUGCUUGCCUGGGGCUGGGCCUCUACUCUUAACACAGGAAAAUUCUUGCUAGAUAUAUAACCUACUAGAUGGGCCACGCCUGGGGCUACAGCCCCAGUUGCCCCAGGCCUGAUUCCGCCCCUGUUAUAUACUGAGUAUAAAUUAACUGAAAACGCAUAAUCUUGAAAAAGAAUUCUCAAAAAUAUGAAAAAACGAACAUGAAUAAAAACAUAUGAACUUGGAAAUGUUCAAAUUUUGAAAAACAAUUCAUGAAUAUGAAAAAAAGUUCAUCUAUUUUAAACAAAAAUUGAAAAAAGUUCAUUGAUUUUGAAAAAAAAAUGUUCAUAGAAUUGAAAAAAAGACUUAAUCGAAUUUGAAAAAAAUCACUGAAUUGCAAGAAAAAUCGUUUCUAAAAAUUCAUCAAUUUAAAAAAAUCGCUGAAUUUGAAAGAAAAGCACAUCUUAUGUGAAAAUGUUUACCGAUUUUUUUAAAAAAAUCUUCAAUUUGAGAAAAAGUUCAUAAAAUUUUAACAAAAGUUCAUCAAAUUUGUAGAAAUGUUGUGAAAUUAAUAAAAGAUAAAGAUUGUUAAGGAAAAGUCACGAAUUUUAAAAAAUAAAAUGAAAAGAAAAAAUAAAGAGAAAGAGAAAAUGAAAAGACUAGAAGAAAAAUCAGACAAAACAAAAACUGAAUAAAAAAAUAGGGGAACUCUAGCGUUUUUGUGUUUUAUUAAAGAAGCCGAAAGAAGUAUGAACAUCACAAGAGUCAAGAGCCAUGGUGUCCCGAUGGUCGCCACUGUUUGCUCUAUGCAUGGCUUCUCGAGUUCAAAUCAACAGCAGCAUAGAAUGUUUUCAAUUUUUCUCGAGUUUGCUCUAUUGGGCACUUUACGCCCUAUUUGUUUGGGCUUUUGCUUAUGCUUUUAUAGCUUUUCCACUUUGGCGAAGAAGCCAUAAAAGCUCCUAAAUAUGUGCUUUUGGAGGUUUUAUGGCUCUUUUGGAGGUUUUAUGGCUUCUGGAGCGCAAUAUUGUUAUAUUGAUUCAUCAAUAGCCAUAAAAGCUCUAAAAGCACCUAUUUAGGAGCUUUUAAGGUUUUUUAUCAAAGUGGAAAAGCUACAAAAGCAUAAGCAAAAGCCCAAACAAACAGGGCAUUAAGAACGAGCUUUUUUGAGAAUUAAUUUAAGCGCCGCCUACCAUGGGGAAUCCUACACACCGCGCAGGUCGUCCGCCAGGGACCUGGUGCGAACCACCCUAGCGCGCUGGGCGUUGCCGGCCCAUUUUACAGAUUUCCCUUUCUUUUUCUUUUUGUGUUUUUCUUUUCUAAUUCCAUUUUCUUUUCUCUUUUUCGUUCUUUACUUUUUCAGUUUUUUGCAAAUUUGUUUUUUCAAAUUCGUUAACAUUUUUUACAUGAUCAAAUUCGAAACAUGUCCGUCCAUGUAAAAAAUUGUUCAAUAAUUCAAAAAAAAUCAUGGAAUUCAUUUUUGUCAUUGGGUUUAGAAAAUGUUCACCAAGAUUCAAAAGCAAAUCAUUGAAUUAAAAUAAUGUUCAUCAAAUUUUAAAUUUGUUCAUCGAUUUCACAAAAUGUUCAUCAAACUCAAAAUUUUAUCAUAGAAUUUAAAAUUUGUUCAUCCAUUUUUCCAAAAAAAACAUCUUCAAUACAUACUUGUUGCAUCAAGGCCAAAAAUUGUUCAUCAUUAUUAAAAAUGUUCAUUCUUUUGAAAUCAUGGGCAUUUUUUUAAUUCAAGAACUAUUCUUGACAACUCACAAUUAAUUAGUUUUUUGAAAUUUUAGAACCUUUUCUAAUCCUGAAUUAUUUUAGCAAAGAAUAAAAAACCGAAAGUAAACAACAACAAAAAACUUCAUCCCCGCAAAUGGGCUGUCCCAAACAGGAGCGUGCGGUAUAGGGAGGUUGUUUAUUGGAACGACGGGAGCUGCUAGUCAGCGCCUUAGGCGCCAGCGUGGUGUUUUCAGUGCUGCUCACUCGGUCAUGUUAGACUGGUGGACCCCUAAAAAAAUGUUAGGCUAGUUGACCAUUGACUGACGCCUUGAAAGAAUGACCGUUGACUUUCUUUAAAAUGUUUAAGGGUUUGAAAAAAUUCGUGAAUUUGAAAACGUUCAUCGAUUUGGAAAAAAAAGUUCAUCAUUUUGAAGAAAAAGUUCACAAACUUGAAAAAGGUUCAUCAAUAUUUAAAAAAGUUUGUCGAUACAACAAAACAUUAAUUUUGAAAAAAGUUCUUAAAAACAAAAAAGAUCAUCAAUUUUGAAAAAUGUUUUCGAAAAAAGAAAAAAUAUAAUCAAUUUGGAAAAACUUCGUCAUCAAAUUUUAAAAAAGUUCAUCAAUUUUGAAAAACAGUUCAUCAAUUAUGGAGAAAGUGCACCGGAUUAAAAAAAUGUUGAUCCGUUUAAAUAAAGUUCAUCGAAUUAGAAAACAAGUUCAUCGAUCUUGAAGAAAAGCUCAUCGAUUUUCAAAAAGGUUCAUGUAAUUUGAAAGGAGUUCGUCUAUUUUGAAAAUAAUCAUCAAAUUUGAAAAAAGUUCAUGGAAUCUGAAAAAAAUCAUCAAUUUUAAAAAACAUGAAAUUCGUUAAAAAAGAUCACACAUUAAAAAAAGGAAAAAACAGGAAAACCGUAUAAAGAUAUCCGUGAAUUAAACCGCAAACCGGGUUUUCACGAUGUGAAGAAACGAAAUAAAAUUGGGAAGCAAAAAUCUUUGCAGACUAGAUGGUCUAUCCUGGUGGUUAGACCUAAGCGGUCACAACGAUCAGGACGAUGGUUUGAAUCCCAGUUCUUGCACCUUUUUUAAUGUUUUUGAAUCACAAGAAAAAAAUGGGCCGGCCCAGUUUGGACUACUGCAGGCGCCCGUUUGCAAAUUGCACUAUAACGGGCGCCUGCAACGCCAAAUAGAAAUUGCCUGGAACGACCUCUGGUGUGCAUCGUGCCAUAUAGGAGGUCCCAGUUAGCGUUGUUGGCACUGGCACGCGACGCGUAGCUUGCAGGCCCAGAAACAUUUACCCUUCAAAUAAAAGAAGCAAUUAUGUCCUGACAACGUGGUAUGACAACCACUAUACUAAGUUCAGUUAGUUGUAUACUAAUAGGAAAACAUGAGCUAUCUGACCAGUACAUAAUAUUUCAAAAAGAAAAACGUAAAUUACUAAAAGAAUUCACAAAAAAUUGAAAGGACCAAGAAUUUGAAUAAGGUUCGUACAAAUUGAGAAAAGUUGGCGAAUUUGAGAAAUAUUCACGAACUUGAAAAGGUUCGUACAAAGUUGUUAAAAGUUCAUGCAUUUGAAAAAUAAUAAUGAAUCUAGAAUAAGUUCAUCAAUUUUGAAAAACAGUUCACCGAAUUUGGAAAUAAGUCAUCAAGCUUGCAAAACAUUCUAAAAUUGGAAAAAGGUCCAUCCAUUUUGAAUCUAUUCAAAAAAUGCAUACAGAUUUUUAAAAUUUCACAGACAGAAUUUUGUAUUGGGUGAUUUUUUUUUGAAAUGUAUGAAACUUGUUUGUUAAUAAAACAAACCUAUUUUACAUUUUAUUGCAUUUUUUAAAAUCUGAAAUACAUAUUUUUAAAUGUGCAAAAUUGCACUUUUUAAAUGUCACAAUUUUGUUUGCUAUCAUUAUUUGUAUAAAAUUACAAUAGAAAAACAAUUACUGGACGUUAACAUUUUUAGAACAUUCGUGGUUAACAUUUAAGAAAAAUUAGUACUGCAACUUUUUGGAACAUAUGUAUUUCUAAUAUUUUUAUAAAUAACACAAACGGAAAGAAGGACAAAAGCUGGUGCUCAUGUACCUGCAUGAAUAUGGGCCAGCCCAUUGGUGGCGUCCUUGAGGCGAGAGGUGCUUGUGACUCGCAGCAGGCGAAACACAGACGCUCUGAAGGCCGAGCCAUUCGAUCGGGCUAGCCUUGCCGAGUGCGCGUCGCCUAAAGAAUAAACCAUGGAAAAUGUCAGAUUGCUUACUUUAGAAAAAAUAAAGUGGAAAUGUUUUCUAGAGAAAGAUUGGCGUGAAUUUUUGGGACAUGGGUCUAGGCACACCCAAUUUAGGAAAAUCAUUUUUUAAUGUUUGAAAGAGUCAAUAUUUUUGAAACUUUUUUGUGGCAAACAUGUUGUAUUGUUAUACAUGUGUAUAAAGUUUCACAACAAAAUGUUUUUUUGUGGAAAUCCUGGCAAAAAAACAACAAUAUUGCGUGCACGAAGAGGAUGCAUAGUAACUUUUAUAUUGUAUCGUUUUUAUUUUAAUUCGGCCAGGAUAGAAUGUAAGUCAUUUUGUUGUGAAAUUAUACGGACAUGCAUGACGUAGACCAUUUUUGUUCCAAUAAACUUCCAAAAUAUUUACUUUUUUCUAAAAAGAAAGAAAUCGGGUCCAUGUGCACCCAUGUCCAUCGUUGUAUUUUCGGUGAAAGAUGAACUAAUUUAUAGUGAAUAUGAAUAGUGCAACUUCAUGAUGCGGUCUUUAUGAUGAUAGUAUGUUGACGUACAUUUUUUUACAACGAUAAUGAAAUGGUGCAUAUUUUUAUGAUGCGUUUUUCUCCACAUGGCUAACAUUCAUGUUUGUGAAUAUUCGAAGUGAAUGAGACGAUCCCUAAAGGACUGUCUUUGUCUUAGGUUCACAACGUCAGUGGUAAUAUAUAGAGAGAGUACAACAUGAAUGCUACCUUCUUAAUUUGACAUUCACGUAGGACGGGGAAUUAAUCAUGAUGUGUGUAAACUAGAAAUUACUCCCUCUGUCUUAAAAUGUAAGACGUUUUUUAACACUACGAACAGAGGGAGUACUUUGCAACACAUUGUUACCAAACACAAGCAUGCACAUCCGUGAUGGAAGUACCAGAGUAGAAGAGAAGCAGCGACGGAGUAAAACUACUACACCAAGGUAGAUCGAUGUUACUGGUGUGACAGCGAGCUUGGUUCGAAAGCUAUUGUUGGGACCAUAGUCCAUAGGUGAAGUGAACACAUGGUCGAGAAAGUGACAAGAGGCAUUUAGUUGGGGUUUGCCGCGGCAGGCAGCCGCGCAUCUGGUCCCAACCACAUGCCACGGCCGAAACCAUCCAAUCUAAUCCACCCACUAGCCAGGUGUGAGCAGUACGUACAAACACGGCUACACCAACUAUGUACACCACGCAGCUCAAAUCAAGAAAAAUAUGUACACCUCAUACACCGACGACAUCGAUCACUUUCACUUCUCAUUUUACUGGUAAUUGUACCGAGGUAAAUACCCCUCCACUUUUUCUUUUUCUUUUUCUUUUUGCAAGUAAGGCUCGACUAGCUAAAAAAUCAAAAAUAUUUUAGUGAUGUAAUAUCUCCACAAUCCAUGUCACACUAACAGAUUAAAGUUCAACUAAAAAUUUAAAGUUAGUUUACAUGUGAGAAUUUUCAUAUGUGAACAGGGAGAGAAAUGCAGGACGGCAUAACACGUUGGCCUAUGUGAAAACCCCACGAACUAUAGUAUGCUUUUCUAAAAGAUACUCUUUUGAUUUUGUAGAGAUCAAAAAAAGAAUUGCAAAGUUUGUGACCAAAGGUCCGUAUGAAAAUUGAAAUGUUACGCUGCCCUGCCCCGCUGAAUCCGAAUCUUCUCUAGGUAAUCCACGGAGCAAGAUUUAUCUGGUUGGUCGAGGCGGUGGCUAUAAUUGCGCUCGGAAGGACGUCGCGGGUCGACGUGGCUAGCUGGCAUCCCAUGUGGGCUGCAAGAAGAGCCUUCGUUAAAUGGUGGAGACAGAGGUAAUCGGCGAUGUGUGCGAGCGUGUUGCAAGGAUCAAUGGCCGUAACCGUGGACAUAUGUGGUUGGGACGGCCUGUCUCGAGGCCUGGGGCAGUGGCAGAUCUAGGGUGGGGCCAUGGGGCCAUGGCCCCCUCAAACAAUUUACAAAUUCUAUUUUACUACUGCAAUGUUUGUUCAUCAUACUAAUUUAUGUGCAUUGUAGUGUAUAUUUUUUCUAACCAUUGGAAUGUAGUUCAUGGUUGGCCCCCACAUUGUCAAAUCCUAGAUCCGCCACUGCCUGGGGUUACAUCAUUCAUCUCCUGCCAAUUAAGUUCGGCUACACCAACUAGCCAGGUGUGAGCAGUACGUACCAAACACGGCUACACUAACUAUAUAUGUACACCACGCAACUCAAAACAAGAAAAACAUGUACACCUCCUACACCGACGACAUCGACCACUUUCACUUCUCAUUUUACUGCUAACUUUACCAGGGUAAAUACCCCUCCACUUUUUCUUUUUCUUUUUGCCAGUAAGGCUCCACUAACUAAAAUAAAUCAAAAAUAUUUUAGUGAUGUAAUAUUUCCACAAUCCAUGUCACACUAACAGAUUAAAGUUCAACUAAAAAAUUAAAGUUAGUUUACAUGUGAGAAUUUUCAUAUGUGAACAGGGAGAGAAAUGCAGGACAGCAUAACACGUUGGCCUAUGUGAAAAACCCGCGAACUAUAGUAUGCUUUUCUAAAAGAUACUCUUUUAAUUUUGUAGAGAUCAGAAAAAAGAAAUGCAAAGUUUGCGACCAAAGGUCCAUAUGAAAAUUGAAAUGUUAUGCUGCCCCGCUGAUCCGAAUCUUCUCUAGGUGACCCACGGAGGCAAGAUUAAUCUAGUUGGUCGAGGCAGGGGCUAUAAUUGCGCUCGGAAGGAUGUCGCGGGUCGACGUGGCUAGGUGACAUCCCAUGUGGGCUGCAAGAAGAGCCUUCGUUAAAUGGUGGAGGCAGAGGUAAUCGACAAUGUGUGCGAGCGUGUUGCGAGGAUCGAUGGUCGUAGCCGUGGACAUAUGUGGUCGGGACGGCGUGUCUCAAGGCCUGGGGAUUGCAUCAUUCAUCUCCUGCCAAUUAAGUUUGGGGUGAGGCAACCUUGAAUAGUCGUGUCGCUGUUUCUUAUAAGUUACAACUCAGUGUUGCAAAGGGCUCCCAUAUCUCUAAUGUGAGUUGAGGGCAAAAUCUUGGCAUCUGUUCUGAUGGGAGACAGAAGGAAAUAUGCCCUAGAGGCAAUAAUAAAGUUGUUAUUUAUAUUUCCUUAUAUCAUGAUAAAUGUUUAUUAUUCAUGCUAGAAUUGUAUUAACCGGAAACUUAGUACAUGUGUGAAUAUAUAUUGACAAACUAAGUGUCACUAGUAUGCCUCUACUUCACUAGCUCGUUGAAUCAAAGAUGGUUAAGUUUCCUAGUGUAAGUGCAUCUAGUGCCCCUUAGUGAUUUUGGUGUAUUGAAGACUUAUAGGUUAAGGGAAUAAUAUGUUUAUGAGUGUACACAGGUCUAUAAGUCUAUGAGGAGUUUGAUAUUUACAUAGAAAGUCGACCCCUGAAAAUGAAGUUCUUUGACUAAAGACUUUGGAUUUCUGAAGACUUUCUGAAGACUUAGAAAGUGAAGAAAUUGGUGUAACCUUGAAGACUUGGUAUUCAUUUGAGGAACAUGAAGCGUGAAGACUUUUGUUUUCGUAGUUUCAUUUUCCCUUUCCUGAGUCAUAGGAAACACCGUACUGUUAAAGGGGGUCGAGGAAAUAUUAAGGAAAAAUUUCCAUGUGAUGCUCAACUCAAAAUCCUACAACUACCAAUCCCUUCGAGUGAAGCCAUUGGAAAUCUCAUACAGUUCAGUCAUAUUUUUCAGUGACAGAGACGAAGUUCUUCUGGUCUCUGAGGAAUUUGUUCUGACUGAGGAGUUAGGAAUUCGCCAGUGCGGAUUGCCUACACAGUGAGUGAAAGAUCGUGGAUGUCGCCUAGAGGGGGGGGGGGUGAAUAGGCGCUUUAAAAUAAUUACGGUUUAGGCUUGAACAAAUGCGGAAUAAACCUAGCGGUUAAUUUGACAAGCACAAAACCUACAACAACUAGGCUCACCUAUGUGCACCAACAACUUAUGCUAAGCAAGAUAAACAACUAAGUGAUAGCAAGAUAUAUGACAAGAAACAAUAUGGCUAUCACAAAGUAAAGUGCAUAAGUAAAGGGUUCGGGUAAGAGAUAACCGAGACAUGCGGAGACGACGAUGUAUCCCGAAGUUCACACCCUUGCGGAUGCUAAUCUCCGUUUGGAGCGGUGUCGGAGGCACAAUGCUCCCCAAGAAGCCACUAGGGCCACCGUAAUCUCCUCACGACCUCGCACAAUGCAAGAUGCCGUGAUUCCACUAAGGGACCCUUGAGGGCGGUCACCGAACCCAUACAAAUGGCAACCCUUGGGGGCGGUCACCGAACCCGUACACUUUGGCAACCCUUGGGGGCGGUCACCGGUACCCGUCAAAUUGCUCGGGGCGAUCUCCACAACCUAAUUGGAGACCCCGACGCUUGCCCGGAGCUUUACACCACAAUGAUUGAGCUCCGAACACCACCAACCGUCUAGGGCGCCCAAGCACCCAAGAGGAACAAGCUCAAGGGCACCAAGCACCCAAGAGUAAUAAGCUUCUCAACUUGUAACUUCCACGUAUCACCAUGGAGAACUCAAACUGAUGCACCAAAUGCAAUGGCAAGGGCACACGGAGUGCCCAAGUCCUUCUCUCUCAAAUCCCACCGAAGCAACUAAUGCUAGGGAGGAAAAUGAGAGGAAGAACAAGAAGGAGAACACCAAGAACUCCAAGAUCUAGAUCCAAGGGGUUCCCCUCACAUAGAGGAGAAAGUGAUUGGUGGAAAUGUGGAUCUAGAUCUCCUCUCUCUUUUCCCUCAAAAACUAGCAAGAAUCCAUGGAGGGAUUGAGAGUUAGCAAGCUCGAAGAAGGUCAACAAUGGGGGAAGAACACGAGCUCAAAAGAUAAGGUUCAUUGGGGAAGAAGACCCCCUUUUAUAGAAGGGGAAAAAUCCAACCGUUAUGUGCUCAGCCCGCACACGAGCGGUACUACCGCUCUGGCGGAAGAAGCAGGGAAAAGGAGCAACCAAACAUGAACCUUGGGGCGGUAGUACCGCACCCCAGCGGUACUACCGCGCACCCCAGCGGUACUACCGCUGGAGGAGCAGAACACGGGACCAAAAAUGCAGUAGCGGUACUACCGCCCGACCGGAGCGGUACUACCGCUUACAGGCGGUACUACCGCCCAUCGGGGCGGUACUACCGCUUAUAGGCGGAACUGCCGUGCCUUACUGCCGUGCAACUACUGCAAAACUCGACACGAAAAAUGCAAGACCCAAAAUCGAGGCGGUACCAGCGCGGAACCGUAGCCGUACUACCGCUUAUGGCCAUAGGCGGUACUACCGCUUUGGACAGCGGUACUACCGCUUGGGGCGAUAAGCGGUACUGCCGCUCUGGCCGCGGUACUACCGCUAGGAAACCAAAACUGCCAUAACUUCUGCAUAUGAGCUCCGAAUUGAGCAAACUCAAGCUUGUUGGAUUGAGAAAGACGAGUAGCAUCAAAACAGCGACUCGGCAGUACCGCUUAAGGAGUGAAACCUCCAACCGAGAAGAACCGGCAUAACCUCCAACAUCGAAAACAUCAUAGAAGAACCGGCGCCCCCCUUGCCUUCCCCCUCUCCCACUCCUUCCUUCCCCCUCCUAGUGGGACUAGGAAAGGGGAGUCCUACUCCCACUAGGAGGAGGGCUCCUCCUCUUGGCGGGCCCUGCUAGGGCCGGCCGGCCUCCCCCCUUGCUCCUUUAUAUACGGGGGCAGGGGGCACCCCAAGACACACAAGUUGAUCAGUUGAUCUUUUAGCCGUGUGCGGUGCCCCCCUCCACCAUAAUCCACCUCAGUCAUAUCGUAGCGGUGCUUAGGCGAAUCCCUGCGUCGGUAGCAUCAUCAUCACCGUCAUCACGCCGUCGUGCUGACGAAACUCUCCCUCGAAGCUCUGCUGGAUCAGAGUUCGUGGGACGUCACCGAGCUGAACGUGUGCUGAACUCAGAGGUGCCGUACGUUCGGUACUUGGAUCGGUCGGAUCGUGAAGACGUACGACUACAUCAACCGCGUUCUCAUAACGCUUCCGCUUAUGGUCUACGAGAGUACGUGGACAACACUCUCCCCUCUGGUUGCUAUGCAUCACCAUGAUCUUGCGUGUGUGUAGGAAUUUUUUUAAAAUUACUACGUUCCCCAAUAGUGGUAUCAGAGCCAGGUUUAUGCGUAGAUGUUAUAUGCACGAGAAGAACACAAGUGAGUUGUGGGCGAUACAAGUCAUACUGCUUACCAGCAUGUCAUACUUUGAUUCGGCGGUAUUGUUGGAUGAAGCGGCCCGGACCGACAUUACGUGUACGCUUACGCGAGAUUGGUUCUACUGACGUGCUUUGCACACAGGUGGCUGGCGGGUGUCAGUUUCUCCAACUUUAGUUGAAUCGAGUGUGGCUACGCCCGGUCCUUGUGAAGGUUAAAACAGCACAUACUUGACGAAAUAUCGUUGUGGUUUUGAUGCGUAGGUAAGAACGGUUCUUGCUCAGCCCGUAGCAGCCACGUAAAACUUGCAACAACAAAGUAGAGGACGUCUAACUUGUUUUUGCAGGGCAUGUUGUGAUGUGAUAUGGUCAAGACAAGAUGCUAAAUUUUAUUGUAUGAGAUGAUCAUGUUUUGUAACCGAGUUAUCGGCAACUGGCAGGAGCCAUAUGGUUGUCGCUUUAUUGUAUGAAAUGCAAUCGCCAUGUAAUUGUUUUACUUUAUCACUAAGCGGUAGCGAUAGUCGUUGAAGCAAUAGUUGGCGAGACGACAACGAUGCUAUGAUGGAGAUCAAGGUGUCGCGCCGGUGACGAUGGUCAUGACGGUGCUUUGGAGAUGGAGAUCAAAGGCUCAAGAUGAUGAUGGCCAUAUCAUAUCACUUAUAUUGAUUGCAUGUGAUGUUUAUCUUUUAUGCAUCUUAUUUUGCUUAGAUCGACGGUAGCACUAUAAGAUGAUCUCUCACUAAAUUUCAAGGUAUAAGUGUUCUCCCUGAAUAUGCACCGUUGCGAAAGUUCGUCGUGCCGAGACACCACGUGAUGAUCGGGUGUGAUAAGCUCUACGUUCACAUACAACGGGUGCAAGCCAGUUUUGCACACGCAGAAUACUCGGGUUAAACUUGACGAGCCUAGCAUAUGUAGAUAUGGCCUCGGAACACUGAGACCGAAAGGUCGAGCGUGAAUCAUAUAGUAGAUAUGAUCAACAUAGUGAUGUUCACCGUUGAAACUACUCCAUCUCACGUGAUGAUCGGACAUGGUUUAGUUGAUAUGGAUCACGUGAUCACUUAGAUGAUUAGAGGAAUGUCUAUCUAAGUGGGAGUUCUUAAGUAAUAUGAUUAAUUGAACUUUAAUUUAUCAUGAACUUAGUACCUGAUAGUAUUUUGCAUGUCUAUGUUGUUGUAGAUAGAUGGCCCGUGUUGUUGUUCCGUUGAAUUUUAAUGCGUUCCUUGAGAAAGCAAAGUUGAAAGAUGAUGGUAGCAAUUACACGGACUGGGUCCGUAACUUGAGGAUUAUCCUCAUUGCUGCACAGAAGAAUUACGUCCUGGAAGCACCGCUAGGUGCCAAACCCGCUGCAGGAGCAACACCAGAUGUUAUGAACGUCUGGCAGAGCAAAGCUGAUGACUACUCGAUAGUUCAGUGUGCCAUGCUUUACGGCUUAGAACCGGGACUUCAACGACGUUUUAAACGUCAAGGAGCAUAUGAGAUGUUCCAGGAGUUGAAGUUAAUAUUGCAGGCAAAUGCCCGGAUUGAGAGAUAUGAAGUCUCCAAAAAAUUCUACAGCUGCAAGAUGGAGGAGAAUAGUUCUGUUAGUGAGCAUAUACUCAAAAUGUCUGGGUAUAACAAUCACUUGAUUCAACUGGGAGUUAAUCUUUUGGAUGAUAGUGUCAUUGACAGAAUUCUUCAAUCACUGCCACCAAGCUACAAGAGCUUCGUGAUGAACUAUAAUAUGCAAGGGAUGGAUAAGACAAUUCCCGAGCUCUUCGCGAUGCUAAAGGCUGCGGAGGUAGAAAUCAAGAAGGAGCAUCAAGUGUUGAUGGUCAACAAGACCACCAGUUUCAAGAAAAAGGGUAAAGGGAAGAAGGGGAACUUCAAGAAGAACGGCAAGCAAGUUGCUACUCAAGUGAAGAAGCCCAAGUCUGGACCUAAGCCUGAGACUGAGUGCUUCUACUGCAAAGGGACUGGUCACUGGAAGCGGAACUGCCCCAAGUAUUUAGCGGAUAAGAAGGAUGGCAAGGUGAACAAAGGUAUAUGUGAUAUACAUGUUAUUGAUGUGUACCUUACUAAUGCUCGCAGUAGCACCUCGGUAUUUGAUACUGAUUCUGUUGCUAAUAUUUGCAACUCGAAACAGGGACUACGGAUUAAGCGAAGAUUGGCUAAGGACGAGGUGACGAUGCGCGCGGGAAAUGGUUCCAAAGUCGAUGUGAUCGCGGUCGGCACGCUACCUCUACAUCUACCUUCGGGAUUAGUUUUAGACUUGAAUAAUUGUUAUUUGGUGCCAGCGUUGAGCAUGAACAUUAUAUCUGGAUCUUGUUUGAUACGAGACGGUUAUUCAUUUAAAUCAGAGAAUAAUGUGUUGGGUAAGGUAGUAAUUUCAAAAAAAAUCCUACGCACACGCAAGAUCAUGGUGAUGCAUAGCAACGAGAGGGGAGAGUGUGUCCACGUACCCUCGUAGACCGAAAGCGGAAGCGUUAGCACAACGCGGUUGAUGUAGUCGUACAUCUUCUCGAUCCGACCGAUCAAGUACCGAACGCACGUCACCUCCGAGUUCUGCACACGUUCAACUCGAUGACGUCCCUCGAACUCCGAUCCAGCCGAGCUUUGAGGGAGAGUUCCGUCAGCACGACGGCGUGGUGACGAUGAUGAUGUUCUACCGACGCGGGGCUUCGCCUAAGCACCGCUAUAGUAUUAUCGAGGUGGACUAUGGUGGAGGGGGCACCGCACACGGCUAAAAGAUCAAACGAUCAAUUGUUGUGUCUAUGGGGUGCCCCCUGCCCCCGUAUAUAAAGGAGCAAGGGGGGAGGCGGCCGGCCAAGGAGGAGGGCGCGCCAAGGGGGGAGUCCUACUCCCACCGGGAGUAUGACUCCUCCUUUCCUUGUUGGAGUAGGAGAGAAGGAAAGAAGGGGAGAGGGAGAAGGAAAAGGGGGCUGCACCCCUUGUCCAAUUCGGACCAGAGGGGGGGUGCGCGCCUCCUUCCUUUUGGCCUCUCUCCUCUAUUCCCGUAUGGCCCAAUAAGGCCCAAUACUUCUCCCCGGCGAAUUCCCGUAACUCUCCGGUACUCCGAUAAAUACCCGAAUCACUCGGAACCUUUCCGAAGUCCGAAUAUAGUCAUCCAAUAUAUCGAUCUUUACGUCUCGGCCAUUUCGAGACUCCUCGUCAUGUCCCCGAUCUCAUCCGGGACUCCGAACUACCUUCGGUAGAUCAAAACACAUAAACUCAUAAUAUAACCGUCAUCAAACUUUAAGCGUGCGGACCCUACGGGUUCGAGAACUAUGUAGACAUGACCGAGACACGUCUCCGGUCAAUAACCAAUAGCGGAACCUGGAUGCUCAUAUUGGCUCCCACAUAUUCUACGAAGAUCUUUAUCGGUCAGACAGCAUAACAACAUACGUUGUUCCCUUUGUCAUCAGUAUGUUACUUGCCCGAGAUUCAAUCGUCGGUAUCUCAAUACCUAGUUCAAUCUCGUUACCGGCAAGUCUCUUUACUCGUUCUGUAAUACAUCAUCCCGCAACUAACUCAUUAGUUACAAUGCUUGCAAGGCUUAUAGUGAUGUGCAUUACUGAGUGGGCCCAGAGAUACCUCUCCGACAAUCGGAGUGACAAAUCCUAAUCUCGAAAUACGCCAACCCAACAAGUACCUUUGGAAGCACCUGUAGAGCACCUUUAUAAUCACCCAGUUACGUUGUGACAUUUGGUAGCACACAAAGUGUUCCUCCGGUAAACGGGAGUUGCAUAAUCUCAUAGUCAUAGGAACAUGUAUAAGUCAUGAAGAAAGCAAUAGCAGAAUACUAAACGAUCGUGUGCUAAGCUAACGGAAUGGGUCAAGUCAAUCACAUCAUUCUCCUAAUGAUAUGAUCCCGUUAAUCAAAUGACAACUCAUGUCUAUGGCUAGGAAACAUAACCAUCUUUGAUCGACGAGCUAGUCAAGUAGAGGCAUACUAGUGACACUCUGUUUGUCUAUGUAUUCACACAUGUAUCAUGUUUCCGGUUAAUACAAUUCUAGCAUGGAUAAUAAACAUUUAUCAUGAUAUAAGGAAAUAAAUAAUAACUUUAUUAUUGCCUCUAGGGCAUAUUUCCAUCAGUCUUCCACUUGCACUAGAGUCAAUAAUCUAGUUCACAUCGCCAUGUGAUUUAACAUCAAUAGUUCACAUCACCAUGUGAUUAACACCCAUAGUUCACAUCGUCAUGUGACCAACACCCAAAGAGUUUACUAGAGUCAAUAAUCUAGUUCACAUCGCUAUGUGAUUAACACCCAAAGAGUACUAAGGUGUGAUCAUGUUUUGCUUGUGAGAUAAUUUUAGUCAACGGGUCUGUCACAUUCAGAUCCGUAAGUAUUUUGCAUAUUUCUAUGUCUACAAUGCUCUGCACGGAGCUACUCUAGCUAAUUGCUCCCACUUUCAAUAUGUAUCUAGACUAAGACUUAGAGUCAUCUGGAUUAGUGUCAAAACUUGCAUCGAUGUAACCCUUUACGACGAACCUUUUGUCACUUCCAUAAUCGAGAAACAUAUCCUUAUUCCGCUAAGGAUAAUUUUGACCGCUGUCCAGUGAUCUACUCCUAGAUCACUAUUGUACUCCCUUGCCAAUAUCAGUGUAGGGUAUACAAUGGAUCUGGUACACAGCAUGGCAUACUUUAUAGAACCUAUGGCCGAGGCAUAGGGAAUGACUUUCAUUCUCUUUCUAUCUUCUGCCGUGGUCGGGCUUUGAGUCUUACUCAAUUUCACACCUUGUAACACAGGCAAGAACUCUUUCUUUGACUGUUCCAUUUUGAACUACUUCAAAAUCUUGUUAAGGUAUGUACUCAUUGAAAAAACUUAUCAAGCGUCUUGAUCUAUCUCUAUAGAUCUUGAUGCUCAAUAUGUAAGCAGCUUCACCGAGGUCUUUCUUUGAAAAACUCCUUUCAAACACUCCUUUAUGCUUUGCAGAAUAAUUCUACAUUAUUUCCGAUCAACAAUAUGUCAUUCACAUAUAGUUAUCAGAAAUGCUGUAGUGCUCCCACUCACUUUCUUGUAAAUAUAGGUGUCACCGCAAGUCUGUAUAAAACUAUAUCCUUUGAUCAACUUAUCAAAGCGUAUAUUCCAACUCCGAGAUGCUUGCACCAGUCCAUAGAUGGAUCGCUGGAGCUUGCAUAUUUUGUUAGCACCUUUAGGAUUGACAAAACCUUCUGGUUGCAUCAUAUACAACUCUUCUUUAAUAAAUCCAUUAAGGAAUGCAGUUUUGUUUAUCCAUUUGCCAGAUUUCAUAAAAUGCGGCAAUUGCUAACAUGAUUCGGACAGACUUAAGCAUAGAUACGAGUGAGAAACUCUCAUCGUAGUCAACACCUUGAACUUGUCGAAAACCUUUUUGCGACAAUUCUAGCUUUGUAGAUAGUAACACUACUAUCAGCGUCCGUCUUCCUCUUGAAGAUCCAUUUAUUUUCUAUGGCUUGCCGAUCACCGGGCAAGUCAACCAAAGUCCACACUUUGUUCUCAUACAUGGAUCCCAUCUCAGAUUUCAUGGCCUCAAGCCAUUUUGCGGAAUCUGGGCUCACCAUCGCUUCCUCAUAGUUCGAAGGUUCGUCAUGGUCAAGUAACAUGACCUCCAGAACUGGAUUAUCGUACCACUCUGGUGCGGAUUUCAUUCUGGUUGACCUACGAGGUUCGGUAGUAACUUGAUCUGAAGUUACAUGAUCAUCAUCAUUAGCUUCCUCACUAAUUGGUGUAGGAGUCACAGGAACAGAUUUCUGUGAUGAACUACUUUCCAAUAAGGGAGCAGGUACAGUUACCUCAUCAAGUUCUACUUUCCUCCCACUCACUUCUUUCGAGAGAAACUCCUUCUCUAGAAAAGAUCCAUUCUUAGCAACGAAUGUCUUGCCUUCGGAUCUGUGAUAGAAGGUGUACCCAACAGUCUCCUUUGGGUAUCCUAUGAAGACAUAUUUCUCCGAUUUGGGUUUUUGAGCUUAUCAGGAUGAAACUUUUUCACAUAAGCAUCGCAACCCCAAAUUUUAAGAAACGACAACUUUUGGUUUCUUGCCAAACCAAAAUUCAUAAGGUGUCAUCUCAACGGAUUUAGAUGGUGCCCUAUUUAACGUGAAUGCAGCUGUCUCUAAUGCAUAACCCCAAAACGAUAGUGGUAAAUCGGUAAGAGACAUCAUAGAUUGCACUAUAUCCAAUAAAGUACGGUUAUGACGUUCGGACACACCAUUACGCUAUGGUGUUCCAGGUGGCAUGAGUUUGUGAAACUAUUCCACAUUGUUUAAUUGAAGACCAAACUCGUAACUCAAAUAUUCUCCUCCAUGAUCAGAUCGUAGAAACUUUAUUUUCUUGUUACGAUGAUUUUCCACUUCACUCUGAAAUUAUAUGAACUUUUCAAAUAUUUCAGACUUUAUGUUUCAUCAAGUAGAUAUACCCAUAUAUACUCAAAUCAUCUAUGAAGGUCAGAAUUAUAAUGAUACCCGUCGCGAGCCUCAACACUCAUCGGACCACAUACAUCAGUAUGUAUGAUUUCCAACAAAUCUGUUGCUUGCUUCAUUGUUCCGGAGAACGGCGUUUUAGUCAUCCUGCCCAAGAGGCAUGGUUCGCAAGCAUCAAGUGAUUCAUAAUCAAGUGAUUCCAAAAUCCCAUCAGCAUGGAGUUUCUUCAUGCGUUUUACACCAAUGUGACCUAAACAGCAGUGCCACAAAUAAGUUGCACUAUCAUUAUUAACUUUGCAUCUUUUUGGCUUCAAUAUUAUGAAUAUGUGUAUCACUACGAUCGAGAUCCAACAAACCGUUUUCGUUGGUGUGUAUGACCAUAGAAGGUUUUAUUCAUGUAAACAGAACAACAAUUGUUCUCUAACUUAAAUGAAUAACCAUAUUGCAAUAAACAUGAUCAAAUCAUAUUCAUGCUCAACACCAAAUAACACUUAUUUAGGUUCAACACUAAUCCCGAAAGUAUAGGGAGUCUGCGAUGAUGAUCAUAUCUAUCUUGGAACCACUUCCAACACACAUCGUCACUUCACCCUUAACUAGUCUCUGUUUAUUCUGCAACUCCCGUUUCGAGUUACUAAUCAUAGCAACUGAACUAGUAUCAAAUACUUAGGAGUUGCUAUAAACGCUAGUAAAGUACACAUCAAUAACAUGUAUAUCAAAUAUACUUUUGUUCACUUUGCCAUCCUUCUUAUCCGCUAAAUACUUGGGGCAGUUCCGCUUCCAGUGACCAGUUCCUUUGCAGUAGAAUCACUCUGUCUCAGGCUUAGGUCCAGACUUGGGCUUCUUCACUUGAGCAGCAACUCGCUUGCCGUUCUUCUUAAAGUUCCCCUUCUUCCCUUUGCCCUUUUCUUGAAACUAGUGGUCUUGUCAACCAUCAACACUUGAUGUUUUUCUUGAUUUCUACCUUCGUCAAUUUCAGCAUCACGAAGAGCUUGGGAAUUGUUUCCGUUACCCCUUGCAUAUUAUAGUUCAUCACGAAGUUCUAGUAACUUGGUGAUAGUGACUAGAGAACUCUGUCAAUCACUAUCUUAUCUGGAAGAUUAACUCCCACUUGAUUCAAGCGAUUGUAGUACCCAGACAAUCUGAGCACAUGCUCACUGCUUGAGCUAUUCUCCUCCAUCUUUUAGCUAUAGAACUUGUUGGAGACUUCAUAUCUCUCAACUCGGGCAUUUGCUUGAAAUAUUAACUUCAACUCCUGGAACAUCUCAUAUGGUCCAUGACGUUCAAAACGUCUUUGAAGUCCCGAUUCUAAGCCGUUAAGCAUGGUGCACUAAACUAUCAAGUAGUCAUCAUAUUGAGCUAGCCAAACGUUCAUAACGUCUGCAUUUGCUCCUGCAAUACGUCUGUCACCUAGCGGUGCUUCAAGGACAUAAUUCUUCUGUGCAGCAAUGAGGAUAAUCCUCAGAUCACGGAUCCAAUCCGCAUCUUUGCUACUAACAUCUUUCAACAUAAUUUUUCUCUAGGAACAUAUCAAAAAUAAACACAGGGAAGCAACAACGCGAGCUAUUGAUCUACAACAUAAUUUGCAAAAAUACUAUCAGGACUAAGUUCAUGAUAAAUUUAAGUUCAAUUAAUCAUAUUACUUAAGAAUUCCCACUUAGAUAGACAUCCCUCUAAUCCUCUAAGUGAUCACGUGAUCCAUAUCAACUAAACCAUGUCCGAUCAUCACGUGAGAUGGAGUAGUUUCAACGGUGAACAUCACUAUGUUGAUCAUAUCUACUAUAUGAUUCACGCUCGACCUUUCGGUCUCCGUGUUCCGAGGCCAUAUCUGUUAUAUGCUAGGCUCGUCAAGCUUAACCUGAGUAUUCUGCGUGUGCAACUGUUUUGCACCCCUUGUAUUUGAACGUAGAGCCUAUCACACCCGAUCAUCACGUGGUGUCUCAGCACGAAGAACUUUCGCAACGGUGCAUACUCAGGGAGAACACUUAUACUUUGAUAAUUUAGUGAGGGAUCAUCUUAUAAUGCUACCGUCAAUCAAAGCAAGAUAAGAUGCAUAAAAGAUAAACAUCACAUGCAAUCAAUAUAAGUGAUAUGAUAUGGCCAUCAUCAUCUUGUGCUUGUGAUCUCCAUCUCCGAAGCACCGUCAUGAUCACCAUCGUCACCGGCGCGACACCUUGAUCUCCAUCGUAGUAUCGUUGUCGUCUCGCCAACUAUUGCUUCUACGACUAUCGCUACCGCUUAGUGAUAAAGUAAAGCAAUUACAGGGCGAUUGCGUUGCAUACAAUAAAGCGACAACCAUAUGGCUCUUGCCAGUUGCCGAUAACUCGGUUACAAAACAUGAUCAUCUCAUACAAUAAAAUUUAGCAUCAUGUCUUGACCAUAUCACAUCACAACAUGCCCUGCAAAAACAAGUUAGACGUCCUCUACUUUGUUGUUGCAAAUUUUACGUGGCUGCUACGGGCUUAGCAAGAACCGUUCUUACCUACGCAUCAAAACCACAACGAUAGUUUGUCAAGUUGGUGCUGUUUUAACCUUCGCAAGGACCGGGCGUAGCCACACUCGGUUCAACUAAAGUUGGAGAAACUGACACCCGCCAGCCACCUCUGUGCAAAGCACGUCGGAAGAACCAGUCUCGCGUAAGCGUACGCGUAAUGUCGGUCCGGGCCGCUUCAUCCAACAAUACCGCCGAACCAAAGUAUGACAUGCUGGUAAGCAGUAUGACUUAUAUCGCCCACAACUCACUUGUGUUCUACUCGUGCAUAUAACAUCAACGCAUAAAACCAGGCUCGGAUGCCACUGUUGGGUAACGUAGUAAUUUCAAAAAAAUUCCUACGCACACGCAAGAUCAUGGUGAUGCAUAGCAACGAGAGGGGAGAGUGUGUCCACGUACCCUCGUAGACCGAAAGCGGAAGCGUUAGCACAACGCGGUUGAUGUAGUCGUACGUCUUCUCGAUCCGACCGAUCAAGUACCGAACGCACGGCACCUCCGAGUUCUGCACACGUUCAACUCGAUGACGUCCCUCGAACUCCGAUCCAGCCGAGCUUUGAGGGAGAGUUCCGUCAGCACGACGGCGUGGUGACGAUGAUGAUGUUCUACCGACGCGGGGCUUCGCCUAAGCACCGCUAUAGUAUUAUCGAGGUGGACUAUGGUGGAGGGGGCACCGCACACGGCUAAAAGAUCAAACGAUCAAUUGUUGUGUCUAUGGGGUGCCCCCUGCCCCCGUAUAUAAAGGAGCAAGGGGGGAGGCGGCCGGCCAAGGAGGAGGGCGCGCCAAGGGGGGAGAGGGAGAAGGAAAAGGGGGCUGCACCCCUUGUCCAAUUCGGACCAGAGGGGGGGUGCGCGCCUCCUUCCUUUUGGCCUCUCUCCUCUAUUCCCGUAUGGCCCAAUAAGGCCCAAUACUUCUCCCCGGCGAAUUCCCGUAACUCUCCGGUACUCCGAUAAAUACCCGAAUCACUCGGAACCUUUCCGAAGUCCGAAUAUAGUCGUCCAAUAUAUCGAUCUUUACGUCUUGGCCAUUUCGAGACUCCUCGUCAUGUCCCCGAUCUCAUCCAGAACUCCGAACUACCUUAGGUACAUCAAAACACAUAAACUCAUAAUAUAACCGUCAUCAAACUUUAAGCGUGCGGACCCUACGGGUUCGAGAACUAUGUAGACAUGACCGAGACACGUCUUCGGUCAAUAAUCAAUAGCGGAACCUGGAUGCUCAUAUUGGCUCCCACAUAUUCUACGAAGAUCUUUAUCGGUCAGACCGCAUAACAACAUAUGUUGUUCCCUUUGUCAUCAGUAUGUUACUUGCCCGAGAUUCGAUCGUCGGUAUCUCAAUACCUAGUUCAAUCUCGUUACUGGCAAGUCUCUUUACUCGUUCUGUAAUACAUCAUCCCGCAACUAACUCAUUAGUUACAAUGCUUGCAAGGCUUAUAGUGAUGUGCAUUACUGAGUGGCCCAGAGAUACCUCUCCGACAAUCGGAGUGACAAAUCCUAAUCUCGAAAUACACCAACCCAACAAGUACCUUUGGAAGCACCUGUAGAGCACCUUUAUAAUCACCCAGUUACGUUGUGACGUUUGGUAGCACACAAAGUGUUCCUCCGGUAAACGGGAAUUGCAUAAUCUCAUAGUCAUAGGAACAUGUAUAAGUCAUGAAGAAAGCAAUAGCAGAAUACUAAACGAUCGUGUGCUAAGCUAACGGAAUGGGUCAAGUCAAUCACAUCAUUCUCCUAAUGAUAUGAUCCCGUUAAUCAAAUGACAACUCAUGUCUAUGGCUAGGAAACAUAACCAUCUUUGAUCAACGAGCUAGUCAAGUAGAGGCAUACUAGUGACACUCUGUUUGUCUAUGUAUUCACACAUGUAUCAUGUUUCCGGUUAAUACAAUUCUAGCAUGAAUAAUAAACAUUUCUCAUGAUAUAAGGAAAUAAAUAAUAACUUUAUUAUUGCCUCUAGGGCAUAUUUCCUUCAUAAUGGUUGUUCUAUUUAUAUGAGUAAUAUCUUUUAUGGUCAUGCACCCUUGAAGAGUGGUCUAUUUUUGAUGAAUCUCGAUAGUAGUGAUACACAUAUUCAUAAUAUUGAAGCUAAAAGAUGCAGAGUUGAUAAUGAUAGUGCAACUUAUUUGUGACACUGCCGUUUAGGUCAUAUUGGUGUAAAGCGCAUGAAGAAACUCCAUUCUGAUGGACUUUUGAAAUCACUUGAUUAUGAAUCACUUGGUACUUGCGAACCAUGCCUUAUGGGCAAGAUGACUAAAACGCCGUUCUCCAGAACUAUGGAGCAAGCAACAUAUUUUUUGGAAAUCAUACAUACAGAUGUAUGUGGUCCGAUGAAUGUUGAGGCUCGCGGCAGGUAUCAUUAUUUUCUCACCUUCACAGAUGAUUUGAGCAGAUAUGGGUAUAUCUAAUUAAUGAAACAUAAGUCUGAAACAUUUGAAAAGUUCAAAGAAUUUCAGAGUGAAGUGAAAAAUCAUCGUAACAAGAAAAUAAAGUUUCUGCGAUCUGAUCAUGGAGGAGAAUAUUUGAGUUACGAGCUUGGUCUUCAUUUGAAACAAUGCGAAAUAGUUUCGCAACUCACGCCACCCGGAAUACCACAGCGUAAUGGUGUGUCCGAACGUCGUAAUCGUACUUUACUAGAUAUGGUGCGAUCUCUGAUGUCUCUUACUGAUUUACCGCUAUCGUUUUGGGGUUAUGCUUUUGAGACAGCUGCAUUCACGUUAAAUAGGGCACCAUCUAAAUUCGUUGAGACGACGCCUUAUGAACUGUGGUUUGGCAAGAAACCAAAGUUGUCGUUUCUUAAAGUUUGGGGCUGCGAUGCUUAUGUGAAAAAGCUUCAACCUGAUAAGCUCGAACCCAAAUCGGAGAAUUGUGUCUUCAUAGGAUACCCAAAGGAGACUGUUGGGUACACCUUCUAUCACAGAUCCGAAGGCAAGACAUUCGUUGCUAAGAAUGGAUCCUUUCUAGAGAAGGAGUUUCUCUCGAAAGAAGUGAGUGGGAGGAAAAGUAAAACUUGAUGAGGUAACUGUACCUGCUCCCUUAUUGGAAAGUAGUUCAUCACAGAAAUCUAUUCCCGUGACUCCUACACCAAUUAGUGAGGAAGCUAAUGAUGUUGAUCAUGUAACUUCAGAUCAAGCUACUACUGAACCUCAUAGGUCAACCAGAGUAAGAUCCGCACCAGAGUGGUACGCUAAUCCUGUUCUGGAGGUCGUGUUACUAGAACAUGAAGAACCUACGGACUAUGAGGAAGCGAUGAUGAGCCCAGAUUCCGCAAAAUGGCUUGAGGCCAUGAAAUUUGAGAUGGGAUCCAUGUAUGAGAACAAAGUGUGGACUUUGGUUGACUUGCCCGAUGAUCGGCAAGCCAUCGAGAAUAAAUGGAUCUUCAAGAAGAAGACUGACGCUGACGGUAAUGUUACUGUCUACAAAGCUCGACUUGUUGCAAAAGGUUUUCGACAAGUUCAAGGAGUUGACUACGAUGAGACCUUCUCACCCGUAGCGAUGCUUAAGUCCGUCCGUAUCAUGUUAGCAAUUGCCGCAUUAUAUGAUUAUGAAAUUUGGCAAAUGGAUGUAAAGACUGCGUUCCUGAAUGGAUUUCUGGAAGAAGAGUUGUAUAUGAUGCAACCUGAAGGUUUUAUCAAUCCAAAGGAUGCUAACAAAGCGUGCAAGCUCCAGCGAUCCAUCUAUGGACUGGUGCAAGCAUCUCGGAGUUGGAAUAAACGUUUUGAUAGUGUGAUCAAAGCAUAUGGUUUUAUACAGACUUUUGGAGAAGCUUGUAUUUACAAGAAAGUGAGUGGGAGCUCUGUAGCAUUUCUAAUAUUAUAUGUGGAUGACAUAUUGUUGAUUGGAAAUGAUAUAGAAUUUCUGGAUAGCAUAAAGGAUACUUGAAUAAGAGUUUUUCAAUGAAAGACCUCGGUGAAGCUGCUUAUAUAUUGGGCAUCAAGAUCUAUAGAGAUAGAUCAAGACGCCUAAUUGGACUUUCACAAAGCACAUACCUUGAUAAAGUUUUGAAGAAGUUCAAAAUGGAUCAAGCAAAGAAAGGGUUCUUGCCUGUGUUACAAGGUGUGAAGUUGAGUCAGACUCAAUGCCCGACCACUGUAGAAGAUAGAGAGAAAAUGAAAGAUGUUCCCUAUGCUUCAGCCAUAGGCUCUAUCAUGUAUGCAAUGCUGUGUACCAGACCCGAUGUGUGCCUUGCUAUUAGCUUAGCAGGGAGGUACCAAAGUAAUCCAGGAGUGGAUCACUGGACAGCGGUCAAGAACAUCCUGAAAUACCUGAAAAGGACUAAGGAUAUGUUUCUUGUUUAUGGAGGUGAAAAGAGCUCGUCGUAAAUGGUUACGUCGAUGCAAGCUUUGACACUGAUCUGUAUGACUCUAAGUCACAAACCGGAUACGUAUUUAUAUUGAACGGUGGAGCUGUCAGUUGGUGCAGUUCUAAGCAAAGCGUCGUGGUGGGAUCUACGUGUGAAGCAGAGUACAUAGCUACUUCGGAAGCAGCAAAUGAAGGAGUCUGGAUGAAGGAGUUCAUAUCCGAUCUAGGUGUCAUACCUAGUGCAAUGGGUCCAAUGAAAAUCUUUUGCGACAAUACUGGUGCAAUUGCCUUGGCAAAGGAAUCCAGAUUUCACAAGAGAACCAAGCACAUCAAGAGACGCUUCAAUUUCAUCCGCGACCAAGUCAAGGAGGGAGACAUAGAGAUUUGCAAGAUACAUACGGACCUGAAUGUUGCAGACCCGUUGACUAAGCCUCUCUCACGAGCAAAACAUGAUCAGCAUCAAGACUCCAUGGGUGUUAGAAUCAUUACUAUGUAAUCUAGAUUAUUGACUCUAGUGCAAGUGGGAGACUGAAGGAAAUAUGCCCUAGAGGCAAUAAUAAAGUUGUUAUUUAUAUUUCCUUAUAUCAUGAUAAAUGUUUAUUAUUCAUGCUAGAAUUGUAUUGACCGGAAACUUAGUACAUGUGUGAAUAUAUAUUGACAAACUAAGUGUCACUAGUAUGCCUCUACUUGACUAGCUCGUUGAAUCAAAGAUGGUUAAGUUUCCUAGCCAUAGACAUGAGUUGUCAUUUGAUUAACGGGAUCACAUCAUUAGAGAAUGAUGUGAUUGACUUGACCCAUUCCGUUAGCUUAGCAUUCGGUCGUUUAGUAUAUUGCUACUGCUUUCUUCAUGACUUAUACAUGUUCCUAUGACUAUGAGAUUAUGCAACUCCCGAAUACCGAAGGAACACUUUGUGUGCUACCAAACGUCACAACGUAACUGGGUGAUUAUAAAGGUGAUGUACAGGUGUCUCCGAAGGUACUUGAUGGGUUGGCAUAGGUCGAGAUUAGGAUUUGUCACUCUGAUUGUCGGAGAGGUAUCUCUGGGCCCUCUCGGUAAUACACAUCACUAUAAGCCUUGCAAGCAAUGCAACUAAUGAGUUAGUUGCGGGAUGAUGUAUUAUGGAACGAGUAAAGAGACUUGCCGGUAACGAGAUUGAACUAGGUAUUGAGAUACCGACGAUCAAAUCUCGGGCAAGUAACAUACCGAUGACAAAGGGAACAACGUAUGUUGUUAUGCGGUUUGACCGAUAAAGAUCUUCGUAGAAUAUGUAGGAGCCAAUAUGAGCAUCCAGGUUCCGCUAUUGGUUAUUGACCGGAGACGAGUCUCGGUCAUGUCUACAUAGUUCUCGAACCCGUAGGGUCCGCACGCUUAACGUUUGGUGACGAUAGGUAAUAUGAGUUUAUGUGUUUUGAUGAACCGAAGGUAGUUCGGAGUCCCGGAUAUGAUCACGGACAUGACGAGGAGUCUUGAAAUGGUCCAGACAUAAAGAUUGAUAUAUUGGAAGCCUAUAUUUGGACAUCGGAAUGGUUCCGGGUGAAAUCGGGAUUUUACCGGAGUGCCGGGGGGGGGGGGGUUACCGGAACCCCCGGGGGUUAAUGGGCCUUGAUGGGCCCUAGUGGAGAGAGAGAGGGGCCGGCCAGGGCAGGCCGCGCCCCCCUCCUCUUGAGUCCGAAUAGGACAAGGAGGGGGGCGUUCCCCUUGCCUUCCCCCUCUCCCACUCCUUCCUUCCCCCUCCUAGUGGGACUAGGAAAGGGGAGUCCUACUCCCACUAGGAGGAGGACUCCUCCUCUUGGCGCGCCCUUCUAGGGCCGAACGGCCUCCCCCCUUGCUCCUUUAUAUACGGGGACAGGGGGCACCCAAAGACACACAAGUUGAUCAGUUGAUCUUUUAGCCGUGUGCGGUGCCCCCCUCCACCAUAAUCCACCUCGGUCAUAUCAUAGCGGUGCUUAGGCGAAGCCCUGCGUUGGUAGCAUCAUCAUCACCGUCAUCACGCCGUCGUGCUGACGAAACUCUCCCUCGAAGCUCUGCUGGAUCGGAGUUCGUGGGACGUCACCGAGCUAAACAUGUGCUGAACUCGGAGGUGUCAUGCGUUCGGUACUUGGAUCGGUCGGAUCGUGAAGACGUACGACUACAUCAACCGCAUUAUCAUAACGCUUCCGCUUACGGUCUACGAGAGUACGUGGACGACACUCUCCUCUCUCGUUGCUAUGCAUCACCAUGAUAUUGCGUGUGCGUAGGAAUUUUUUUGAAAUUACUACGUUCCCCAACAGUUGUUGUAAACAUGGUGACUGGAACACAGUUUCAUGUCUGAGAUGAAAAUCGUUUAUCUGGAUUUUACUGUUUUGACUCCACAGUGACACUCGCCGCACUUGAAUGAUUUUACUUGGAUCAAGCAUUUAGGAUGAAAUAUUGACACAUGUUGUAUUUUAACGACGCCUGUGUUAGUGCACUCUUCCUUCUUGAUGCUUUUUUUGCGGACGACAAGUGAAUUGCUCAUAGUUUUUUCUGAUCAUAUUUUGAUAUCAUUAUGUCAUUUAUUGUGCAUGAAAUGUACUUUGUUGAUGCUUCAAUUGAUUUGCUCGUUGGCUUACCUCUACUUCGAUAAAUUUAUAGAUUCGUGAAUCUUUAGAUGCAGAGAUCUCCUCUCGUUUGUUCUAAACUUGACUACAAGAACCUCGAUAGUUUUUGCACUAAAUAUGUGAUUGUUCCUCUCAAUACAAACAACAUAAGGGCUCUCAUUUAACUGAAAUAGUUUCCUNNNNNNNNNNNNNNNNNNNNNNNNNNNNNNNNNNNNNNNNNNNNNNNNNNNNNNNNNNNNNNNNNNNNNNNNNNNNNNNNNNNNNNNNNNNNNNNNNNNNNNNNNNNNNNNNNNNNNNNNNNNNNNNNNNNNNNNNNNNNNNNNNNNNNNNNNNNNNNNNNNNNNNNNNNNNNNNNNNNNNNNNNNNNNNNNNNNNNNUUGAUUUGCAUUCACGGAAUCGUUAGAAAAAAAUCUAACAAUCGUUAUGCACUCAAAUUUGGAGAAAUUUUUUCAUCCAGUCAGACCUCUUGUACAAUUCCUUUGGCAUCAAACAACCUUUAAUCCAAAAUAUCGUAGCUUUUCAUUUUUAUAGGAUUUAAGAAAGCAUUUCACUCUAAUUUUUUUCUUUGUAUCAUGGGCACCACAUUAAUUACCAGCCACCAACUAGAAACAAUUCCACAAAACCUCUAGCAAAAAAUGGAAAUGUUAGCCAAGUUCUCAUUUCUCCCAAGAUUAUUGUCACACACCGACUAGCUUUGCGACUAUCUCAAGUGGACACCAUUGUGGUUUCAUGCGGAUUAAUGUGUUGUAACUCUCUGAAUAUCUAAUGUAAAGAUGGUGACAGGAACACCACUUCAUGUCCAAGAAGAAAAUCUGUGAUCCGGCCUUUACUGGUUGGACCAGACAGUAACACCUAGCACACUUGAAUAGUUACCUUGUUGAAGGUGUUGUCUUUGUGUUGUUGUUCUGGCCAUGAUUAGUUGUACAUGGCAUUCAAGAUGAAAAUUAUUUGCACAUGCCAGAUUUUCCCAUGAUAACAUGAAUGCAUUCUUCCUUCUUGUUGGCUUUGUUACAAGCGAAGAUUUCUACAUACCCAACCAAAUCGACAAAGAAUAUCCCAAUCUGGUAAAUAUGACCAAAUGGGUUUACUAAGAGGAUGCCCCGAUUGACUUAACCAUAGUCUUUUGUUAUGAUCAUGUUAUUAUUGUUCAUUACAUUUUUAUUUCAUUUGAUGAAUCAUUUGAUCUUCUCGUUGCCUUCCAUCUACUUUAAUGAAUAAAAAUAGAUGUAUGAAUCCUCAGAUGCAAAUAUUGGGAGAUAGUUUGGUCUUGUGAAGUCCUCGUUUAUUCUAACCUUUUUUUGAAAAAAACCUCAGACUUUAUUCAUUUGUAAUAAGUAGUACAUCGUUUGUGAGGAUCAUUAUAAUUUCAUUUAAAGGCUCCUCAAACCAAUCAGAAGUGAAAGAAAAUCUAGAUAAUCUAGCAAGCUCAUGAGCUACUUUAUUUGCUUCCCUAUUACAGUGCUCAAAUCUAGCAGUAACGAAAUCACAAGCAUAAUGAAAACAGUCAUCAAAGAUUGCUUCCACCGGACCCGCCAAUUAUCCUCCAUCAUUCAUAGUAUCAAUCACCUCCAUAUUAUCUGAAUUUAUAAUAAGGCGAUUGCAUCCCGCCCGUUGCGCCAGUGUUAGACCAAAUUUUAGAGCUAAAGCUUCUGCCAUCAACACAUCCGCGCAAAAAUUUAUUUUCUCAUUCCCUCCAGCUAUGAACCUGCCUUUGUCGUCUCGAAGGACCGCUCCCAUGGAACCCCUAAGAAGAUCAUGAUCAAAAGAAGCAUCAACAUUAAGUUUAACGAAACCUCUUGGAGGACAAGACCAACUCUCCUUUUUCAACGACGCCUUGGGGGAUAAUGCAUUAACAAUUUUUUUUGUUAGAGCAAGUAUCCCAUUGAGAUCUGAAUUACAUUUUGAGUUUUUCAUUGUGUACCAGCUUCCGUCUUUCCCACCAUAGAUACCGUGCUGAAAUAGCAAUCAUCUCACGUACAUUGUGGUAACCCAAUAUCCACAAAUGUUGAUCUGGUAGGAGUAGUAGAUACUCCAACACCGCCUCUCCCACGCGGUCAACUUCACAUGCUUUAUCAAUAAUAUCAUCCAUCCCCAGCCUUUUCCAGACCUCCUUUGCUUUACUACAACGGAAGAGCGUAUGUUUUGUAUCUUCUAAACCCUCCAAGCACGUGGGGCAGAUGGGUGAAACCUUCAUAUGUCUGUUUGCUAGCGUAACUCGGCAUGGGAUUGUACCAUGUAGCGUACGCCAUAAGAAAAUUUUAACUUUUGCCGGACAAGCUAACUUCCAUAUCUUACUCCAAAUAGGGUUAAUUGUGGUUUGCCCCAUCCCAUUAGAGUGUUUCAAUUUGCUUCCAUACUGGUGAUCCCACUCCAUAAAAUAGGCUGAUCGAACUGAGAAAAUACCAUUUUUUUUGUACUCCCUCCAUUUUUAUAUAGAAGGCCAAAAACUUAAAUUACAGGUACCAAGGUAAAAUUUAGUACAUGUUUUGCAACCCAACUUUUUUUCUUGUUUACCGAGAUCAUUAAUACACGGUAUGCAUGCAAGAAAACUGAAUGGAGGAAGAAACUGAGUGUCAUUAUGCAUGCGAGUAUUAAACAAGUUGCUAGUAUGAGGAAACAUCAUUAAUUUUUGUCUCGAUUACUGUUGGUGGCCUUGUAUAGAUGCAAAAUAUAUAUUUCAUAAUGGUCUUGUAUAAGUAAAUGGAGGGAGUAUAAUUCCAGGCAAUGAAAUCUUGCAUAUCAUGUUGCGGUAGGGGAAUUGAAAGAAUCCUUUAUACAUCGAUUGGCCACAUAGUUUGUUCAAUCAGGUCUUCAUACCAAAUAUUAGAAGCGGGAUCAAUGAGAUCACCUACCUUAGUUAUCAUAUUACCUCCCUUAGGCGUUACAAUUUUCCUAAUUGCAUAGUUUGUGAUCCAGGCAUCUUCCCAAAUAUUAACGGUGUGUUCGUUCCCCACUCGCCAAAUAUAGCCACGCUUCAGUGUAUUUGUGCAUGCCAUUAUACUUUUCCAUGUAAAGGAAGAGUCUUUCUUUAACUUCGCAUUUAACAGAUCACCAUCGGGGUAAUAUUUUGGCCAUAGGAUAGAAGCGUACAAGGUAUCAGGAUUAUCCAACAGACGUCAUGCCUGUUUGGCGAGUAGUGCCAAAUUAAAGUAGUGGAUAUCACAAAAUCCCAUUCCUCCUUGAUUUUUAGGAACACACAAUUUCCACCAGGACAUCCAAUGCAUCCUCUUCUGAUUCUCCUCGUCUCCCCACCAGAAAUGUGUUAUCGCGUCGAUGAUUCCUUUACAAUUUUUUUAUAGGAAUUUUAAAGACCGACAUUGCACAGGUAGGUAUGGCUUGGAUCACAGCCUUGAGUAGGAUCUCCUUUCCCCCGGUAGAUAGUAAUUUCUCGUUCCAGCCGCUGAUUCUCUUGACAACACGCUCAAUUAAAAAUUGGAAACAGUCGGUUUUAUCUAUCCCCACAAUUGCUGGCAGACCCAGAUAUUUAUCACUAAGGGCCUCCGUCAUUAUAUUCAGUGUUGUGCAAAGUUGUGCUCUAAUCUCCACCUUCGUGUUGGGACUGAAGAAAGUACUAGAUUUUUCAAUGAUAACUAAUUGUCCCGAUGCCUCGCAAUAUAGAUCGAGCGCAACUUUUAGAGUUUAUGCACUUUGUUUGUUGGCUUUCAUAAGAAUCAAUGAAUCAUCCGCAAAAAGAAGGUUUGUUAUCGGUGGGGCGUCUCUACAUACUCUUACACCUGAGAUUUUUCCAUUUUCCUCAGCAUGUGUCAGUAGGGCAUUCAAGCCUUCAUUACACAACAAGAAAAGGUAUGGUGACAACGGGUCACCCUGUCGCAAGCGUCUUGUAGUCUUGAAACUCUCACUUUCCUCCAUAUUAAUCCUAACUCUGUAUUCAAUUGUUGAGACGCAUUGCAUAAUAAAGUUCACCCAUUCUUGACGGGAACCUAGUCUCAACAUAUUCACUUUCAGAAAAGGCCACUCUACUCUAUCAUAAGCUUUGUGCUUAUCAAGUUUUAUAGCACACAGACCUUCUCUCCCUUCUCUCUUAUUCUUGAUUGUGUGAAAACAUUCAUAAGCUACUAGAAUAUUAUCCAUAAUGAGUCAGCCAGGCACGAAGGCACUUUGAGUGGGGCUGAUAACCUUUGGCAAAAAGACCUUUAAACUUGACUUGAAUAACCUCCAUAGUUUUCUCAUAAAACAUAUGUUGGUUUGUUUCAAGCCAAACAUUCUAAGGAACCCUUUCAAUUUCAAAUGAUUUUGCUAUUUUAGGGUACUUUGAUCGUUAUGAAAAAAAGGUACUUAUGUAGGUCGACUGGUCCGCACUCUAUUUUCGUGUAAAUUCCAUCAUUCCAACCUCUUGUUCAAUAGCUUUAUUUUUAUGUUGGCGGCAUAAAACAUUAUUCUCCCUCCGUCCCAAAAUAAAUGUCGCUGAUUAGUACGAAGUUGUACCAAAACAACGACACUUAUUUUGGGAAGGAGGAAGUAUGAUCUAAAAUCUUGCAACUUUGUGAUUAUAUAGGAUUGAAGAGAACAUGCUAAUCCAAUUUGAAGUUUUUUUCUAUUUCAGAAUUUUAAGAAUCCUACGAACUAAAGAUCCAAGGCAAGACCUCUUUUUUUUCUAUCGUGUUACCCACAUUUGCUGAAUGAUGAUGCACCCAGUACAUCACUCAUCAAGAUGCAGCAAUGUGGGGGAAUCUAGACGGUGGACAAGAUGGGUCGUGACCUGGGGGCUCCUAUUCGGUGCUUCAGGCACCAGGUAAGCUCCCUGGCGCCCACAAGCUGCACAUGAUGGGCCGGUCCAUGUCCUUGAUUGAUUUUGCAACAAAAACACAAAAACGAAAAAAAAUGUGAAUUAAAAAAGAUCAUGGGUUUUGAAAAAAAUUGAAUGAAUUUUAAAAAAGAUCAUUCAAUUUGAAAAAAAAUCAUAUUUAAAAAAAUCCUUGAAUUUAGAGAAAAGUUCACCAAGUUGAAAAAUGUUCAUAUUUAAAAAAAUCCUUUAAUUUAGAAAAAGUUUCACGGACUUGAAAAAGGUUCAUCAAUUUUGAAAAAAAAAGCUAUUGAUUCAAAAAAAGUUCACCGAUUCGGAAAAAGUUCAUCAAAUUUUGGGGAAAAAAGUUCACCAAUUUGAAGAUAAAAAAGUACAAAUUUGAAAAAAAAUCAUGGGAAAAGGAAAAAUAAAAGAAGAAAGAGGAAAAAAUAAAUGAAAGAAAAGAUAUAAACACAUUGUGUUAUUCGGCUUUGUGGUCAGGCGCCCAUUUAUAAAAUACACAGCAACGGACGCCUGAAGCGCCAAAUAUGAACCACCUCACGACCCACCCUAAAGGACCAUUUGAGGCUUAAGUCAGGGAAACUUUGGCCCUCCCCGGCCUAAUCCCCGGGACGAGAAAACACGAGUCACGACUCGUGGGAGAAGUCCCCCGUCUCUUUCGCUCCGUCUCUAUUCGCAAACCACGCUGCCAUCUCGCUCGAACUUUUCUUGUCCCUUACGCCGCCCACCUCGACCGGUCGACCCCCUCCUCUCUCCUCAGUUCCAACCUCUCCUCGCCGGAACACGCGCUGCAGAGAAACUGAAGUCCACAGAUCCCCGUUCACUUUCUACAUUCAUGAAUUAAAAAACUCAAACUGUGAAGCUCACCGUGUAGGUAGGCCGGUCCAUCCCCGUUCACUUUCACGCACGUGCCCCAUGAUCGUACUCGUAUGAGUGUAUCCCUUGUUAAUCGAUCAAGAAAGUCUAUGCUCAAAAAGACAAUCUAAUUACCGCUUAGACUAGCCACAAUGGAGAGUAACAUACAGUAGCAACAUACACAUAUUCCUAGACUAUAUUACCAUCUUUCAUAGUGGGUAGCAACAUAAGUAUGGUAACAUGCAAAGCCUCAUUUAUUAGGUUAUAGACUCAUAUUGCAUUGGGACAUGUGAUGUUACACUAAGUUACUCAAACUACCCCUCUCCUCAUUAACUCAUUGCCACAUAAGCAAAUUUGCUGAGUUGGACUAGAUGUUACUGUGAAGUUAUUCCACUGUGGCUAGUCUUAGAGUAAAAACAAUUCUAGUACAUACUAACAUCGUGCCAAAUGGAGACAUCUGGGCAAAUCGGGUGUCCCACAGCCGACUAGCUCGUUCGUUGCUCCCAUCCUGUAAUAGAGAUGGAAUUUUUAUACAAACAGAAAAUCCUCUAAUAUUUCUAUGUAGUACACCCUUCGUUCAAAAUUCUUGAUGUUUCUAGUGGGAAAUAAAAAAGAAUACUUACUAGUAUAUGGGUGAAGUGAAGCCGGGAGGGAGGGCCAAUCAUGUGGCGGGCCCAGCCCAAAAAGCAAUGCGACGCGACCUCCGAUGCGGAAAAGAUGCGCCGCGGACCCGGACCCGGACCCGGACCCAGCCAGAACUGCGUACCACCAACGCGACCCUGCCGCAAACAAACACGAGGGCCGGUGGGCCCCGCGCCCAUUCAAGCUCCACAAACGCCAAAGCCGGAGGAAAGAGAGCGCCAGAGCGGCCCGCUCUCGCCCGGACGCCUCGAAGCCCGCGCACGCCGUCCACCGCUUUGUUUACUCGCCGGACGCUGCCCCACGGGCCCCGCGGCUUUCCGCCAUGUGGGACCCCGGCCCCGUCCCGUGCCUGAGGCUGCGCUGUGGCCCCACGCCCAUCACGAUGGAAGCGUUAAUUGUUUCCAUCGAUUUCUUUUACGUGGGCUUCACUUUGGAAAUAUUAAUUGGUUGAGCGAGAAAUACCUUCUCUUUUUGCGGGGAGACAGCAGUAACUUUACCUGCAUGGAUUUUUUUAACGGGACUUUACUUGCACGAAUUAGUUAGGCCUUUUUCAGGAAUAUAAUUCUGGCCGCGUUUUUUCUUGUGGUAAUAUUCUGCUUUAGUUGGCAAGGAGUAUAUGACAGGCCGAUUAGAUCCGCCGAUGGAACGGAAUAAAAUUUGGAUUUAUACCUCCUUUUCUAGUGCCUUGUGGCAGGGGGGAUGGGAACUUCCCUAGUCAAAAAGGGGCACAAAUUUCUCACCUAAAAAAAGCAGGACAUGCAGUAUCCUAUUUAAAAGUAAAGUGAAGUUGUUAAAUCUAAAUGAUGCAUCGCGUUUUAUUUCUUGUUUACGAAUCUGCCUAUAGGGUUUUUUGGUAUGGUCUAGUGAUGAUGGAAUAUAUGAAACUUCCUGCCGCCAAGAGAAUCCAACUGACAAGGGAGAGGAUAUAUAAUCCAAGUGCCAACAGAAUACAUAUCUGGAUCAAUCACAUGGCAUAUCUCAAUUUUGCCUCAGAUCCACGCGAGAUCUCACUACCAAUACAGAUCCAUGCAUCCACAAGGUAAUAUUGUUCUCCAAAAUUACUAAAUCAAGAUCCAUCAAUAAUUACAGUGCAAAACAAGCAACACCAGAAAGGUCAGGAUUAAACAAACAUGUCAGUUUUGACAAACGAAGUGAAUGUACGGGCGGACAUGAUAGCAGACCAUGUUCCAUCUCAACAAAGUACAGAGCCUUUUUCUUUACCAAUGCUAAUUUGCGCGUGGUACCGUACUACAGCAGUUUUUGUGUCGAGAAAGUUCAGAACUUGUGUCGAGCAUUUGAAACGUGAUUAAUUUACAAUUUUUCAGAUCGGUAAUAGGCACAGAAAUCGAGUGGAUAACACCAGAAAAAGCACACGGGUACCAACACAUAGGAGUCAGGAGCACCAGACAAAGUAUGAAUGCGACAAACAGAUAUGAAGCCAAGCGCACAAAUAAUGGAUAAUUCAUAGCGGAGUUCAUCUCAUUCAAACGGUAAGAUAGCAGCAGACACAGGAAGAUAACCAAGGCGGCCGGACAGAGAUCCAGCAGCCCAAAGAGUCCACCUAAAACCCUCCUAAACCAACCACGGAGAUCUCAUCGGACGGACCAGGGGAAGACACGACACGACACACGACUCUCUUAUUUAGAUCGACGACACGACACGGGACACACGGGGCGGCGACGACGACGGCGAAAGGCGACCCGCGCGCGGGCGGAUCUAGAGCUGGCCGCAGUCGGCGAUGACCACCUGCUUGGAGCAGGUGCCGCUGCGGGAGCCCACCUUCUCGAUGUUCUUGACGACGUCCAUGCCCUCGACGACCUCGCCGAAGACCACGUGCUUGCCGUCGAGCCAAUUGCAGGGGACGGUGCAGAUGAAGAACUGGGAGCCGUUGGUGUUGGGCCCCGCGUUGGCCAUGGAGAGGAUCCCGGGCUUGGUGUGCUUGUGGACGAACUUCUCGUCGGCGAACUUCUCGCCGUAGAUGGACUCGCCGCCGGUGCCGUUGCCCCGGGUGAAGUCGCCGCCCUGGCACAUGAAGUCGGGGAUCACGCGGUGGAAGGCGCUGCCCUUGUAGUGCAGCGGCUUGCCGCUCUUGCCGACGCCCUUCUCGCCGGUGCACAGCGCGCGGAAGUUCUCCACCGUCCGCGGCACCGCGUCCUUGUACAGCUCCAUCACGAUGCGCCCGGCCGGCGCGCCGCCGACGGUCAUGUCGAAGAACACCCUCGGGUUGGCCAUCUCGCUCGCCGGGAUCGGGGAUGAGGGCUAGGGUUUUGAGAUGGGGAUUUCUGUGGGGAUUGGGAUUACCUUUCGCUUCGGGCUCUGUGAUCUGGCAAGGGAGACCGGGCGUGGUUAAAUAGGCGGCGAGGUCCGGGGCGGGGGCGGCGCUGGCCGUCCGAUCGGGACGCGUGGCGCCAUCGUGGGGCGCCGGGGCUAACCGGGGGGGUUGGGCGGUGCGGUUGCGGGAACCGUGGUUAGGUCUAGGGUUGGGUUCCCGGUGGACGCGAGCAGCACGUGACCCAUUCCAACGCGAGGCUUUAUGACAUGUGGGGCCUGCGGAUGCCUGUCGCGGAGGGCGGCCUGCAGGGUUCCGGUCGUGUGGGGAUCGGCGACGUGGGCCCAGAGUGUCAUGAGGGGUGGGUGGACGCGGCGUCCGUGCGAAUUUUUAUUGGAUCUUUCUGGGGGUGACUAGGGUUGGGGCCAUGGUUACCCGGGGGUGGUUGGGUCGGGACUAGGGUUAGGUUGGGGUAUCCCCGCUUUUGGACUGCGCGCGGUCCACCUAGACCGUGUGGUGCGGCGCGCGUGGGAUCUUUUGGGAGAGUCUAUGGACCGGGUGCAGGGAAGGCUGUGGUGGGGACGAGCGGAGGAGAGAGGGCGUGGGGAAGGGAUAUGCCGCCGCGCGAGUGGGCGAUAUUCUGUUCUGGCUUGGAUCGCACGCGGACUGCAUGUGCAACUGGCCCGGGACGAUUCCUUCCUGCCGGCCCAGUCCGCUCGGGCUCUGCGGCGGAGCGCCAACGGGCGGCUCAUCCGGGCCGUCGAGUGUGGGUUUGGACGGUCGAGAUGCGCGUCACGAGGGCUCUAGAAGCUUCCUCCUCAUUCUAGGGCCUGAUCGAACUGAAAUGCCUAUUUCUCUCUUCUUUUUUUGGAGGUAAAAACUAUCUGGGCAGAAAUAUAGAGUUGCGGUUUUUAGGUAAACAAUUUAUUUUCUGAAUCCUUGAGAUCAUGGACUGGAUUGUUGGAAUCUGCUAUGAUCAUGGACUGUAUUGUUGAGAUCAUGGACUAGAGAAAUACUAAAUUUGAACUAUGAUGUAACAACGAAAAAAAAAUACUCCAAGGCAUCUUAGGGCCAGUUCUUUUGGACAAUUCUCCCAGAAUUGACCCCCUCCCCAGCUUCUCCCAGAAUUGCUACUCUAUCUUUUUUACAAUUCCUAGCUAGUGAAGGUCUAAUUAGCUAGGAUUUGUAAAAAAAUAUCAAGUGGCAAUUCAGGGAGAAGCUGGGGAGGGGGUCAAUUCUGGGAGAAUUGCCCAAAAGAACCGGCCCUUAGUCUCUUUCUCACAAAUCAUUUUACCUACCCCUCCAUUGCGAAAUAUUUGAAAUACUAUAUUCUUUCGAAGUUAAACUUCUCUAUUUGACAAAGUCUAUAGAAAAAUAUGGUAAUAUCUACAAUAUCAAAUGAAUAGUAUGAAAAUAUAUAUUACGAUGAAUGUAAUGAAACUAAUUUGGCGUUGUAGAGGUUGAAAGAUUUUUCUACACCCCUCUCGUGAAUAGUAACCACGAGAGGCAAAAGGGAAGGAUCCCAUAUCUCUUGCUCCGCCAAAGGCCGAAUCAGCGGUCCCUCCCUCUUCGGUCAUAGUUGCAAUACCAAGGGAGUGGAAGGAGCUUCGAUCUGUGUGGUAGGUGUGUAGAUACUAGGGUUAGGCUCCCCAGCCGCACUGACAAGGUGGUGGUGGUGGUGGUGUCGAAAAAUGGUGUUCGAGCUUGUUCCCCAUCUCAACAAGGUCACAUGUGGCGGCAUCGACGAGCUUCCAACGUUGUUUGCUCCCCGAUCUGUCGAUUCAGUGGCCGAUGUGUUCUUCGGGCGUGGUCUUCGCAACGGAGGGAUGUCGUACGGGAGAGAGAUUUUGUCCCUCGAUCCUGUCUUCACCAUGGCAAGUUGGAUCCUUGUCUUGUUGUGGGGUGCUAGGGGGUGGUGCGGUGAGGUGCUGGCGACUAUCGCCGGUGUUCUUCGCCGCCCUUCAUGGACUUCAGAAUUGUGAUGUCGCUUAUGUGGUGAAGUGAUGGUUGUCCCUCCUCUUCCUCCAACGUGGUGGUCCUCUUGGGCCAACGGUGAAUACUUCUCGUCCGUGUUCUAUCGAGCUGUAGAUUCCAAGGUCACACGAUCCCUAGGUGGGAGCAGUGACAAUGAUAUUGGUAGCGCGCCGGCAACCCCUGGUGGAUGGAGGAGAUGGGUGGUUGCCCAGGGACUUGUUUGCUAUUUUCUUGUAUGCUGGGGUGUUUUGUAUCACAACUCAGUUUCAAUAUAAUUUUGAGGUCCUUUUCAUCAAAAACACUUAAUGUCAAGCAGUUUCAAUAUACAUGCCACUUUACACCUUCUUCCAAGCACUAAUUUGCAGUUUUGAUUUUUGAUAGUGACGUGAUACUAUUCAAUCCUACAUUUUUUUAUAUGUAGACUCAUUUGUUCCAAAGAGGCCCCAAAGACUGCCUAAAGGACCUCCAAUUUUGACAUGUGAAAAGAACACUAUCAUUAGCUCCAAUUAACCCAACAUCGGCUUUUGAUUUCUAUCUCGCCAUCUAGCCAUUCGAUUUGACAUGGAUACAUUUGUUUAACAGUGGAAAGGCCUCUAAGGACCCAGACGUCCAUUGGAUAAGCAUGCAUACACAUUUUAUAACAAGAGACAAAGAAAACCAAAAAUACACAUUAGUCCCUGAAACAUGCAAAGAAUAAUGCGAACAUAGAAAAAAGAAUGCAUUUGGGUCUAAAGCUACUCGAAAAUGGAUUCCAUCUCGUUGUCGUCGUUGACGAGGCCACUUGGGAUGCUGAACUCUCCAUGACAUCACACCAUGGACUCCUUCCAGAAACAACGUUGUCUUCCCUCUGCAAUCAUGGGUGUGAAGAAAUAUAUUGGGUCGCCUUUCGGCUAGAAAGUAUGACGGAUCACCAGAGGAGAGUCUGGUUAUCGGCCAUAUUGGGCGAUGCAGCUCUCCAGAACCAUCGUCGUCGUACACGCUCUUGAGUCCCAUCAACCCCAUCCAGCACUUCGUAUCUCCUCCGUUCCAUCUUUAUCCCCACAUGGAAGUGACAAUCAAGGAUGAGCUGGGGGCCCUCUGCCGGUUUAGGGAAGGACACAUAUCUCGUCGAAAGCUUGGAUCAGACGAGACACCCCACCCCCAGAACCGGAGCCAACCCGAGAUCUUCCACCAACUCCAUGUUCGUCACUACCACCACUGUUGGGAAUCGUUGAAUGGAAAACAAAAAAAUUCUAUCCAUGGAGAUGCAUAGCAACAAGGGGGAGAGUAUGUCUACGUACCCUCGUAGACCUAAGCGGAAGCGUUUCACAACGCGGUUGAUGUAGUUGAACUUUCUUCGCGCUCCAACCGAUCUAGUACCGAACGCACGGCACCUCCGCGUUCUGCACACGUUCACCUCGGUGACGUCCUCCGCCUUCUUGAUCCAGCAAGAUGGCGAGGUAGUAGAUGAGUUCUGACAACACAGUGGCAUGGUGACGGUGAUGGUGGUGUGAUCUCCGCAGGGCUUGGCCUAAGCACUACGAAAAUAUGACCGAGGGAGUAAACGGUGGACGGGUAUGCCGCACACGGCUAAGACAAUGUUCUAUGUCCUUGUGUGGCACCCCCUCCCCAUGCCCUAGGGCUGGCCACCGGCCCCUAGGGCCCCUGCCUUGCCCUGCCCCCCUUUCCUUGUAUCAACAAGGUGGAAGCAAAGAGGGGAGAGAGGGAAGGAAGGGGGGGGGGGUCCUACUGCACACUUUCCUUUCCCUCCCCUAUUUCCUUCUCCUCCUCAUAGGGCCAACCACUAUAGGGGAGCACCUGCCCCUUGUGGGCUAGUGUGUUCCCUCACUUGGCCCAUAAGGCCCAUAUCUUUGCCGGGGUGCCCAAAACUCCUUUCCGGUGACCCGAUAAGUACCCGGUACCCUCCAAAACACUUCCGGUGUCCGAAUAUCAUCGUCCUAUAUAUCAAUCUUUACCUCCCGACCAUUCCAAGACUCGUCUUCAUGUCCGUGAUCUCAUCCGGACUCCGAACAACAUUCGGACACCAAAUCAUGUAACUCAUAUAAUAUCGUGAACGAACGUUAAGCGUGCGAACCCUACGGGUUCGAGAACUAUGUAGACAUGACCGAGACACCUCUCCGGUCAAUAACCAAUAGCGGAACCUGGAUGCCCAUAUUGGCUCCUACAUAUUCUAUGAAGAUCUUUAUCGGUCAAACUGUUAUGACAACAUACGUAAUUCCCUUUGUCCAUCGGUAUGUUACUUGCUCGAGAUUCGAUUGUCGGCAUCUCUAUACCAAGUUCAAUCUCGUUACCGGCAAGUCUCUUUACUCGUUCUGUAAUACAUCACCUCGUGACCAACUCCUUAGUUAUUUGCUUGCAAGCUUAUGAUGUGUAUUACCGAGAGGGCCCAGAGAUACCUCUCCGAUACUCGGAGUGACAAAUCCUAAUCUCGAUCUAUGCCAACUCAACAAACACCUUCAGAGAUACCUGUAGAGCAUCUUUAUGAUCACCCAGUUACAUUGUGACGUUUGAUAGUACACAAGGUUUUCCUCCGGUAUCCGGGAGUUGCAUAAUCUCAUAGUCGAAGGAAUAUGUGAAAGAUCGUCGAUGUCGCCUAGAGGGGGGGGUGAAUAGGCGCUUUAAAAUAAUUACGGUUGAGGCUUGAACAAAUGCGGAAUAAACCUAGCGGUUAAUUUGUCAAGCACAAAACCUACAACAACUAGGCUCACCUAUGUGCACCAACAACUUAUGCUAAGCAAGAAAACCUACUUAGGUGAUAGCAAGAUAUAUGACAAGAAACAAUAUGACUAUCACAAAGUAAAGUGCAUAAGUAAAGGGCUCGGGUAAGAGAUAACCGAGGCACGCGGAGACGACGAUGUAUCCCGAAGUUCACACCCUUGUGGAUGCUAAUCUCCGUUUGGAGCGGUGUGGAGGCACAAUGCUCCCAAAGAAGCCACUAGGGCCACCGUAAUCUCCUCACGCCCUCGCACAAUGCAAGAUGCCAUGAUUCCACUAAGGGACCCUUGAGGGCGGUCACCGAACCCGUACAAAUGGCAACCCUUGGGGGCGGUCACCGAACCCGUACACUUUGGCAACCCUUGGGGGCGGUCACCGGAACCCGUCAAAUUGCUCGGGGCGAUCUCCACAACUUAAUUGGAGACCCCGACGCUUGCCCGGAGCUUUACACCACAAUGAUUGAGCUCCGAACACCACCAACCGUCUAGGGCGCCCAAGCACCCAAGAGGAACAAGCUCAAGGGUACCAAGCACCCAAGAGUAAUAAGCUUCUCAACUUGUAACUUCCACGUAUCACCGUGGAGAACUCAAACCGAUGCACCAAAUGCAAUGGCAAGGGCACACGGAGUGCCCAAGUCCUUCUCUCUCAAAUCCCACCGAAGCAACUAAUGCUAGGGAGGAAAAUGAGAGGAAGAACAAGAAGGAGAACACCAAGAACUCCAAGAUCUAGAUCCAAGGGGUUCCCCUCACAUAGAGGAGAAAGUGAUUGGUGGAAAUGUAGAUCUAGAUCUCCUCUCUCUUUUCCCUCAAAAACUAGCAAGAAUCCAUGGAGGGAUUGAGAGUUAGCAAGCUCGAAGAAGGUCAACAAUGGGGGAAGAACACGAGAUCAAAGGAUAAGGUUCAAUGGGGAAGAAGACCCCCUUUUAUAGGUGGGGAAAAAUCCAACCGUUAUGCUCAGAGCCCGCACAGAGCGGUACUACCGCUCCAAGGAGCGGUACUACCGCUAGGGCGGUAGUACCCCUUUGAAAAACAACAACGAGGAGGCAAAAGGCCAGUAGAACCGGCGGAGCGGUACUACCGCUCGUCCCCACGGUACUACCGCUCGACCUCACGGUACUACCGCUAGGGAUAGCGGUACUACCGCAAGUGGUAGUGGUACUACUGCUUGCGAGCGGUACAAAAAAAUAAUACUUCCGUGCCUACUUCCGCUGAGCAAAACACGAGAUUUUGGUCCGGAGCGGUACUACCGCUCAGGAGCCGCGGUAGUACAGCUCUGGAGCGGUACUACCGCUCAGGAGCCGCGAUAGUACCGCUCCCAAGAGCGGUACUAAAAAAUUACAUCCGCAGCAGCCCCUUUAAAGGACACCAAAACUGACACAACUUCUGCAAACGGACUCCGAAUUCGACGAAACCAAGUUUGUCGGAAAGCUAGCGACAAGGGCUAACACAAUAUUGAUAUAAAUACCAAUAAGAAGCAAAUGAGAAAAGGCCCAAAAGAAAAUGGUGAGAACCCUUCCUCGGAUAAGACCGGUAAAACCUCCAACAUCGAAAACAUCGUAGAAGACGCAUGCAAACUCCGUUUUCGAUGAACUCAAGCUUGUCAUCAAGAUGACCAUAAGAUCUAAGACUCACAAAGAGAACCAAACAAGAACCAAGAAACAUGAUGCAAGGAUGCAAUGGUUUGAGCUCUCGACGAACGAUACGAUCAAGCUACUCACUUGAGAGCCCCCCUUGAUAGUACGGCUAUCGAUCCUAUAACCCGGUCUCCCAACUACCACCAUGAGACCGGUAAAAUAGAAAACCUAUCAAGGGAAAACCUUUGCCUUGCACAUGGUCCACUUGAGCUAGAUGAUGACGAUCUUGACACCCUCAAGUUGGACCACCUUUCUUGAUUGCGUUGGCUCGAUGAAGACUAGAUGAUUACUCCCCCAUAGUCCACUAUUGGUGAGCCACUCUUCGGCACAUCUUCACAAGUCCAUUGUCACCACAAUGGACGGCAAGCUUCAAGCACUUGAUCUCUUCGUGACGCUCCACUUGAACUUGCACACGGCAAUCUUGAUGAUGAUCACCACUUGGUGUCAUCCUCUCCAUGGGUUGAGUGAUAUCUUCCUCUUGACGCAAGCCCAUGAACACGUACCUAACCCUACAUAGAACUCUCACAUAGACCAUGGGUUAGUACACAAAGCACAAUGGACAAUGCUUACCAUACCAUGGGAUCACUUGAUCCCUCUCGGUACAUCUUCUACGCUUUGUGAGUUGAUCAACUUGAUUCACUCUUGACUUAGUCUUGAUCAACCUAGAAUCUUUCCAACUCUCGGAUGAUGUCUUGAAGGUAAACAUGAAUGAUCACACAAUCUUCUUCUUCAAGACAUGCUUGCAAUAAGCUCAACUCUCACAUGACCAAUCUUUGGAUAAUUCCUUAAUAGCACCUUGGUCAACACAAACUCUCCUUGAAACCAACACAUGUACUCCAAGAAAAGCCUAUGGACAAAACCUUCAAAUAUAACUCAAGGCAACCAUUAGUCCAUAGAGAUUAUCGUCAGUUACCAAAACCGAACAUGGGGGCACCACAUGUUCUUUCAAUCUCCCCCAUUUUGGUAAUUGAUGAUACUCACUUUCAAGAGAGUUUAUAUAAGGAAUUAUGCAUCACCAUGCAAUGCAACAACCAAAGAUGCAUGAGUAAGAGAUGCAAAUGCUUAGGAACAAAACCAAAGCAAGAGGAGAGAAUUCUCUAAACUUCUCCACAAAACUCUCUGAAACUUCUCCCCCAUUGGCAUCGAUUGCGAAAAUGGGAGAAAAGCUUAGAAGGCCAAUAUAAAUUGUGUUCCUCCAUAAUUUGUGUAUUUCUCAACAAGAGAGUGGAAUGCAAUACACAAGUUUGACGGUAAAUACUAGGAGGAAAACAAACUAUAUUUAGGCCCAAAGUUUACAAAAGAAAGAUAUGCCACAAAGACAUAAGAAAGAGAGAAACAAGCAAACAAGCAAUCAAAAGAUACCAAUUGAAGCAAGCAAUCAAUGGAUAUCAAUUGAGCCAACUAGACCAAUGAUCCUACGUGCCACAUGAAUGAAAUAAAUUAUGAUAUGAGCAAAGGAGUGUUCUAGAGAAACUAGAGAAGCUCCCCAUGAUUUGUGCACAAUUUAGUUUUGUAACUGGAUACAACGAGCACAAAAUAGGAUCGUCACUCCCCCAAGAUCAAUAGAACCUCACGACAAGUGCAAGAGAGCAACAGAGUGUUCUAAAGACACUAGUGAAGCUCUCCAUGAUUUGUGCACUUCUUACAAUAUUUGCAUUAGGAUACCGAGUGCACAAAAUAGGAUCAUCACUCCCCAAAAAUCAAUAGAAACUCACAACAAGUGCAAGUGAGCAUAUAGGAAACAAAGCCUAGCACUUGCAAUAAACAAAUGGUUGAGCAACAUACAAAAGAGGCAACUUAGAGUAGGCUCAACCAAAAUGAUGUGUGUGAGUCAUGGCAAAGCACUUGAGAAGACUAAUGUACAAAUGAGCAUUAAGCAUCAACAUAGUCUUGGAUAGUGGAGAUACAAGGUGCAUGACAUGUCCUCCCCACACACACCAAGCAAAAGGGUUCACAAGCACACUAAAAAUGCAAAAUGAAUAACCAACGCUUGUGACAACCCAUGGUGAAGAUAUAAGAUGAAAGCCUCAUCAAGACGAGGGAUACCAAUUAAGAUGGCAAAAGCCUCGUAGAGAUAAGCAUGAGGAAAAUAAUCUUCACCACACAGGAGUGCAUCAAGAUGCAACGAGAUAAGACAUGCACUCAAGGCAAAAGCUUUCACGGAGCCACCAAAGAAAUAACAAGAAAGACAAGGUGGACGUGAAAGAAAGGAUAUCAUCUAGAGAUGUAAUUUCUCUCAAGUGUAUAAGGUUCUAGGUAGACGAGAUCAUGAUGAUAUAUAUCUACAAAGAAGGAUGUACACCCGAAAUAGUUACAACACGAAGGAACAAGAUAUCCAAAAGGAAGUCAUAGAUAUACCAAUAAGAUAUUUGCUUGGAAGCAUAGCACAUGGCUAGAUAUGGUCGUAUUGUAUAUAAAUGAAUUCCUACCACACAACCAUCAAAGACAUCACAACUAGCAACAAGAGAUCAUUGUUGGGAUGCUUUGAGAAAGGAAACAAGUAUCACAAGAGAGGAUGAAUAACAUGCCAUGAUACAACCUACACAAGGUUGAUGCAAGAAAUGUGUGCAUGAAGUAUAUGAAGAUACUUGUUACCGAGUUAACAUUGGAAGGAUGUAGUAGAUACCAAUUGAAGGUACAAAGUAGUUCAUUGAUCAUCCUAGCUUGACUCCAAAAAGCACAUGGUGACAACACCUUCCUUGUGAGUGAGCCGAGCAUCCAAUGCAUCUCCAAUUGUUCCUAGAACAACAACACAAACAAAAUGGUACCCAAACUCAUUGGGACCAAAGAGUUAGAAACACCAACAAUACAUAGGACAAACUCCACAUAAAUAUGUGCAUAUAGAUAUGGAAAUGAAAUUCAUGCACAUCUCAUCCAAUUUGAGACUUGGUGGAGUUUCCCCUAUAUAUUGGGUCAAAGAGAGAAAGCAUGCCACGGAAACUACAUGAAGUUAAUAUGCAUGCUCAAGACUUUCAAGAACCGAUACCAAAAUACAAGGAAAUACCAAGUGAAAAGAAUACCAAAUGGAGAAAUCAUCACUUGGAGAUAUCAUUAAAAGAUACAUCAAGGAAUGAGAUAUCCAUUGGAACCCACAAAAUGAUAUCAAACUCCCAAAAGAGAGGAUGGUUCCUAACAAACCAAGCUCUCUACAAAGUUUCAUGAUGGCACAAGUACCAAAAAGAAAUGGCUUGCCGUCCACCAACACACACUUAAAAUGGAUCACAAGUUUAGUGUUUUAUAGAAAAUAGGAUAGCUCCCCCACGAGUUGUGCAUUAUAGAGAAUUUGCAUUUGAAUACAAAAUGCACAAGGUAGGAUCACCACGUUCACUAUAUCAAGGAAAACACUAGACAAGAUCAAGAAAACAACAAGAUCCUCAAGUGGCACGGAAGGCAAUGGGAGUUGACACAAACCUGGCAAGAGAUAAGGCAAAUAAAAAGCAAACGCCAACGUGAAGAUGAUCAAUAAUUUCUACCACACAUAAGUGAGUACCAAUUGUCAAAAGACAAGAAGUAUUUGGAAAUAAUUGCCGGUGGUAGAUAGCAAGGAUAUCCGACAUCAUCUUCACACCAAACACAAGCAAAUUGCAACUUGUAGAGCUAACAUGCCACGUAGGAACAAGAUAAUUUACAAUAUCAAUUCUAGGUGACAAUAUCUCAAAUGUACACAUUUUCUAGGCUAGUAAUAUACAUAGCAUAUUACUCCCCCAUAAUGUGAUACCAAUUAAAGAAAACUUAACAAGAGGCAAAAAGAGGAUCCAACAAGAGAUAAUUAAUGGACUAUUUAGAAUUUGAAUUUCUCAUGAGAAGACAUACCACAUAGUGACUAGAUAAGCUUGCAAUAUCAAUACUAGGUGGUAUUCCUCAUGUAAACACAUUUAUGGGACCGUGAGGUGCACAAAGAACAUCACUCCCCCAAAAUGGGAUGUUCCAUUAAUCUCUCACAAGAGCCAACUAACAUACAAACAGGAUGCGCAAAGGCUCAACGCACUACACACACGUACAUGAUGUGCAAACCAACACACACAUACUUGAUUACUCAAGAUAAGCAAAUUGAAGGCACAACAUAUACAACCACAUGCAAGGAACAAAACCAAAACAUGCAAAGGGGCAAGUAACUUUCGAUGUAAACAAUUGAAGUACAAGUUACCGGAAGGAGGCACAUUGGAUCUAGAAUAGAAACUUGAUAACCCAAUUGACUUGGCUUGAGACAAUAAGAAUGAUGAAGUCCCCUUAAAUCUUCAUAAUGUAGCCAAGUCUCCAAUGCCCUCCAACAACACCUAUUGAUCAAGUUUGAGCUAGUUGGUCCCCAACCAAGUUGGGUCCUAAGAGGUUAGUCACAAUAGGCUUGGCUACCCAAAUGGUUCUUUUCUUGACACCACUUUGAGCACCAGCAAAUUUGGCAAACACAUGGCCAACAUUAUCCUUCCCAAGAGAAUAGAUAUCAUCAAUAAUAAUUGGGUUGGAUAAGUUACCACUAGUGCAUGAAGAGGCGAGGUGACCUUUCUCACGACAUAAGUAGCAACGUCUACUCUUCACUUUCUUCUCACUUGAUUUCUCAACUUGAGAAGCAUUAGCUUGAGGAUUCUUGGGAAGAGGACUUUCUUCAACUUGUGGUUGAGCAUGAGAUCGAACUUGUGGCCGCUUCCCUUGUUGCUUGUCACUAAUGGCCUUCUUCUUCAAUGGGCAAGAUCUAACAUGAUGCCCUUCUACUUUGCACUUGAAGCAAACAAUCUUGGCCGAAUUCUUGACUUGUUCUUGGCCCUUCUUUUUGUUCAUCUUGGACUUCUUCUUCUUGUUGGAGUUGAAUCCAAGUCCACCUUUGUCAUUGGGGGAUUUUUGCACUCUCAAGAUGUUGUUGAGUGUAAAUUUCCCUUCAUGACUCUUUUCCAAGUCUUUCUUCAAAGAAGUGACUUGGGCCUUGAGCUCUUUGAUUUCCUCUACAUGGUUAGUCUCAACACAAGCACUAGAGGAAGUAUAAGCUUCAUCGUUAGAGCAACAAGGCAAGGAAAGCAAUUCAUCACAAGAUGUACCAACGGUAUGCAUGGAUGAAUCGCGAGGACUAGCACAAGGCAAUAUAGCAUUUUGACUAAAAGUAGUGCUAGUGUCCACAUGAGGCUCACUAGACGUUACCUUAGCAAUCAUGGCCUCAUGAGCUAUCUUUAGCACAUUAUGGGAUACUAGAAGAUCAUCAUGAGAGCUUGAAGCUUUUCAUGGCUUUCUUCCAAUUUCCCAUAAUUGCUAGAUAGCAACUCAAGUUGAGCCCGUAGCUCAACGUUCUCCUUUAAAAUGGAUGCUUCACAAGAAAUAGAGUUAGUAGCACAAGCAUCAUCAUUAACAACAAGAGUAGAAGGCAACUUGGCAAGCUCUUUUAAAUAAGAAGCUUCAAGUUGAGCAUGAGACUCGGUGGGUUUGAUGAGCUCACCCUUGAUGACCCUUGAGCCAUUUUCGAGGUGCUCAAAAUCCUCAAGGAGUCUAGCAUGAGCAACUUCAAGCUUAGCAUUUUUAGUUUCAAAAACAUUGGCCACCUCAAGAGCUCUAUCAUGAGAUUACUUCACUCUAGAUAACUCUAGAGCAAAAGUCUCCUCAAGAGAUUCCUUGGUGGUUUGUUCAAGUUCAAGAGCUUGAGAGAGGUCCGCAAUCUCAUUAGCGUAAUCACGCUCAUGACCUUCCAUUUUAUCAAUGGUGACCUCAUGCUCCUCAAGACGAGAUUCCAACUCAUCAAUAUAUUUCUUGCCCUCAAUAGCAAUAGACAUGAUUUCCACGAAGUUGGAACGAGCAAUUUUAUUCUUAAGAAGAGCUUUAAAAAUUAUUUCCCCCUUAAUUUUUAAGGAGGCAACAUCAUCAUUCUCUUCAUCAUAAUCGACAUCAUCAUCACUCUUGCCAUCAUCAAUAUUAUCACAAGAUAUAUUAGGAUUGAAAGUGGGAGAUACCUUUGAAGCCUUGGCCAUAAGGCAAAAAGCAAUAGAUGAUGAUGUGGGAUCCCUUGAAGCACCAUUCAAGACCACAUCUUGUUCCAUGGAGUGUUGGGUUUCCUCUACAUUGUUAGCACAACAACUCGAGGAAAUACAUGCAUUUUUAUCAUGCCAACAAGACAUAGCAAGCAUAUCAUCAUGAGAUUUAGUCAAGCAAUUUGUACAUGAUAUGCAAGGACUAUCAACACAAGCAUGUGAAACAUUUGGAGUGCUCGAAGUGCUAGAGUCCAAAGAUGAAGCAUCGCAACAAGAAAGUAAUGAAGGAUUAUCAAAACUAAGCCCACUAUCAUCAUUGCAAUGAACACCACUACUCACCAUGUCAUUACCUUGUGGCAAACCACAUGUAGGUGAAGUAGAAUAAGUUGAGAACACAACACGACCGGAGGUGGAGGGAGAACAAUCAUCCCCACAAAACUUGGACACGCCAUAUUUAUCUUGAAGCUUUGUCCACAACUCAUGAGCAUCCCGGAAAGGCAUGAGUUGAAAUAUAACUACAUUGCUCAAAGCAUCGAAAAGCAUAUUAGAAGCUUGAGCAUUGAGAUAAGAGUUUUUCUCAUCCUCUAAAGAUAAUCUUUGGGGAUCUUUUGGAGGAGAAAAACCCAUAUCUACAAUUCACUCUAAAUUUGGGUCCUUGACCCUAAAGAGAUUAAGCAUGCGAAUUACCCAAACAUCAAAAUUUGUGCCAUCGAAACUAAGUGUGUCACAGAAUCCUAAUCCCCUAGUCGACAUCUUUACUCUCUAGGCGAUUAAGGCGAACAAAGAGAGACGAGGCUCUGACACCAAUCGAAAGAUCGUCGAUGUCGCCUAGAGGGGGGGGGGUGAAUAGGCGCUUUAAAAUAAUUACGGUUGAGGCUUGAACAAAUGCGGAAUAAACCUAGCGGUUAAUUUGUCAAGCACAAAACCUACAACAACUAGGCUCACCUAUGUGCACCAACAACUUAUGCUAAGCAAAAAACCUACUUAGGUGAUAGCAAGAUAUAUGACAAGAAACAAUAUGGCUAUCACAAAGUAAAGUGCAUAAGUAAAGGGCUCGGGUAAGAGAUAACCGAGGCACGCGGAGACGACGAUGUAUCCCGAAGUUCACACCCUUGCGGAUGCUAAUCUCCGUUUGGAGCGGUGUGGAGGCACAAUGCUCCCCAAGAAGCCACUAGGGCCACCGUAAUCUCCUCACGCCCUCGCACAAUGCAAGAUGCCGUGAUUCCACUAAGGGACCCUUGAGGGCGGUCACCGAACCCGUACAAAUGGCAACCCUUGGGGGCGGUCACCGAACCCGUACACUUUGGCAACCCUUGGGGGCGGUCACCGGAACCCGUCAAAUUGCUCGGGGCAAUCUCCACAACCUAAUUGGAGACCCCGACGCUUGCCCGGAGCUUUACACCAUAAUGAUUGAGCUCCGAACACCACCAACCGUCUAGGGCGCCCAAGCACCCAAGAGGAACAAGCUCAAGGGUACCAAGCACCCAAGAGUAAUAAGCUUCUCAACUUGUAACUUCCACGUAUCACCGUGGAGAACUCAAACCGAUGCACCAAAUGCAAUGGCAAGGGCACACGGAGUGCCCAAGUCCUUCUCUCUCAAAUCCCACCGAAGCAACUAAUGCUAGGGAGGAAAAUGAGAGGAAGAACAAGAAGGAGAACACCAAGAACUCCAAGAUCUAGAUCCAAGGGGUUCCCCUCACAUAGAGGAGAAAGUGAUUGGUGGAAAUGUGGAUCUAGAUCUCCUCUCUCUUUUCCCUCAAAAACUAGCAAGAAUCCAUGGAGGGAUUGAGAGUUAGCAAGCUCGAAGAAGGUCAACAAUGGGGGAAGAACACGAGAUCAAAGGAUAAGGUUCAAUGGGGAAGAAGACCCCCUUUUAUAGGUGGAGAAAAAUCCAACCGUUAUGCUCAGAGCCCGCACAGAGCGGUACUACCGCUCCAAGGAGCGGUACUACCGCUAGGGCGGUAGUACCCCUUUGAAAAACAACAACGAGGAGGCAAAAGGCCAGUAGAAUCGCCGGAGCGGUACUACCGCUCGUCCCCACGGUACUACCGCUCGACCUCACGGUACUACCGCUAGGGAUAGCAGUACUACCGCAAGUGGUAGUGGUACUACUGCUUGCGAGCGGUAAAAAAAAAUACUUCCGUGCCUACUUCCGCUGAGCAAAACACGAGAUUUUGGUCCGGAGCGGUACUACCGCUCAGGAGCCGCGGUAGUACCGCUCCCAAGAGCGUUACUAAAAAAUUACAUCCGCAGCAGCCCCUUUAAAGGACACCAAAACUGACACAACUUCUGCAAACGGACUCCGAAUUCGACGAAACCAAGUUUGUUGGAAAGCUAGCGACAAGGGCUAACACAAUAUUGAUAUAAAUACCAAUAAUAAGCAAAUGAGAAAAGGCCCAAAAGAAAAUGGUGAGAACCCUUCCUCGGAUAAGACCGGUAAAACCUCCAACAUCGAAAACAUCAUAGAAGACGCAUGCAAACUCCGUUUUCGAUGAACUCAAGCUUGUCAUCAAGAUGACCAUAAGAUCUAAGACUCACAAAGAGAACCAAACAAGAACCAAGAAACAUGAUGCAAGGAUGCAAUGGUUUGAGCUCUCGACGAACGAUACGAUCAAGCUACUCACUUGAGAGCCCCCCUUGAUAGUACGGCUAUCGAUCCUAUAACCCGGUCUCCCAACUACCACCAUGAGACCGGUAAAAUAGAAAACCUAUCAAGGGAAAACCUUUGCCUUGCACAUGGUUCACUUGAGCUAGAUGAUGACGAUCUUGACACCCUCAAGUUGGACCACCUUUCUUGAUUGCGUUGGCUCGAUGAAGACUAGAUGAUUACUCCCCCAUAGUCCACUAUUGGUGAGCCACUCUUCGGCACAUCUUCACAAGUCCAUUGUCACCACAAUGGACGGCAAGCUUCAAGCACUUGAUCUCUUCGUGAUGCUCCACUUGAACUUGCACACGGCAAUCUUGAUGAUGAUCACCACUUGAUGUCAUCCUCUCCAUGGGUUGAGUGAUAUCUUCCUCUUGACGCAAGCCCAUGAACACGUACCUAACCCCACAUAGAACUCUCACAUAGACCAUGGGUUAGUACACAAAGCACAAUGGACAAUGCUUACCAUACCAUGGGAUCACUUGAUCCCUCUCGGUACAUCUUCUACGCUUUGUGAGUUGAUCAACUUGAUUCACUCUUGACUUAGUCUUGAUCAACCUAGAAUCUUUCCAACUCUCGGAUGAUGUCUUGAAGGUAAACAUGAAUGAUCACACAAUCUUCUUCUUCAAGACAUGCUUGCAAUAAGCUCAACUCUCACAUGACCAAUCUUUGGAUAAUUCCUUAAUAGCACCUUGGUCAACACAAACUCUCCUUGAAACCAACACAUGUACUCCAAGGAAAGCCUCUGGACAAAACCUUCAAAUAUAACUCAAGGCAACCAUUAGUCCAUAGAGAUUGUCGUCAAUUACCAAAACCAAACAUGGGGGCACCACAUGUUCUUUUAAUAUGUAUUUGACAUGAAGAAAGCAAUAGCAAUAAAACUGAAUUAUCAUUAUGCUAAGCUAACGGAUGGGUCUUGUCCAUCACAUCAUUCUUCUAAUGAUGUGAUCCCGUUAUCAAAUGACAACACAAGUCCAUGGUUAGGAAACCUUAACCAUCUUUGAUGAACGAGCUAGUCUAGUAGAGGCUUACUAGGGACACGGUAUUUGUUUAUGUAUUCACACAUGUAUUUAAUUUUCCGAUCAAUACAAUUCUAGCAUGAAUAAUAAACCUUUAUCAUGAAUAAAAAAACAGAAUACCAACUUUAUUAUUGGUUCUAGGGCAUAUUUCCUUCAGUCUCCCACUUGCACUAGAGUCAAUAAUCUAGUUCACAUCGCCAUGUGAUUAACACCCAUAGUUCACAUCGCCAUGUGAUCAACACCCAAAGAGUUUACUAGAGUCAACAAUCUAGUUCACAUCGUCAUGUGAUUAAUACCCAAAGAGUACUAAGGUGUGAUCAUAUUUUGCUUGUGAGAGAAGUUUAGUCAACGGGUCUGCCAUAUUCAGAUCCGUAGGUAUUUUGCAAAUUUCUAUGUCUACAAUGCUCUGUAUGGAGCUACUCUAGCUAAUUGCUCCCACUUUCAACAUGUAUCCAGAUCGCGACUCAGAGUCAUCCGAAUCGGUGUUAAAUCUUGCAUCGAUGUAACCCUUUACAACGAACUCUUUAUCACCUCCAUAACCGAGAAAUAUCUCCUUGGUCCUUCUUAGGUAACUAAGGAUAAUUUUGAACGAUGUCCAGUGAUCUACUCUGGAUCACCAUUGUACCCCCUUGCCAAACUCAUGGCAAGGCACACAAUAGGUCUAGUAUACUGCAUGGCAUACUUUCUAGACCUAUGGCUGAGGCGUAGGGAAUGACUUUCAUUCUCUCUCUAUCUUCUGCCGUGGUCGGGCUUUGAGUCUUACUCAACUUCACACCUUGUAACACAGGCAAGAACCCUUUCUUUGACUGAUCCAUUUUGAACUUCUUCAAAACUUUAUCAAGGUAUGUGCUUUGUGAAAGUCCUAUUAAGCGUCUUGAUCUAUCUGUAUAGAUCUUGAUGCCCAAUACAUAAGCAGCUUCACCGAGGUCUUUCAUUGAAAAAUUCUUAUUCAAGUAUCCUUUUAUGCUAUCCAGAGAUUCUAUAUCAUUUCCAAUCAACAAUAUGUCAUCCACAUAUAAUAUCAGAAAUGCUAUAGAGCUCCCACUCACAUUCUUGUAAAUACAGGCUUCACCAUAAGUCUGUAUAAAACCAUAUGCUUUGAUCACCUCAUCAAAGCAUAUAUUCCAGCUCCGAGAUGCUUGCACCAGUCCAUAGAUGGAUCGCUGGAGUUUGCACACUUUUUAGCACCUUUAGGAUCGACAAAACCUUCUGGUUGCAUCAUAUACAACUCUUCUUUAAGAUAUCCAUUAAGGAAUGCAGUUUCGAGAUCCAUUUGCCAAAUUUCAUAAAAUGUGGUGCUAACAUGAUUCGGGCGGACUUAAGCAUCGCUACGGGUGAGAAAGUCUCAUCGUAGUCAACCCCUUAAACUUGUCAAAAAACUUUUGCGACAAGUCGAGCUUUAUAGACAGUGAUAUUACAUUGGUGCGCGUCGGUCCUAAACAAACAAUUUUUAACCCCUUUCUGCGAUGGCAUUUGGAACCGUCGCAAAGUGAGUCUGGGCGAUAGGGGGGGUCCUUCCCACACGACCCAGAAACCGUCGGGGAUAGGGAGCCUUGAUGCAUACAAUUGUCCCUAUAUAACCAUUUCUGAUAUCUCGAAUAUCCCAAACGCUUCAUCCUUUCUACUCGUUUGUGCUCGCAUUGCCAUCGCAGUCGGAGUUUUGUGGUUUUGCCUAAAACCAGGCAGAUUCCAGGCACGGGAGUUUUCCAGGCAGAUUCUAGGCACGGGAGUUUUACGAUGCCUGGGACAUCACAAACAGUUCAUGAUUAUAAACCGUGUAUGAUAGGUAGACAAUCACACACAUUUAGUUUUCCCGCACCGUAUGUGAUAGUGUCUGACAUCACACACGCUUUGCAAAUGGCAAUUGUGUGCAUGCUUGUACACGUUUCCUCUCUGUGAACCGUCUUGGAUUAUGGUGUAUAUCGCAAACAUUUGUGUUUUACCAACCGUGUGUGCCGUAAUGACCUGCCCAACUUAACUUUGCCCUAAUUUAAUUGUUGCUAUUAAAAUUGUACCUAAUUUAAACUUGAAAGUAGGCUAUAGCUUAUUCAUAUCCAUCAGGUUCAAACAACCAAUGCAUUAUUCGAUUCACAGGUACAUAUGUUUAAGAAUUACAUAAGCACCAAAUAAAGAAUGAUGUACCAGGGUUCUAUACUUGUACUAUUACAGAUGGUAAAGAAAGAGGCGACAGACAUUCCAGUUGCUGAACAAGGUGAAGCGGAAUGGCCCUAUUGUGCUCUCCUGGAUGCAGAAGCCAUGCAGGACUCUAGUCCAACCCCUUGUGAUGGUCGGCCACCAAUCAUGUACUUUGAGAGGUAAUCUUGAGUAAACUGCUUCAGGAUCCACUGCAAAAGAAAAAAGAUUCAGAUAUUCAGUAAAAAGAAGGCUACAGGGUUCUUACUUACCAUCCUGCAGUUCACUGUUGUCUUGCAUAAAGUGUAAACAAAUAUUUCGAUUGACAUCUUUUGACCCAUUUUAAUAACAAUCUUUGUCAGUUUCCUCACUUGAUGCUGGUUCAUGAAUAUGUCAUUGCCCCAUACGCAGAAAGGGUCGAAGUGUGGAUCUUUGGCAAUGAUAUAUGUACCUAAAAGCACCAAGUUAAUAUUAGAAGCUAAACAACAAUUGAAAAAUGAUGUAGUACAACACUCCAUCCAUCCCAUUAUAUAAGAUUUUAUUACAUGUAUAUCUAGACAUCAUCAGAACAUUAAGGUAACACUCUUCCUUGUUGCUAUGUAGUUUGGGAUUGCAUAUUUAGUCAUUCAGUACAAUGCAUGUUGCUAAACAACAAUUGAAAAACGAAAAGGCAUGUUAACUGCAAUAUCCUUAACAACAACCAAAUAUCGUAAUUCAUAGUAGUAUUGUUGAAACUGUUAUUGAUGAAAUUGAACUACACGGCAAAUAGUUGCACAUAUAGAGCAUCACAUUGUGAAGAACUGAAAUAAACAAGUCAUAAGGACAUCUCUAGGCGAUCCUUAAAAAGUUAAAGGACUAAAACCCUUAGUGGAUAUAUAUAUAUAUAUAUAUAUAUAUAUAUAUAUACUCCAGCAAUUUUUGGCCUUUUCUAGUCGAUCCCUUAAACUUAAGGUUUUAAACUUCAAUUUGAUCAAGUUCAAAGCAGGUUCAACCGAAAGUAGCAUGCAUUCAAACAUAAACAUAGAUAGUUUUGCAUAACCGAACAUAAAACAUAAAUUUAAACUAAGCUAAACUACUUUCGGUCGAAGUAGAGGUCGAGCCAAUCCUUCCACGUCAUGUACGGUGUGCCGCGAGCCGGGUCCGGGCCAAUACCGUCGUCGGGUUCGUUGGGGAAGGCACUCCUCCACUCGUCGAUGUUGAUCUCCUCGUCCUCGGGCCCCACCUCGACGCCCUCUGCGCCGCCACCUUCGACCUCGUCAUCAGAGGAUAGCGCGAUAACCUCGCCACCCUCCGCGCCGCCGUCCUCGCCGCCUUUGACCUCGUCAUCGGAGGAGAGCGCGAUAACCUCGCCGCCCUCCGUGCCGGCAAAGAUCGCCCGCUCCGCCUCCACGAGCUCCGGGUGCUGCCGGCGGAGCUCUUGCAUGUAGGCCUCGUCGGCGGCCUUGGUCUCGAGGCGCUCCCACGCCUCGCGGUCCUCCCGCACCAUAGCCGAGCUCAACACCCCUGGCUCCGGCAGAAUGAGGUCGACCGGACGUGUGAAGGGGAAAUUGAGCCGAGCCGCCGCGCCGUGGUAGCGGACCUGCCAGCGGUUGUACUCCAUGGCCACGAGCUCGGACGUGUGGAAGCUACCGAGCCACCGACGGGUGUGGGUCUCUCGAUCUGUAAUCUCGGCAACCCACGUGCCCCACCGCCACUGCCGGACCCCGAGGUAGGACUUCAUCGGCUGCUGGGUCUGAGGGAGGACGGGGAAGUCCUCGAACCGGCGUAGGGGCACGGCGGCGGGCGGAUCGGGGGACCGGCGAUGGCGGAUCAGGCCCGCGGAGGACGACGGGGACACCUCGCCGGCCACCUCGCCGGCGUCGGGCGAAAUGGCCACGAUAAACCUCUUUUUGGCCAUUGGCUCCUCGAGCUCCCCGACACACACGCAGAGGUUGAGGAUGGAGGCGCCAUCGAUGGCGGCGACCUACCAAUGGUUUCGAGGGUUGUGUGUGUCUGUGUGANNNNNNNNNNNNNNNNNNNNNNNNNNNNNNNNNNNNNNNNNNNNNNNNNNNNNNNNNNNNNNNNNNNNNNNNNNNNNNNNNNNNNNNNNNNNNNNNNNNNNNNNNNNNNNNNNNNNNNNNNNNNNNNNNNNNNNNNNNNNNNNNNNNNNNNNNNNNNNNNNNNNNNNNNNNNNNNNNNNNNNNNNNNNNNNNNNNNNNNNNNNNNNNNNNNNNNNNNNNNNNNNNNNNNNNNNNNNUGUUUGAGGAAAUACUGCGGCAACUGAAAAUUUUACUAGGCGGGAGUAACAAGGCGGGGCUACUAAAAAUUUGGAUCAAGGGCGAGCAUAUAUUUUGGAGAUUGUGAUGGAUGCAGAGGCGGGAGUAAAAAGCCCGGGCUACUGAAAAUUUGAAUCAAGGGACUGAAGCAGAGCGGGAGUAACAGACAUCGCACACGGUCCGCACAUACUAAUCGUGUGCUAUCAAACAUUAAAACCUUCCAGGCGGUAGAUACUUUCGAGAUUACGAGGCAGUAAUAUUUUCGAGAUUGCGAGGGAUGCAGAGGCGGGAGUUUUUGGGGAGCGAGCUAGUGUGCUUGACACGCCGGUUGUGGACUGUAGCCGACACACGUUCUCGCGUAAGCCAUAGGCGUACUAUACACCGACGGUGCUCCAAGAUAUUUUGUACUACAUCUCACACGGUUGGUGAUAAUAAACUGUGUGGGAUCUACUUGAUUUGAAUUACAAAAUGGGGUCACAGCGGCAAUGGACGCUGUUUGAAUUGCUAGACCUUUUAUCUGCAGUGAACAUGCAACUAUAUGUGUCUCGUAAAAGAAUUGGAAUUAUUCAGGGUUCGUUUGGACAUUUUAUACAUCAAACUGGUUUUCUAGCCAUUUCAUAUGCACAAUUCAAAAUUAAACUACAUGCACAUGCUCCGGUGCAUACAAAUAGGUUGAAAAACCAAAUUUGUGUCCUCGAGUGCAUGCCUAGGUCCCAUGCAAGAAAUGAGAAUGAUUUUUUUGGGGUUUGUUUGGCCUUUUUUAUACAUCAACUGGGUUUUCUAGGCAUUUUAUGUGCAUAAUUCAAAUUUGAACUACAAGCACAUGCUCCAAUGCACCAAAGUUGGUUGAAAAAUCACAGUUGUGUCCUUGGGUGAAUUUCUAGGUCCCAUGCAAGAGAUGGGAAUGAAAUUCAAACAGCAGGGCAUUGUUGAUUGCCGGCAAAACGUUGAGAUGCCUCGUUUUUAAAUUAUAGUAAAUCCAAAACUCGUCUGAAAUUCAUGAAACUUGGCAUGCUAUCAUGGAGCGGCAUCAACAUGCCGUGGUAAAAAAUUUGUCCCAUUUGGGGCAGGUUCGGGUAUAAGCUUCUCACGAACCAGAGCUUCUCACGAACCAGAGCUUCUCACAACAAGCAUGAUGGUUUCGAUAGGGAACGUCCCACCUUUGGGGACAAAACGAUAUCCAUUGCCUCUUAUUGCUUUCAAAAAAUUUCUAGUGUCAACAUAGAACAACAGGAGUUUUGUGUCAAUUUUUUUGAUUUUUCGGGGUUUGUUUGGACAUUUUUAUGCAUUAACUGGGUUUUCUAGGCAUUUAUGUGCAUAAUUCAAAUUUGAACUUCAAGCACAUGCUCCAAUGCACCAAAAUUGGUUGAAAAAUCACAUGUGUGUCCAUGGGUGAAUUUCUAGGUCCUGUGCAAGAGAUGGGAAUGAAACUCAAACAGCAGGGCACUAUUGAUUGCCGGCAAAACAUUUAGAUGCCUGGUUUUUAAAUUAUAGUAAAUCCAAAACUCGUCUGAAAUUCAUAAAACUUGGCAUGCUAUCAUGGAGCGGCAUCAACAUGUCGUAGUAAAAAAUUUGUCCCAUUUGGGGCAGGUUCGGGUAUAAGCUUCUCACAACAAGCAUGAUGGUUUCGAUAGGGAACGACCCACCUUUGGGGACGAAACGAUAUCCAUUGCCUCUUAUUGCUUUCAAAAAAUUUCUAGUGUCAACAUAGAGCAACAGGAGUUUUGUGUCAAUUUUUGUGAUUUUUCGGGGUUCGUUUGGACAUUUUUAUGCAUUAACUGGGUUUUCUAGGCAUUUAUGUGCAUAAUUCAAAUUUGAACUACAAGCACAUGCUCCAAUGCACCAAAGUUGGUUGAAAAAUCACAUGUGUGUCCUUGGGUAAAUUUCUAGGUCCCAUGCAAGAGAUGGGAAUGAAAUUCAAACAGCAGGGCAUUGUUGAUUGCCGACAAAACGUUGAGAUGCCUGGUUUUUAAAUUUUAGUAAAUCCAAAACUCGUCUGAAAUUCAUGAAACUUGGCAUGCUAUCGUGGAGUGGCAUCAACAUGCCGUAGUAAAAAAUUUGUCCCAUUUGGGGCAGGUUCGGGUAUAAGCUUCUCACAAACCAGAGCUUCUCACAACAAGCAUGAUGGUUUCGAUAGGGAACGUCCCACCUUUGGGGACGAAACGAUAUCCAUUGCCUCUUAUUUCUUUCAAAAACAUUCCAGUGUCAACAUAGAACAACAGGAGUUUGUGUCAGUUUUUGUGAUUUUUCCGGGUUCGUUUGGACAUUUUUAUGCAUUAACUGGGUUUUCUAGGCAUCUUAUGUGCAUAAUUCAAAUUUGAACUGCAAGCACAUGCUCCAAUUGUAAGUGCAUCUAGUGCCCCUUAGUGAUUUUGGUGUAUUGAAGACUUAUAGGUUAAGGGACUAAUGUGUUUAUGAGUGUACAUAGGUCUAUAAGUCUAUGAGGAGUUUGAUAUUUACAGAGAAAGUCGACCCCUAAAAAUGAAGUUCUUCGACUGAAGACUUUGGACUUCUGAAGACUUUCUGAAGACUUUGAAAGUGAAGAAAUUGGUGUGACCUUGAAGACUUGGUAUUCAUUCGAGGAACAUGAAGCGUGAAGACUUUUGUUUUCGUAGUUUCAUUUUCUCUUUCUUGAGUCAUAGGAAACACCGUACUAUAAAAGGGGGUCGAGGAAAUACUAAUGAAAAAUUUCCAUGUGAUGCUCAACUCAAAAUCCUACACCUACCAAUCCCUUCGAGUGAAGCCAUUGGAAAUCUCAUACAGUUCAGUCAAUUUCUUCAGUGACAGAGACGAAGUUCUUCCAGUCUCUGAGGAAUUUGUUCUGACUGAGGAGUUAGGAAUUCGCCAGUGCGGAUUGCCUACACAGUGAGGAACAUGAUAGCCCUGAGGAAUUUGGUACUCAAAUUUCCGACUGUUGCUGUGCUAUGCGCCAGCUGUCCCAAAAUAUCUACCCACCUAACAGUCAUAUCAUUGAAGGGCAUUUAUGUCUUAUCAUGAUGGGGUGCUCCCUAGGCUAUAAAUAGCCGCCCCCUACAACCACUAGCUGGUUGGCUGCUCCGGGAGAAACUGACACUUGUCAUUUGAGAGCAUCCCAUCCUCCGAGGACUUUGAGCGAAAAUCAUCAAGUGAGGAAAACCCAAACCCAAACACCUACAAACCCAAAGUGAUUGAGCAUCACUGAAGAGAUUGAUCCUGUGUGGAUCCGACGCUUGUUACCUUUGAAGACUGUGCUUCUUCCAGACGGUUAGGAGUCAUGGUCUAGAGCAUCCAAGAGGAAAUUGUGGAUCGCCGAGUGACCGAGUCUGUGAAGGUUUGGAAGUCACCUGAAGACUUACCACAAGUGAUUGGGCGAGGUCUGUGUGACCUUAGCUCAAGGAGAAUACGGUGAGGACUAUGUGUCCGGGACUGUGUGUCCUCAGGUUUAAAUACCUAGCCGCUCCAACCAGACGUACAACUGAGACAAUAGUUGGAACUAGUCUACCAAAUCAUUGUCUUCACCAAGCUUACUGGUUCUAUUUCCUCAACUCUUUCAUUUCCUCAUAACUGUGUUAUGCACUUGUUCAUAUCUGUAUUUGAAGACUUUGACUGAAGACUUUCUCAAUUUCCUCGGUUCAAUUUCUUCAAUCUGUUUGUCUUCAUCCUGAGCUAUCCUGUGUUUACGCUUUCUGUACUCUGUGCUUGUCUUCAUUUCAUCAUGAUGACCAUGCUUGUGUUCUGCUAUGCAUACUUUUGAGUAAUUAUUCCGAUGCAAGUAGUUCUUCGCUAAGGAAUUUCCUCACUGGCAAAUUCCUCAGUGAAGAAUUCAUAAAAAUCGCCUAUUCACCCCCUUCUAGUCGAUAUAACGCACUUUCAAUUGGUAUCAGAGCAAGGUACUCCCUUGUUCUGUGUGAUUUUGGUUUAACCGCCUGGAGUUUUAGUUAUGUCGACCGCAUGUAUGAAGAAAGUGGCAUGCCACAUCUUUGACAGUCACGAGUAUCCCUAGUGGAAGGUCAUGAUGAAGAAGCGCCUCAUGGCGAUGAACAGCGAACUGUGGACCGUCACUGAGAUUAGUCUUACCGUUCGUGCAAGACGGCGGAAGCUGAUGACAUUUGCAAGUACAUUCUUCUCAACCUCACGGCGAAGGACGUCAUCUGCUCCUGUCUGUCUCAAAAUCAGUUUAGGAACAUCAUGCAUCUAAAUCAUGCGAAGCUUAUCUAGGACCGUCUCUCUGAGGUCUAUGAAGGUCAUCGAACCCGUCAUGAUCCUUGGUUUGAGGACUUCAAGGAAUCUCUCAAAGCGAUGACAUUCGAACCAGAAUCAUCAUCCUCUUCAUCAUGCCUUAUGGCAAAAAGUGCUGAGGUAACUGAAUGCUACCUAUCCGAGUCAAGUGAUGAUGAAUUUGGACCCAGCUAUGUCAAACUUGCUUCCCUUGCCACUAAACAACAAAGAGCUUUGGAAAAAGUUCAAUACAUGCUAAAUAAGAGCGAUGAUAUGUUGGGUGAAGAAAUGGAUCAGUCAAAAGCUUUGGAUGAAAGUCUUCAGAGACUUCAUACUAAGUAUGACACCCUUCAGGAUCAACAUAACACUCUCUUAUUUGAUCAUGAGAAGCUUUCUUAUGAAUUUCUUCAAAGAAAGCAAGAUCUUGAGAAGCUAAGAGUGAGUUAUGAAGAUCUUCAGAAGGAGCGCGAUUCAUUACUUGCUCAACAAAUCAGUGCUCCUCAGGAAGAAUUUGUUCCUCCAUGUUUGAAAUGCCUUGAACAUGAAUCUGUUAAUUCUUCACCUGAAUGUUCAAAUGCUUCUAAUGCUACAAAUUCCUCACCUGCCUCUGCUAUCACUAAUUCCUCAUCUGAGGACAUUGCUAGUAUCACUGACGAUGCAGGGCUGAAGGAAUUGUACAUGACAGGCAUGUACAAAAGCCUCAAAGGGCAUCAGACUCUUUGUGAUGUGCUUAAAAAGCAGAUCCUCAACAGGAACCCUAGGAAAGAGGGUAUUGCCUUUGAGAGGAAACUCAAUGCUGAUGGUACAUAUUGGAAGCCUGAGCAGUACCCCAAAACCUCAUGGGUUGCUGCAAAGGGACCUCCAGUUGAUCCAUCUAAUUUAUCUGGCUUUACAUGUGAAUCUUCUCAUUCUUCUGAUGAGUCAUUUGACUCCAACUAUAAACUGUUCAAAAAUUAGAAUGGUGAAGUAUUUGCUAGAUAUGUUGGCACUAACUGCAGGAACGGUUCUCCUAUGAAGAAAAUCUGGGUUCCCAAAAGGUACCUUGAAAGUCUUUAGGUGAAUGUCCUCAUGACACCACCUGUGAAGAAUAGGAACCCCAGAUCAAAUUCUUCAUAUGGAGCAAAUUCCUCAAAAGGAUCAAAGUCCUCAUAUGAACAUCAUUGUGCUAACAACUUUGUUUCGCAGGGAAGAGCCAAGGGCUAUGAAUAUGAGCAUUAUUCUUCUAAUCAUUAUGUUCAUAAGUCCUCGAAGAAUUUCUCUGCUUAUUCAUAUGCUUACCCUAACUCCUCUUAUGUGAAACGAAAUGGAUUGGCUUCUAUGCCACCUUUCUCGUAUGGAGCUCGUAGAAUGAUGAACUCUUUGCCACCCCUUUAGAUGUGGGUGGCGAAGAAAAAGAACUAAUCUUUUAUGCAGGGUCAGGUCUCCAGACGCACUUAAACGUCUGAAGAAUUUGCUGGAGACCUAAAAAGUGCCUGAAAGGACGCAGGCUAAUCACGAAGAAAUGAACCGUUAUUUCUCACGUCCUCAUACUGUUCUAACUGUUGCAUUGCUUGAUGAAAUUGGUUUGAUGAAUUGUGAUGUCAUAUUCUUCACUGAUGAAGUAUAUGAAGUUCGUAAGCUGCACUAAUUCAUCUGCAGGAUGAUCAACCCAAAGCCACUGAGUGGGUCCUCGAUAGUGGAUGUACAAAUCAUAUGACUGGUGACAAGAAUCUAUUGAUGGAUGCUCCCUUAUCACCAUCGCAUCUGAAGCAUAUCAUCUUCACUGACAAAGGCAAAAGUCAGGUAUUGGGUCUAGUAUCGUUGUGUUGUGGUUAUGGAAGCUAACAAUUCCAAAGUCUUCGAAGGCUUUAGGAGAGGAGACUUGUAUAUUGUUGAUUUCUCUGUAGGACCGCAACCAGCCGUGUGCCUACUUGCAAAAGCUUCAGAAGGCUGGCUAUGGCAUCGACGACUUGGUCAUGCAGGCAUGAGGAAUUUGCACACGCUUGUGAAGAAGAAGCAUGUCAUUGGCAUUGAGAAUGUCAAAUUCCUCAAGGAUCACUUGUGUGGAGCUUGUGAAGCUGGAAAGAUGACCAAGUCUAAGCAUCCAGCAAAGACUAUCAUGACCACUACUCGACCAUUUGAAUUGCUUCAUAUGGAUCUCUUCGGUCCUAACCAUUACUCAGCAGUCACAAAUGACGCAUCUCUCUAUGGCCUUGUUAUUGUUGAUGAUUACCCUUGAUACACAUGGGUACACAUUGUUACUUACAAACAUGAAGUGCAGGAAGUCUUCAAACGAUUUUCCUCGAGGGUUUCAACCAACUUUGGUGUGAAGAUCAAGCACAUCAGAAGUGACAAUGGAGCUGAGUUCAAGAAUUCUGGUCUUGAUGACUAUCUUGAUGAACUUGGUAUUACACAUGAGUUAUCUGCUCCUUGCACUCCUCAGCAGAAUGGCGUCGUGGAGCGCAAGAACAGAACUCUUUUAAUCUGCAAAAGGAGUAACAGAGCAAAGCGGAGAAGAGAAGGGGGAAGAAAAAAGGUUCCUAACUCAUUGGAUAGCUUAAUCUAUUGGUCAGGGAUCCCAUCUUUACUUUAUUUAGGUGCCUAGACUUUUCGGGGCAUAGGGUAGAUUUCACAGUCCUUUAAGUGAAUGCGCCUUCUCUUUAUGUAUAGAGCUCUUAAAGAAUGGAUCAGCUCCUAGCGAAAAAGUCCAAGGUACUGAUCAUACAACAAAUGAAGGUGGUUAGAAAGAUGGCACAUCGAUCUUCUGUACACCCUGUUCGUGCUGCGGAACGCAGAAAAUCCGCCUUCCUUGGAAAAAAAUUCCUGACUCCGAAGUAUCAAAGGAGACUUGGGUGGCGCCUUCUGAAGAGCCCUUCAUUCUGCGACUCAGAUAGGCUAGGAUUUGUGUCUCAGCCGAACCGGUAUUAUGUUCCAAAUUAGGCUUGUAAUUAGAGUUACCAAUGGUAAGGAUUGGCGUGGGUUUAGAGUGGGUAGCCCGCUCGCUAUCUAUGUCUUUCAUUCCCAUGGAUUGGAAAACAUCUUACUUGCCAUGGGGUGAAACUUCUCAUCGUCAGCCUAAGUGAUUGUUUCUGUAAGCUAGAGAGAAGUACCCUUGAUUGGGUGCUUCGAACGCCCUUCGGGAAGUGAAAGUGAAGGUUGAUCAAUAGCUUGAAUCAGGACGAAAAGGUGGGAAACCAGGUAAUACAGCACGGCAUCAGUGUGGUCAAGCCGGUAAUCGAAUCGAACAGAUUCGGGAUCUUACCCUUGUCGAGUCCGGUUGCCAAGGGCGCUUUAUCCAAGGAAUGCAGGCAAGGCACUACUCCGCUUUCACAACAGAACUGCUUGACUAGUUGAAACCGUGUGAUAUUACUAGUCUGGAUUUGAGAUGACAUACUUGAAUCGAGUAUACAAGGGUGGUAAGGCAAAUAAACACAAAGGAAUUGAUCGAUUCUCUUGGUUGAUGUGCUUUCUUCCAAACCCUUGACUGGAAGAUAGUCAAUACUGCCUUGCUAUUUGUAGAAUUCCUCCCCUGGGUCGGAGAAUAUAUUACUUUCUUUACCGACAUGCAGGUGGAAUAAGACCAGCAUUAUGAACUACUCAUCACUGAAUGUUAAGUACUGCCAUUCCAACUAGCCAACUAGCUAUUAACUAUUAAGGGGUAAAGGUCGGAAACUAUAUUUAUUUAUGGGACUUAACUUAUUGAUACAGUCAGAUUUAGGAAAAAGUGCAUGCAUGUUUCACAUACCCACUCGCUGAAAAGAUUUCCGCAAAAACACAGGACCCAGAAAUUGCAUAUGGUAGCGAUCGAGAUCACCCGCUGGGAAUCUCGGCAACCCACAUUUGAGGAAACCGCUACUUCAAGAUAGGUUGGUCUUGAUUGAAGCUAUGUUUCAGAAGUUAGCCAUCACCCACAAAGCUGUUCGCACUCCAGAACAAUUAAGAACCAACAAUGCACAGGAAGAGGCGAUCUUCCUAUCCUAGCACGAUACUGGGAUCUCGUAGGCGUAAUUUGGAGUGGCUGCAAAGGGUUCAAUACUACUUGGCCUAGAGGGGACUAGGAUAAACUGUUCCAAGUACCAAAAGCCCUAAGGCUGCAACCGAUUACCCAUAACGACCGAUAUAGAUUCGGCUCAAGGUGCUACUGAACCCUGAAUCCAAAGAUUGAUCACCUAACCAAUUCAAGGUCACAAGAAAAGAAAGGACGGUGCUCCUCUAACCCUGUAUUUGAGUGACUGUUACGCAACAUUGGUGAUCAGUUAAUGGCAAACGAAAAGCUAUUCAGGGAGACAAUAGUCUGGCUCGAGUGGCUAGGUAUGUCCUAGUCACGCCCUACCUAGGGUUGAGGAACACGUGUUUGUCCAGUUUCGACAAAACUAAGAGGAUGUUACGAUCCCGCUAUAAAAAGAAGUUGUAUGCCCCGUCCACGUGCGGGCCCGUCGAGCUAUAAGUGAGGGAUCUUAUUUAAUGGAGGGACAACGAAAAGUCACGUCUCAGAACAGAAGGGGUAGACAAAUGUGGGGAACCGAGAACCACCUGCUCUCUAAGAAACCCAUGGAAAGUCAAGAAGUGAACGGAUUAUAAACCGCUUUACUAAAGAAAGUGGGUUCACUAAGAGGGGAGAGAUAAAGGCGGGGGACAAGAAGGCGGUCGCAGGCAGUAAGUAGAUGGACGGCCCUUCGACAGGAGGUAGUAAAAUUUCCAAACCUAAGAAGACCAUUUCUUUGCUGUCGCUCUAGCCCUACCGGGAGGGGGCUUAGCCGGGUCCAACAAACCUUAUGAGUGGGUCCCACGCACUCAGGCAAAGAGCAGCCGACGAAACGUAAGAUGGCUCCAUACCGGGUGGUAAAACACAAAUGAUCAAAGCUGAUGAUCGUAAGCUAUGUCCUCCAUCACGAUCUCGAAUGAAACUAUCCAUGGAAUCGUGCGCCGUGUGAAACGUAGAUCAUCGCCGUUCUUAACCGAGACUCAGGUUAAGCUCCCUCUCGGAACCGCCGUGGGGUUAGGAGUAAAGCAUCCCGAGGUUGGCGCAUCUCGGUGGGCGUGGAGAAGCAUUGGGAACCCCAAUAUCUUUCUUCGGAGCAGUUUCUUUUCCCGUCCCCUCGCCCCGGCAUAGUGCUUCGCUUCCGGUUCUUCGGAGGAAUCAACUGACUUCUCCCUUCUUCAUUGAUCCGGGGGAAAGGGAACCGUCUACCAGUUGAGAAGCUAGACAUCAAGGUUGUGGCUUGAUGAGGAUAACUAAGCUGACACGCCGGAGUUGGCUGCUGGCACAACAGGGUGGUGCCUUACCGCACCACAGGCGCACGCGCGGUAGCGUUCAUGGUGGUGCUUCAGGAUUCCAAUGUACUGCGUCCAGGAUCAGAACGAGCUUGCCGGCGGACCACUGCUGUCCCAUUCUUUAGUGAGCUGGAGCGCUGCCAUCUUAUCCACGGAAAAUGCGUCAAGCUAUCGCUUCGGGUCGAAGCACUAAAAGAAAAGGACCGGGAAACGCGGCGGCAUAGGAAACACGGGAACCCAGGAGGGAGAAAGACGAUGUACGGGAUACGGGAUCCUCGCAGUAGGCUGGACCAAAAUCCAGCCGAGAGAGGGCAGCCUUUAGAAGCAACAGGUUGGGAAACCAAGAGAAGGCUUCGCCUUUUCUUAUCUUCUUCCCGGCACAAAAAGAGGGAUUAGCAUUAUUGACCCCAUGAGAAAGCACUAACACCUUCCUCAUCGGGGCUCCGCGCACUGGGAAAAGGCUUCCGCGACAGGAAACCGGCUACUAGUUAGGAAGUGAACAUAAGGUAUCAAGAGGUCCCUCACAGUCAGGUGCAAUGCAAUUGCCCCCUAUUAGUCAAGUACCCCUCUUCCUAUUUAGUUUAGGGGUUAAGGCGAGAAAUGGCUUGAUGAACCCUUCCGUUCACCACGCACCGGCCCCAUUCACUUGCAACUCGUAGAGGCUGUAAGUAAACAGUGCCCCACUAAAUUCAAAGUGACGGUGGGGUUGAAAGACGAGAGUGCCUACCUCCGCGCCGAGAGUGCCUACCUCCGCGCCGAGAGUGCCCGCCCUUUCUGUCAAGUAGGCUACUUUUUCCGAAACGCAGUCUGGAAUAAGCGUUCCUGUGUAUAUAGAUAUCUUCGAUGCUGUCAUUUCGACAUGUCCGCUUCAACCCCUCUUUCGCCUCCCAAAAAGCAAAUUUGGCUUGACGAGCGCAGAUGAGGAAGCGGGAGCAAUAAAACCAAGAAUCUCUUUCUUUUCUUUCCAAAUACUUUAUGAAGUUAAGGGGCAAAGAGAAGCGCUUUCGCUACUGAGAAAGCGAAUGGUCAGCGCGAGGGUUCGACGACUUAGCCGAGCGUUAGCGACGCGUCAUUCUCAUAGCGAGGCGCUUCGAGUUAGCGAAGCGCUGUAGUAGCGUCGGAGACUAUGUGCUAUAAUGCUGAACUAAGGACGUUCCGCCUUAUCUAUAGAAGCAGUCGACUGAGUUCUGAACGAAUGGGAUCCUUGGUGGGUAAUGGCUCAAUCUAUAGAUGGAAAGCCUUAUGAUGGGAAACUACCACGUUAGGUUUGGAGAGAGAUGGGACCCGUUAUAGUUUAGGGGGAGCAGAUGGCUCGCACUAUGCUUGAUGAGUACAAGACGCCUCGUAACUUCUGGACUGAGGCAAUUUAUACUGCGUGCCACAUCAUCAACAGGGUAUAUCUUCACAAAUUCUUCAAGAAGACUGCCUAUGAACUCCUCACUGACAAGAAACCCAAUGUGAGUUAUUUCAAAGUCUUCGGUGCUAAAUGUUGGAUUAGAGAUCCUCAUCACAAUGCUAAAUUUGCACCGAAAGCACAUGAAGGUUUUAUGCUUGGUUACGGAAAGGACUCACACACCUACAGAGUCUUCAACAACAUUCUUCACAAGGUUGUUGAAACUGUAGAUGUGCGGUUCGAUGAAACUAAUGGCUCGCAAAGAGAGCACCUACCUUCUGUGAUAGAUGAACCAGCACCUGAGGAAUCUAUCAAGUUCAAGGCGACUGAGGAUGUCAUUCCUACCGAAGAAUCUGCUGAAGAAUUCAUUCCAGAACAUGAAGAACGUCGAGCUAAUGUACCUAAACAAAAUGCUGAAGAAAAUGGUGCUGAAGAAAAUGCUGAUCAAAUUCCUCGACGACAACCAACUCAUCCUCGUGUUGCAAAAGAAGUGCAAGUUGAAAAGAUCAUCGAUGACAUUGAAGCACCGGGUUCUCUCAGAUGCUCAAAAGCUUCACAUUUAACUAAAUUUUGUGGGCACUAUGCUUUUGUCUCUAUCACAGAGCCCACUAAGGUAGAUGAAGCAUUUCUGGAGCCUGAGUGGAUUCAGGCCAUGCAAGAAGAAUUACAUCAAUUCAAACUCAACAAUGUCUGGGAACUGGUUAAACGUCCAGAUCCUCCCAAGCACAACAUCAUUGGCACAAAGUGGAUGUACCGCAACAAGCAAGAUGAAAAUGGCCUUGUGGUGAGGAAUAAGGCACGACUUGUAGCUCAAGGCUACACACAGGUUGAAGGAAUUGAUUUUGAUGAAACUUUUGCACCUGUUGCUAGACUUGAAGCUAUUCGCAUAUUACUUGCUUAUGCUAACCAUCAUGAUAUCACUCUAUAUCAAAUGGAUGUGAAAAGUGCAUUCCUCAAUGGUAAGCUUGAGGAAGAAGUAUAUUUUGCUCAACCCCUAGGUUUUGAAGAUCCAAAGCAUCCUGACAAAGUCUUCAGACUCAAUAAGGCCCUCUAUGGCCUCAAGCAGGCCCCUCGGGCAUGGUAUGAUACUUUGAAGGAAUUCCUCAUGAAGAAAGGCUUCAAACCCGGUUCACUCGACCCUACUCUUUUCACUAAAUCUUAUGAUGAUGAAUUGUUUGUGUGCCAAAUAUAUGUUGAUGAUAUUAUCUUUGGCUGUAGUGACCAACAUUAUAGUGAUGAAUUUGCCUAUAUGAUGAGUGAAGAAUAUCAAAUGUCUAUGAUGGGAGAGUUGAAAUUCUUCUUAGGUCUUGAAAUUCGUCAACAGCGCAAUGGCAUAUUCAUAUCUCAGGAGAAAUACCUCAAGGAUGUACUGAGGAAAUUCGGCAUGCAAGAUUGCAAAGGCGCCAAAAUUCCGAUGCCCACAAAUGGCCAUCUGUGCACUGAUGAAAAUGGUAUUGACUUCGAUCAAAAGGUAUACCGCUCCAUGAUUGGUUCUUUAUUGUAUUUAUGUGCAUCUAGGCCAGAUAUUAUGCUUAGUGUUUGCAUGUGUGCCCGAUUUCAAGCUACACUGAAGGAAUCACACCAUAAGGCUGUGAAACAUAUUCUUCGAUAUCUAGCUCACACACCAACACUUGGAUUAUGGUACCCCAAGGGCUCGGCUUUUGAUCUCAUUGGAUAUUCUGACUCUGACUAUGCUGGUGAUCAUGUGGACCGCAAGUCAACAUCUGGUACAUGUCAUUUCCUCGGACGAUCUUUGGUCUGUUGGUCCUCGAAGAAACAGAACUGCGUAUCACUGUCUACUGCUGAAGCUGAGUACAUUGCUGCUGGUUCUUGCUGUGCUUAAUUGCUGUGGAUGAAGCAAACUCUCAAGGACUAUGGCGUCAACGUGAAGAAUGUGCCUCUCUUCUGUGACAAUGAGAGUGCCAUCGAGAUUUGUCACAAACCAGUUCAGCACUCGAAGAGAAAGCACAUUCAGAUUCGUCAUCAUUUUCUUCGCAAUCAUGUGUUGAAGGGAGACAUUUCUAUUGAGCAUGUGAAGACUGAAGAACAACUAGCCGAUAUCUUCACGAAGCCCUUGGAUGAGAAGAGAUUUAGCAAGUUGCGGUGUGAGCUAAAUAUCUUAGAAUCUUCGAAUGUUCUUUGAAAAGGACACUUAUCCUAACACUUAUGCAAAAUUGAUGACUUAGAUGUGCAACAUAUGAAGAAACGUUUUUCUUCAAUCAAUGAAGAAUAACACCAAAAGUUGAAAAUCUUCAAUUUGAGUUUUUCCUCAGUGAAAUUCCUCAGUUGUUCGUUUUCUUCGACUUUGCAUUGUCUUCACUGUUUCUAUCGUUUUUCUUCAUUGGCUAUAUAUAUAUGUAUAUAUAUAUAUACAUAUAUAUAUACAUAUAUAUAUAUAUAUAUGUUUAUGUCCUCUACAGCAUUCACUUAUGGCUAAUUCUUCAAGUUGUUUUUUCUGCUAAGUGAAUGUAAUCGGACCCUUCGCCCUCUAUGCUAUACUCAACCCAAUCUAUUCACAAAUUCUUCAUGUGCGUUCUAUUUGAAACUUGUUCAAAAUCUUCACUGUGUCCUUGUCAGCUGAAGAAUUUGCGAACGGAACUUUUAACUUAUCUUAUCCAAAUUUUCGGCUUUGCCACUCAAACCGUUCCGCAUCCCACGAAAUACUUAUCUAUUCACCCACGAUCUAACACGAUCUCCACUUCUCAGUACGUGGGUGACAUAUGUCAAGCGAAUGAGAAGGGUCAGGGGCACGUUCGUCCAAAAUCUUCGGGCGAACAGUUUUUCACCGUGGCUAUAAAUACCCCCCCUCUCCCCUUCCUCACUUCCUUUACUCCGCUCGACCUCUCUCCAGCUCGAGCUUCUCAAACCCUAGCGCCGCUGCUACUUCAUCGUCGCCGGUGAGGAAGAGCUUCACUGCCUCGACCUCAUCGCCGCCGUACUCGCGCCGGCCGCGGAAAUCUUCACUCCGCCGCCGCCGUAGCCGUCUUCCUCCGCCGAGUUAGGGCGUGGAAGAUCUGCACUGACGAACUUCACAUCUCCACAUCCCAGUUCGUCGUGUUCUUCGUCCAGGGUAAUUAAAAGCUUCUUUUACUGCCCUCUUUGAUUCAAAUGAUUUCUACAAAAUCUUCAAAUGUGUUUAUUCUUAAAAUUCUUCACACACUAAACACCUCACAUGUCAUCCGUUCUUGAUUCGUUUCUCUAAGCAAUAAUUUUUCUUCAAGAUUCCUCAAUUGUGUGGAUCUUCGAUCUAUACAACUCUGGAACCUAAGACAAAGAACGCUUAGUGAAAUUCUUUAAGACUCAUCUGGUCAAAUUCCUCAAACUUGUUCUUUUUGAAAAACCUUCUGAGAACGCAUAUGACCUCUCCAAAUUCCUCGCAACUAUACUCUGUUCACAGGUACUCAUGUCCGCUGCUGAAUCUCUAGGUUCUCAUCAACUUAACUCAUUUGCAGCGUUCCUCGAAGAAAAGUUGCAUACUUCUUCAGAGAAUUCAAUUGUUCAAAUUCCUCAUCUGAAGAAAAUGGCUGAUGGAAAGAAGCCACAGAAAGGAGGAAAGAGGCCUGAGGUCAACACUGCAUUUGAAAUCCCUGAAGACAUCUAUGUUGGGUACUGCACACCCCCUGAGGAAGAGAAAAAUCAGCGCAAGGUGCGCAUUCAGAAGAUAGAGAGGAGAUGGGCAAGAGAGUGGAGGGAGUACAGAUAUGUGACUCCCAAGUACAUGAAGAAAUUCGCACUCAAUCCUCCAUGCCCAAGACCUCCGUUGGCACCUGGCUAAGAAGCUGAUCUCACCAGCCUCAAGCGUGGCGAGGAUUAUCCUGAUGAAUGGGCCAAGCGCCAGGCCAAGCUGGCUAGACAAGCCAGAGAAGCAGUGAGGAAAUUCAAUGAAGACUCUGCUGCUGCUGCUGCUGCCGCUGAGGCCUCUGUCAAGCCGAAGAAAUCCAUUGCAAAGAAGCCUGCGCGUAAGCCAAGUGCUUCACCUUCAAUGCCCUCAAGGCCAAGUUCCUCAGCAAUGCCCUCACGGCCAGAAUCCUCAAAGCCCUCACGGCCAAUUCCUCACGCUGCUCCUGCUCCUCCAAAAUCCUCAGCUCCUCCGCAUAAGUCCUCAGCUGCUCCGACCAAAUCCUCAGCACCUGUGCAUCUUGCCACAUGCCAAAGGACUACAGGCAUCUCUAUUGCCUCAGGAGCUUCAGCUAGUUCCUCAGCUGCUCCAAAUUCUUCAACAGGACCCUCUCUGCUGAAGACAAAGACCACUGCUGGACGAGGUUCUCGCCCAAGUCCUCACAAGAAGCAGGUCGCCUUCCAAGUGCCGUCUGAAGAAGACGAAGCUGAUGAUGAAGAACUUACUGAAAUCAUCAGAGAUAGGCAAGUCAGGGCCGCUAGAGCCAAGGGCACAAAUGUGCCUCUGCUUUGGGAUCCAAAGUUGAUCCUCGAUUACAUUGAUCUCUGGCACAAGAACCCAAACACUCCUAUGCCUGAUUUCAAGUUGACUCCUGGCCAAAGUCAUAUGCUGACUACCUUCAUCCAAGAAGAGAAAUGGAAAUUUGAGAAGGCCAGGCAGAUCAAGAAAGCGCAGUACAGCAAAGAAAAAUUCCUGAAGAACAACGUUGUCACUAUGACAACUGAUGAUCUUGUGAAGAUCCAGUCUGAAAUCAAAGUCCUCAGCGGUGAUUUCAAUGCUUACUAUGCUGAUUGGCAAGGAGCCAAGGUCAGGUUUGUUAAACUGACUGAGAAGUUCACUUCCAAUGUUACAGCCCCAUCGCAACAAGAAAUUCCUCAAACUGAAGCAUCUGCUUAGCCAACUGAAAACAUGCCAGCCCCGCUAAUGACAUUCAGGCUACUGAAGAAAAUGUGAGUUCCAGGGCUGAUGACUGCAUUCCAGCCGCUGAUGAAAUUGCCAGGGCAUCCACUAGUGGUGUGCCUGAAGAAAAUGAAGAGGUCGGGGCAACUGCAUCAGUUGUGCGUGAAGAAAAUCGACCACAUUCCUCUGCUCCUCCUGCGCCUACCCCAACUCCAAUUCUUCCAUCUGCAUCAGAUGUGAAGAAGACCAAGGCUGCAGAGCGUGCAGCAGUGAAGAAAAGGAAAGCAUCAGUUUCAUCGGAUUCUUCAGCUCUGAAGAAGAUGAAGAAAUUGACCAGCUCAGUUGCGAACCCCAUUGAUGUUGUUCCGAUCUCAACCAUGCCAUCAAAGGGCCUUGUUCCUUUUGAUGAAGAAUAUGUGAUCCCUAGCGGAUCUGAUGAAGAAAAUCCUUCUGCUGCUUCGUCAGAGCAGAUGGAUGAAGAAAUUGAAGUGGAUGAAAUCCCUUCAACUCCAGCUGUUUCCUCGCCUAUGCCUCAGUUUACUGCUGAAGAGGCCGGCGUUGAAGAAAUGGAAGAUGAAGAUGUGGACAUUGGUUGUACGACACCCAUGCUCAAUGAUGACUUUUGGGAAAGUCAACAUCCCAACUCUCCACUCUUCACACCAUUGCAACAAAUUCCUUAGUCCCCAGCAACUAUAGUUCAAAUGGGAUCUGAUGAAGCUCAUGCCACACCGUCUGUCCAUGAAGAAAUUCCAGCCACCAGUGCUGAAGAAACUGCUGCUGCUGAAUCAUUGAAGGCACAGACUGCCACUGAAGAGGAACCAAAAAUUCCUCAGCCUGAGGAACCUGAGAUUGCGAUUCCUGAGGUUGUAAUGCAACUGACUGACACUCCUUUGCCCAAGCCAAAGGAUCCAUUCUCAAGGAAGCAAAAAUUCAAGGCUAAUGAUUUCUUCGGCGAGCACGUAUUCUUCACUGAUUACAGCCCCUAUGACUCUGCUCGCAUUAGGAAGAGGCGUUUCUGGACUGCCAGCCAGGCAAAUAUUUAUUCCUCAGUGCUGUUCAACAAAGACAAAGUCUUCGAUCAUGAGCACAUUCCUCACAUGGAUAUGGAAUCUCUGCCAUGCUUCGUGCCAGUCCUCAGUGUUCUUCAUGAUGCUGGACUGUUAAAUUUCUGCACUGAUAUAUGUGAUUGGAAUGAAGAGCUCAUUCUUCAAUUUUAUGCAACUGUGCACAUCACCGGAGACUCUGAAGAUGUGAAUUCAUGGGUGCUGGACUAGAUGUCUGAAAAUACUCACUACAAGGCACCAGCCACUGAAUUGCUUCGUGCUUUGCCUCUCAGUCCUCCCCUUGAAGCUGCUCGUUGCAUCUACAGUGAACCUGAGCUUACAGAUCACUAUAUGCAAGUGCUGAUGAAGCCAUUGAAGCCAGGUCAGGCCCCAAGAACUAAAUUCAUUGUGAAGGAAUUGUUAUAUGUGCCUCGGACUGUCUAUCGCGUUCUGACGAAGACAUUGAGUCCUAUCAAGGGCCACGACUCGAAUGAAGAAGAAGUCGUUGGCAUCAUGAAGAAUCUGCUUUUCAAUAUCAUUCAUGGCGUUCCCGUCAACUUCCAUGAUUUCUUCACGAGGACUCUGGCCAAUGUCGCAAUGUCACCUUUUGAGUUGAAGCCUUAUGCUCCGUGGAUUAUGAGAUUCAUCAGAACAAGGUCUUCGCUCAACUACAAAGCUGAUACACUGAACCAUUGCAGCUACUUUCCCCCGAAUGAAGUCCUCAAACAGACAUUUUCCUCAGCUGAUGAAAAGGGCAAGGCUACUGCUGUUAUUGAUGAAGGCAUUCGUCCAUUGGAUGGUCAAUUUCGCAAGGCUGCAUCCUACUCCACCAAUGAUGACUCUGCCACCAACGCAACCAAGCCAAAUCCUCAAGGCACAGUUCCCAGGGUGAUGACUGACCGUGAGCUUCUCCUCAGUCUUCACCAGAAGGUUGAUCGCAAUCACAAAUGGGUCAAGCAUCAGUUUGGUUCAAUUCUUCACAACAUGACUGCUACCCACAAUGCAGUGAAGAAAAACCAUUACUACCUCCAUGAAACCUUUAACCGUACUUGGGCUAUUCUGUCUCACAUUUAUAGCGCAGAAGAUCUGAAGAAAAUGGGUCUCAAGGAGGACUUUGACUGGCCUGCACCUCCACCGAAGAAAUACAAGAAGGUCAAGGUUCCUUCCUUGGUGGCCAGCUCCUAUUCUUCAUCGCGCAAAACUGAUGAGCAUGAAGACUUGGACGACACUGCGGCAGGCCCUACAUCAACAAACGACCCCAACAACGCUGGCGCUCCUUCAUCAACUUGAUAUUCUUCAGGGGCGUUAGUCCUCAUUUUCAAACCUUUUGGCCAUUCGAUGACAAAGGGGGAGAAAUUUGAGUUAGUCUUCAAGCGGGCCUAUCAUUUAUUGGCGUUUUUUUUCCAAGUUACAACUCUCGUUUUUCUGAUGACUUUGUUGGAUCGAGUUGUAAACUUAAAACUCUAUGUUGGCCUGAUACUUUUGCUGUUUCUUCUGCAUGCUUAUUCUUCGUUAAUGUUAUUGCAUGCAUGCUGAGUUACAUCAGUCACCAUAUUUCAUCAUGCAUUUCAAAUUCUUCAUGUAUUAUGUCAAAUGCGUGUAUGAAUUACAAGAUAUAGGGGGAGAUCUCCAUGAUUCAACUCUUCAAGUGUGCAUUGCUUCAAAAGCAAAUUCCUCACUAUGCACAUCUUCAGGGGGAGUUCUUCUAUAUCUUGCAAUCAAAUUCCUCAAUAUCAGUAUUUACACUUCAUAUGUUUAUCCCCGUUGAAAACUUAACCUAUAUUGUCAUCAAUCACCAAAAAGGGGGAGAUUGUAAGUGCAUCUAGUGCCCCUUAGUGAUUUUGGUGUAUUGAAGACUUAUAGGUUAAGGGACUAAUGUGUUUAUGAGUGUACACAGGUCUAUAAGUCUAUGAGGAGUUUGAUAUUUACAGAGAAAGUGAAGAAAUUGGUGUGACCUUGAAGACUUGGUAUUCAUUUGAGGAACAUGAAGCGUGAAGACUUUUGUUUUUGUAGUUUCAUUUUCUCUUUCUUGAGUCAUAGGAAACACCGCACUGUUAAAGGGGGUCGAGGAAAUACUAAGGAAAAGUUUCCAUGUGAUGCUCAACCCAAAAUCCUACACCUACCAAUCCCUUCAAGUGAAGCCAUUGGAAAUCUCAUACAGUUCAGUCAUAUUCUUCAGUGGCAGAGACGAAGUUCUUCUGGUCUCUGAGGAAUUUGUUCUGACUGAGGAGUUAGAAAUUCGCCAGUGCGGAUUGCCUACACAGUGAGGAACAUGAUAUCCCUGAGGAAUUUGAUACUCAAAUUUCCAACCAUUGCUGUGCUACGCGCCAGCUGUCCCAAAAUAUCUUAUCCACCUAACGGUCAUAUCAUUGAAGGGCAUUUAUGUCUUAUCAUGUCGGGCUGCUCCCUAGGCUAUAAAUAGCCGCCCCCUACAACCACUAGCUGGUUGGCUGCUCUGAGAGAAACUGACACUUGUCAUUUGAGAGCAUCCCAUCCUCCGAGGACUUUGAGUGAAAACCAUCGAGUGAGGAAAAACCCAAACCCAAACACCUACAAACCCAAAGUGAUUGAGCAUCACUGAAGAGAUUGAUCCUGCGUGGAUCCGACGCUUGUUACCUUUGAAGACUGUGCUUCUUCCAGACGGUUAGGCGUCAUGGUCUAGAGCAUCCAAGAGGAAUUAUGGAUCAUCGAGUGACCGAGUUUGUGAAGGUUCGAAAGUCACCUGAAGACUUACCACGAGUGAUUGGGCGAGGUCUGUGUGACCUUAGCUCAAGGGGAAUACGGUGUGGACUAAGUGUCAUGGACUGCGUGUUAAGGACUGGGUGUCCGGGACUGUGUGUCCUGACGUUUAAAUACCUAGCCGCCCUAACCAGACGUACAACUGAGACAGCAGUUGGAACUGGUCUACCAAAUCAUAGUCUUCACCAAGCCAACUGAUUCUAUUUCCUCAACUCUUUCAUUUCCUCAUAACUGUGUUGUGGGCUUGUCAUAUCUGUGUUUGAAGACUUUGACUGAACACUUUCUCAAUUUCUUCAGUUCAAUUUCUUCAGUCUGUUUGUCUUCAUCCUGUGUUAUCCUGUGUUUACGCUUUCUGUACUCUGUGCUUGUCUUCAUUUCAUCAUGAUGACCAUGCUUGUAUCCUGUUAUGUUUACUUUUGAGUACUUAUUCCGCUGUAAGUAGUUCUUCGAUAAGGAAUUUCCUCACUGGCAAAUUCCUCAGUGAAGAAUUCAUAAAAAUCGCCUAUUCACCCCCUCUAGUGGAUAUAACGCACUUUCAUGGGGACAAAACAAUAUCCAUUGCCUCUUAUUGAUUUCAAAUUUUUUCUCGUGUCAACAUAGAUCAACAGGAGUGUUGUGUCAAUUUUUGGGAUUUUUCGGGGUUCGUUUGGACAUUUUUAUGCAUUAACUGAGUUUUCAAUGCAUUUGUGUGCAUAAUUCAAAUUUGACCUACAUGCACAUGCUCUAAUGCAUAUAAAUUGGUUGAAAAAUCAAAUCUGUGUCCUUGGGUGCAUGCUUAGGUCCCACGCAAGAAAUGGGAAUGAAUUUCAAACACUAGGGCACCGUUGAUUGCCGGCAAAACAUUGAGAUGCCUGGUUUUUAAAUUCUAGUAAAUCCAAACCUCGUCUGAAAUUCAUGAAACUUGGCAUGCUAUCAUGGAGCGGCAUCAACAUUCCAUGGUAAAUUUUUUGUCGCAUUUUGGGCAGGUUUGGGUGUAUGCUUCUCACAAACCAGAGCUUCUCACAACAAGCAUAAUAGUUUCGGUAGGAAACGUCCCACCUUUGGGGACGAAACAAUAUUCAUUGCCUCUUAUUGCUUUCAAAUUUUUUUCUCGUGUCAACAUAGAACAACAGGAGUGUUGUGUCAAUUUUUGUGAUUUUUUAGGGUUCGUUUGGACAUUUUUAUGCAUUAACUUAGUUUUCAAUGCGUUUAUGUGCAUAAUUCAAAUCUAAACUACAUGCACAUGCUCCAGUGCAUAUAAAUUGGUUGAAAAAUCAAAUAUGUGUCCUUGGGUGCAUGCUUAGGUCCCAUUCAAGAAAUGGGAAUGAAUUUCAAACACCAGGGCACCGUUGAUUGCCGGCAAAACAUUGAGAUGCCUGGUUUUUAAAUUCUAGUAAAUCCAAAACUCGUCUGAAAUUCAUGAAACUUGGCAUGCUAUCAUGGAAUGGCACCCGACAUGCUGUGGCAUUUUUCGUGUCCAUUUUGAGAGAAGGCGCACUCGAAUAAUGACAGGGAACAAAGGCAUUUUGAAAAAAAACUACCACUUUAAUAUCUCAAACGUUUGUAUAAUUCAAACCGUGUGCGUUCUGUUAACCAUUCAUGUGAUGCCAUGUGUCUUGGUUUUAAUGGAUGUAGGAGGUGCCGUGCGGAGAGCUGCUUGACCUUGACUGAACGGGAGGUGUGCGAGCGCAGUCCGGUGCGCAGGCUGACCGAGAGGCGUGCAAACUGUCCUCUAAUGCGCAGGCUCACCGGGAAGCGUGCGAGCUAUACGCUGCGCAGGCUCACUGGGAAGCGAGCCCUUUGACUUCCAUGGCCGCCCGCCUUCCUCUCCAUUAAUGGCGCCCGAGCCGCUAUUUAAUACGGUCGGCCUUACUGUUCGCCUCCCAUUCCCCUCCCUCCCGCAGACCUCCACCAACGCCAUGGCGCAGAAUGAUCAUCUGCCACUAGUCUUCAAGUUUGGUGAAGUCGACUCCGAGCCGGAGGAGAUAGCAAAUAAGGAGGAAUGGGCCCUCAUGGACAUGGCCCAGAACGAGCUGGCCGCAGCGGUUGCUGCCCCCGCUCACGUCCCAGCUCCCAUCCCUGCGCCCGCGCCAAUGACCAUCCCCGUAGCAUUGACGGGCCGGUCGCCGAGCACUAUCGCAGAGCUGGAAGCCGCAGGCGUCAGCGAGGUCUCCGUGGACCCACAUGAGCUCGUGUACAUGCCAGCGCCAGCGCCCGUGCCCGUGCCCGUGCGCGCCCCUCCACCCACCGUGGCGCCGACCCCCGUGCGUUUGGCUGCACCCUCCGCGCCCGUGCCCCUGUCUGUGCGCGCCCCUCCACCCACCGCGGUGCCGGUCCCCGUGCGUUUGGCUGCACCCGUCACGCCCGUGCCCGUGCCCACCUCAGCGGCAUGGGAUGCUGCCGUCGACCGCUACCUCUCAGCGGCGCCAGUUGCCGUCCUCCCGCGCCCCGCCCGUCGAUUGCGCGACGACAUGAUGUUUGAUUUACAAGUGAAGAACAUUUUGUGCUGCAUUGAAGACUUCAACAACGGCGUCCCGGAGGACGACAACGACGACGACGGCGUGGCACACCGCCUCCGCUGCCACCGGAAAUAGUUUUUUUGGGGUUUAGUACUGUAUCUCGAAUUCUCGAUCAUAUGAAUAGAAAUUCGCAGUGUGACUGAAUGAAAGAUAUGUUUUGAACGAACUUGCGUUUUUCUCUCUUAAUGUAUAGACUUAUC
This 118061-nucleotide long non-coding RNA is filed under the name Triticum aestivum (bread wheat). RNAcentral's name for it is "long non-coding RNA (TAES_LNC012937)". The record is from RNAcentral. Lineage: Eukaryota; Viridiplantae; Streptophyta; Magnoliopsida; Poales; Poaceae.